CAGGACUGCCCCCUCUGCCAAGCAUUCCCUCAGUCCCCACAAUCCCAACUACAAUUCCCCCUAUUCCUUUCUCUUUUCCACCAUUGCCAUCUUUCCCUGAUCUCCCAAACCCUGGGGCGCUUCCUCCACUUGUUACCACAUUGCCAAGAGGACUGCCCCCUCUGCCAAGCAUUCCUUCAGUCCCCACAACCCCAACUACAGUUCCCUCUAUUCCUUUCUUUUCUCCACCACCUUCUCGUUCUACUCCUUGAAAUACCCCAUUUUUUUAUCUGCCGCAUACUAGAUCUGGUUUAAUAAGGUUUUUAGUGGUCUUUGUGUCUUUAUUAUGAGUAUUGAUUUUGCUCACUUAUAUUUAUUUGUAUAAAUGGGACUUCUCCAAUUCUCAUUAUUUGAUGUACUUUGAUACGUUGUUGCUUAUUAUAUAUGGGGUAUUUAUAUAUUGAUGUUCUGCCAAUGAUUAAUUACUGUUAUGAGUUUGGCUAAUUAAGAAAAGAAUCAAACGAUAAAUGCAGUCAAGAUAAUGAGCAGCCAUACAUCGAGAAGAUGCCACUGUUGAUAUAAUGAUUCCUGCUUCAUUAUCUCUUCCAAGUUAUCCAUUUACAUACGAUUACUUUCCUCUUUCAAUAUAUUUCCAAGAUAAUAUUUUAUAUGAAUGUCAAAUAAUGUAUUAAAUUAAGGAAGUCGGUUUUGUACAUAUUUUGGUUAUAUCAAAUCAAUCAAAUCAUUAAUUCUAGAUUCAAUAGGCUUAACUACUGAUACAAUUAAUUUACUAUUCAACAAUAUAAAAUAAAAGUAAUUAUUAAAACAAAAAAACUCUUCUAUUUUGACGGCUUUGAAUUUUAAAACCCUCUCCCCAUCUUUCAUCUUUCCUAAUUUGUCUUUUUUUUUCCUUUGAUUGAAUGUUAUAAGUCCAUCUUAAUUUUUUACUAGAAAAAAAAAACUUAUUUUAGUAGAAAAAGUAAGAAAAGAAAUGGUGGUUAUUUUUUUAUGUUGUGUUUUAUUUCAUUGAGUGCAGAGAUGAAGUGUAACAAAAGUUCAAGGGAUUUGAAGUGAAAUUAUUGUUUUUCAUAUUUAGAAAAUGUGAAAAUACGACUUAAUCGGUUGAUAAUUUGCAGUUUAAUUGCAGUUUACUCUAGUUCUAGGGUUCAUUAGUUCUUGGUCUAUUUGGCUCGAUUCAAUAACAUUGCGAAACACCCAACACCCUUUUUCUACGGUGGUGAAAAUUUUGGUUCGUACCAGUUGCACCAAUUCAUUCUGAUCAAUUCCAGUCACACCUGCCAAAACAUAGUGCACCGUCCUAUGCAUGAAUAAUAUUAAAAUUUUAAAACUUUUAAUUAUUAUUAUUGUGCUAAAAACUUAAUUGAAACAUGACUAAAUAAAAAUGCUACAUCGGAAUGUAACGUUUUUUUAAAAAAUGGAAUAUACUUUCACAUUCAAAAUAUAAUUAAGAAAAAACCAUUCACUUGAUUAUCAAAAAAAAAAAUCGUUCACCUUCCAACUUCUUUUAUUACGUAAAUGAGCUAAAUCCUUAAAAUUUCAUAUUAAAUGAUUGGAUUUUUAUUAUUAAUUUUGAAUUUAUUUGAAUGAUAAAUUUUUAUUUGUUAAAUUUAUUAAUAAAUAUUUUAUAUUUGAAAUGUAUUUAGUUUCAUUCAUUUUAUAUUUGUAAUAUAUUUAUAUACAUAUCUUAAAUAAUUUUAAAAAAUAUUGAUAAAUCUAAAAAGAUAUCUAUCAAUUUCAGUAAAAAAAAAAUCAACCGUCCACUAGAAAAGAAAUAUCAAUUCUUAAAAUUUUAAUCCCUUUAUAUUUAAAGUUGAAGACAGUAGAAGAAAAAUAGGAAUAGGUAUUAACAAUGAAAUUAGAUUUGAAUAACGCUGUCUGUAACAGUACGUUUUUAGGGUUAAUAGGAAUAGUAGUUUCGGAGACAUCAAAUUUGAUGAGUAGGUUUGUAAAUAUUAUAUUUAAUAUUUACGAGUUAAUUGUGAUUUUAAAAAGGUUUUUGAUAUUGUGAUUUUUGUUUUAUAAGCGAUUUAUUAAGUUUCAGUGGUAUGACCCUAAGGCCAAGUGGGUUUAAAAAAUGAGGUAUUGGGACCUUGUUUCUAUAAAUUGAGUCAUAAAUAUUUUUAUAAAUAAUAACGGAGUGGCAAUAAGAUGGUAUUAAAGUUUCGUUGAAAAAUUUUAUCAUUUCGAUUGUUAAUUAAGUAAAAAGGACUAAAUCGCAUAAAAUGAAAAAGUUUCAUUCUAAUUGUUUAAGUGUUUAUUUUCUAUGUUAUACUAAAUUAGAAGUCCCUAUUUAUUAAUUAAACCAUUAUUUUAUGAUAGUGGACAUUGGUGGUUUGGCAUAUAUGAAAUUAUGUAUUAUUAUAAAGGAUAAAAAGGUAAAUGGCAUUUUUAAAUGUAAUAAAUAAAAACAAAACAUAAAAUGGCCAUGCAAAUUUAUCUCUUGGCCGAAUAUUGAGGAGAAAAAGCUUCCUUAGUUUCGUCACUUGUAUGAAUUGAUUUAGGUAUGUUUUGUGUUCGGUUUUUAAUAAUUUUUAUGUUUUUGAGAUCGUUGCUUCGUAUUUUAGCUAGUCCGUAUUUCCAAUUUCAAAAUUGUUAAAGAUUUUGAAAGUUACCAUUGAUGAAUAUUGUAAUUUUUAAUGUUAGAUGAUGAAUUUGGAAUGUUGAUUUAUAUUUAAAAGUAAUUUGUUGAGUGAUUUUGAUGAAUUUUUCGAUUUGGGACUAAUUUGUCAAAUUGAUAAAAGUACAAUGAUUUAAUGUGAAAUUGUUGCAUAAAUGUGCUGUGUUGGAUACUAUGAACAUUCGUUUAGCUUGGUUUUGUGUUAAAAAUGGUUAAUUUGCAUGUUUUGGGCUCAGGGACUAAAUUGAAUAAAAGUAAAUUUUAGGGGCAAUUUUGUAAAACUAUAAAAAAUGACCAAAUUAUAUGAAAUGAAGUGUUUUACUGUCUAAAUUAAUAUAUUGAAUGAAAUUAUUAAUUUAGAUCAAGAUCGAGUGGAAAAUCAAGGAAAACAAAAAAAUUACCAAAAUACCCCUGAACUUUGAUAUCUAUACAACUUAGCCAAGUAAGUUCGUAUGUUAAUAAGCAUUAUUAUAAUUCAUUUUUAAUGCUUUAUAUUAAAUGGUUGAUGACUAUAAUUGUACGGAAAUAUUUGAGAUAGCUUCGACUAUGCAUUGGCACUUAGUGUGCGAGAUCGGGAUAGCUUCGGCUAUGCAUUGGCACUUAGUGUGUGAGAUCAGGAUAGCUUCGGCUAUGCAUGGGCACUUAGUGUGCGUGAUUGAUUUAGCUUCGUCUACGUAUUGGCACUUAGUGUGCGAGAUUCCCGAGAAACCAAUAUUACUCCAUAUAGUUCAACUUGUAAAUGAAAGAUGUGAUUGAGUAUGAGAUUGGUACAAGAUGGUACAUGUAUGUAUGGAAAUUGGUACGAGAUGGUACAGGUAUGUAUGGAAAUUCAAUUGAGUAUUGAGUCCAUGAAAAUUGUGAAUUCAUGAUCAUUGAGGAAAUGAAUAUGUAAUAAUAAUGUGACUAAUGGUUUAGUAAUAUAUUAUGUUAUAUCACUUGAAUAGUGAUUGAAUAAUAAAUUUGGUUGAUGAUUUCGUGUUAGACUUUUGUGUCAAAAUGAACUGCGAUAUACUCCAUUUUAUUCAUUUAAAUUGUGGCUCAACUAUUAUGAGAAAAGGGUACAGAGUGGCAAAUUCUUAGAUUUGAAUUGCUAUUGAAAGCAUGAAAAAGAACGAGUUUUGGAUGAUUUAUAGAUAUUUAGCCAUAUGCUUGAUAUGUGAAUACACAUAAGUAAUGUGAACUUAUGUCAUAAUGUUUUAUGAUAAUUUGCUAGUUCAUGUGAUGUUUAUAAUUUAAAAGCUAAUGUUGUUUAGGCUAAGGCCAAGACAUGUUGGAUUGACUUAAAUGGAUUAUGCUUAUAAAUUGAAGUUAUAAUUUUUUUUGUGAAGCUUACUUUGUAUUAUUUUUCUAUGCUUUGUAGUGUCUCAGAUGUUUGCUUUGGUUGGAAGUCAACGGAGAUCGCAUCACACUAUUCGGUUAUUAACUUACGGUAUUUUUACACUUUGGGGUUUGGAUAUAUGACAUGUAUAGGCUAAUGUUAAGAUGAUAUGAUUUGAGUGGUGAUUUUAACCAUGUGAUUUGGCUUGUAAAUGUUGAUAUGUAUUGGCCAUUUAAGUUAACUUAAAGUAUGUGUUUGAUAAAUGAUAUAUGUGAUGUAUAUAUAAUGUUUUUGUGGUGGCAUAUCUUAGUAUGAAGUAUAAAUGAUGAAUUGAUAUGUUUAAGAAACAUGAUUUAGGUGAUAAAAGAUUGAGAAAAAUGCAUAAGGAAGAUAGGAAAAAUUAUUGAUAAUGAUAUGUUGUUUUGGAUAUGUUUAAGGUUGAGUUUUGAGUAGUGAUUUGGAUUGUGAUAUAAUUGCUUGAUCUGUAUAUGAAUUUGGCAUGUUGUAAUUGCCUAUGUGUGUAUUGAAAUGGCAUGAAGUGUGGUGUUUAAGUAUGCUUAUGGAGGGUGAGAAAUGUGGCUUUAACCAAGCCUAUCUUCACUCCACACGGCCGAGCACACGGACAUGUGGCUCGACCGUGUGUGACACAUGGCCUUGGUACACGCCCGUGUGACCCAAGUCAGUAUGUAUUCCUUAUUUCCCCACGGCCUGGACACAGGCGUGUGGAUGAAAAAUGGACUAGAUACAUGAGCGUGUGGUCUGGCCGUGUGAGGUAAGUCAGUGAGCUCCACGGGGUUGAGCACGGGUUGGGACACGGCCAUGUGUUCCCAAUUUGAAUGUCCACACGGCCAGAGACAUGGGCGUGUCUCUUAGCUGUGUGAGUGACACGGCCAGGGCACAUAGGCGUGUGUGUGACCCCUGCAGAGAUGAAAAUUUUCUAAGUUUCCAAAAGCUUUAAAAUGUCAUCGAUUUAAUCCCGAACCUCUUCCGAGCAUGUUUUAAGGCUGCGAUGAGCCUAGUAAGGGGCAAUAUGAUUGUGAUUGAUAAAAGUUUUAAAUUGUAUGCAAGAUUUAUGACUUGAAAGUGUUUAAAUGUUUUGAUGUAAGUCUGGUAAUGCCUCGAACCUUGUUCCGGCUUCGGAUACGGGUAAGGAGUGUUACACUAUCGCUAGGCAUAAUUUAUUGACAAUUUUUAUAAGAGGUUACACGUAUUUAAUAUGACAUAAAAAACUGUUAAAUAAACUCUAAGUCAUUAUAAAUUUGUUAAUUAAAUAAUAUGUAAAAUUAAUUGAAAAUAAAAAUAAAACAAAAAUGUUGAUAAUAAGUUAAAAAUUAAUCCAAAUCAUUAUAUAUUUUUUAUUUAAAAAAUAAACUACAAUUAAAAUGGAAAAAAUAAAAAACAUGUGGCGCUAUUUUGUUUUGGGGGCAUGAAUGGAGCAUCGUUUAAGGGCAAGAGAUUUCUAUUCACUGCUCCAAUGCCUAUAUAAACCUCAAUACCAUGCUUUGUUUUCCUCACUCAGAACUAUUCAGAUAAAGUACUUCGUUUCAUCUGCUUCAUUUGUUUCGAAAUCUCUGAACAAAAAUGGCCUCUUUCAAUUGCUUUGCUUUAACAUUCUUGAUGGAUUUGUCAUUUGCAAGCAUUGAUGUUGGGGUAGCAGCUCCUCACCUUCUGCAUCAGCCUCAAACGUAAAGUUUGCCAUCUUUCCCUAAUCUCCCAACGCCAUCCCGACCAUCAUUCCCUUGGCCUGGGGCGCUUCCUCCACUUCCUACCACAUUGCCAACAGGACUGCCCCCUCUGCCAAGCAUUCCCUCAGUCCCCACAAUCCCAACUGUAAUUCCCCAUAUUCCUUUCUCUUUUCCACCAUUGCCAUAUUUCCCUAAUCUCCCAAACCCUGGGGCGCUUCCUCCACUUCCUACCACAUUGCCAAGAGGACUGCCCCCUCUGCCAAGCAUUCCUUCAGUCCCCACAACCCCAACUACAGUUCCCUCUAUUCCUUUCUUUUCUCUACCACCUUCUCAUUCUACUUUUUGACGUACCCUAUUUUUUUAUCUGCUGCAUACUGGAUCUGGUUUAAUAAGGUUUUUAGUCAUCUUUGUGUCUUUAUUAUGAGUAUUGAUUUUGCCCACUUAUAUUUGUUUGUAUAAAUGGGACUUCUCCAAUUCUCAUUAUUUGAUGUACUUUGAUACGUUGUUGCUUAUUAUAUAUGGGGUAUUUAUAUAUUGAUAUUCUGUCAAUGAAGUAAUUAAUUAAUGUUAUGAGUUUGGCUAAUUAAGAAAAGAAUCAAACGAUAAAUGCAGUCAAGAUAAUGAGCAGCGUACAUCGAGAAGAUGUCACUGUUGAUAUAAUGAUUCCUGCUUCAUUAUCUCUUCCAAGUUAUCCAUUUACAUACGAUUACUUUCCUCUUUCAAUAUAUUUCCAAGAUAAUAUUUUAUAUGAAUGUCUUUAAAUUAGGGUAGUCAAUUUCAUACAGAUUUCGGUUAUACUAAUUUGUGUGCAUUGUUUCAAUUUUAUACCAAAAUAUUAAUGUUUUUGAAAUUAGAUCGAUAAUCAAAUCAAUCAAUUCAUUCAUUUUUGAUUCAAUAGAUUCAACCAUCAAUACAAUUAAUUUACUAUUCAACAAUAUAAAAUAAUAUUAAUUAUUAAAAACCCCAAACUCCUCUUUUUUUAAGGCUUUGAAUUUUAAAAUCCUCUCCCCAUCUUUCAUCUUUCCUAAUUUAUCUUCUUCUUUUUUCCCUUUGAUUGAAUGUUAUAUGUCCAUCUUAAUUUUUUACCAGCAAAAAAAACUUAUUUUAGUAGAAAAAGUAAGAAAAGAAAUGGUGGUUAUUUUUUUAUGUUAGUGUUUUAUUUCAUUGAGUGCAAAGAUGAAGUGUAACAAAAGGUCAAGGGAUUUGAAGUGAAAUUUUUAUUUUUCCAAUUUAGAAAAUGUGAAAAUACGGCUUAAUCGGCUGAUGAUUUGCAGUUUAACUGUAGUUUACUCUAGUUCUCGUGCUCAUUGGUUCUUAGUCUGUUUGGUUAGGUUCUAAUUAACAUUGCGAAACACCCAACCCCAUUUUUCUACACUAGUGAAAAUUUCGGUCUGUAACACCCUAAAACCGGCCUAGACGUCCAAACCAAGUUGGAGAGUGACAUCAACUGUUCUAAAAGCCAUACCACCAUAACGCAAUCAAAUUAAACAAGUCGUCACACAUUAUUCAUCACAAUAGUAAUUUAAAUACAUAAUCUUCAUAAAUCAAUAACAUCAUAAAACAAAUAUCCCUAAUAAUAAAGCUAGCAGAAUAUCAAUAAGUGUCUGACCAAGCUUCCGCGACACCGCUCCAAUCAAGACUGAUUACCACCUGAAACCCAAGCAAUAAUAGAGUGAGUUAUGAGCUCGGUGCGUAAAAAGGAAUGUAAUUCAACAACGGUGACUUAUGGAGAAUAUCCAGUUCAGAGAUUCAGUUCAUCCUAGAAGCAUGUUUGAUCUAGGCUCAGAGUAGAGGUAUUACAUAUGUAUACAUGUAUUAUUCUAGUUCAAAUAUAGUUCAGAUCAGAUUUGGAUGCAAUGUUUCUAUUUCCAUCCUUUACACACCAACUUUUACCAUCCCAACACACCACUAUGGACAUUUAUUUCCCAUCCAUCCCUACACACCUUUAAAGUGUUCAAUGACACUUUUACAGAAACAUAGCUUAGCUGUUAGUUCAAUGUGCGACAAGUGCUAGAAUCAAAGUGAUACUUAUUAUGGCAUAGCCAUGUUUUCAGUACAGAAUCACCUUCUUCCUCACAAUCUCCCACCACAUGUUAAUUCAUAAUACAAUAAUCCGUAACACAUGUUUAGCCAUUCUGAUAAAAUACAUAAUUAAUAAAACAGUUCAAUAACAAAGUGGUGUUACAGUGCAUAUUCAAGAAUGUGAUUCACAGAUAAGUCUCAUGUAAGCAAAUUCAGUCAUUCCUAAAUAAAGGAAACCAAUAUCAGAGUUUAGCACCCUUCUCAGCCUCAAAAAAAGUUUUUCGGAUCCAACAUCCUGCCACACGGCCUGGGCCUGGUUUUCACACUUGAAACAGUGAGUUACACGGUCUGGGCACACGCCCAUGUCCCUGGCCAUGUAGACCAUGCACUAAAAUGGUCACACACGGCCUAAAUACACAUCCAUGUGGUCUUAAUUCAAUAAACAGUAAGUUACACAACCGUUCACACGGCCUACCACAUGUUCGUAUGGCACACAAGGCCUAGUUACACGCCCGUGUGCCUACCGUGUGGCGUUGACAGCCACCAUUUUCAACGACAAAACUUGCAAAAACUAAGGUUUCUGAUAUGCACCUGAGAUGAUUUCAAAGUAGUGACAAUGAAGAGGAGUUUCGAAUCCUAAAAUGACCAUUCAAUAACUCAGUGAAUCAAGUUUAUCAACAACAAUGCACAAUUAUACUCAAAAUACCUAUGUCGAAAGUUUUGACACCAACUUUCAAUGAAAUCAAUACUUACAGAAAAUUAACGACGAUUACUCGAAUUGACUUGCUGAGGUUCGCUACUCUCAAUAUCCCCGCCUAACAGGGAAACCAAAUGAUUGACUAUCAGAGAUUCACGCAACACACUCAAACAACCAUCUCAAAGUAUACUAUGUAAAGCAAAAAGAGAAAACAUGAAAUUUAACGAUUCGACAUCAAAACUUACUCAAUAAACUCCCAACAGAGAAUGCUAACAACGUGACUUCAACUAGUCUGCAUUCCUUACAACAAUUAAAGAGGAAAAGGGAAAAUUGAAAAAGAUGAAAAAGUAGCGAAAAAAGAAAAAUAAAAAGGAAAAAAAAUAAUAGGAAAGAAGAACUAACGUUAAUUGAUUAUCAAUUAACUUCCAUUCAGUCUUCCAAUGUUUAGCAAAAAUAUUUUCCUUACGCAUACUACGAGAUUCGAACUCAGAACCAGAUAGAAUAUAGAUAGAUGUUUAACCAGUAAAACAACAGGCUCAUUCUUGCCACGCUUUUACAGAGAAUUGAACUUAAGAGAGUAGUGUGUGCCUAUAGGUUGAUUCUAAAACAAAAAAACUUUUAAUGAUGCGACUUGAACUUCAGACCUUAAACUUAAUCGCAGAACACAAAGCAAUAGAUACAAAAAUUAGGUACUGUAGAUUUUUACAGACAAGUUCAUAAAAUUUUAGGGCAUUACAACUUUUUCCCCUUAAAGGAAAUUUUGGCCUCGAAAUUUUUACCUAAGUCGAACAGAUAUGGAUACAGCCAUCGAAUAGAUUCCUCCAGCUCCCACAUGGCUUCCACAGUACCGAGAUUCUGCUAGAGAACCUUCACUAGAGGAAUAGUUUUUUUCCUUAGUUUCUUAACGUCAUAUUCCAAGAUUUGAAUAGGCUUUACCUCAAAUGUCAAGUCUGGUCGUAACUCGACCUCGUCAAUCGUAACAAUAUAUGAUGGAUUCAAUUGGUACCGUCUCAACAUCAAGACAUGAAACACAUCAUGAAUCUGGUCCAGUGUCGUCGGUAACUCUAAAUUGUAAGCAACAGGUCCAACUUACUUUAAAAUACGGUAAGGCCUUAUAAAUCUCGGGCUUAGCUGGUCUUUAUGUCUAAAUCAGAGGACCUUUUUCCAAGGUGAUACCUUUAGAAACACUUCAUCACCUACCGAAAGCUCAAUAUCCUUUCUUUUUAAACCUGCAUAAGACUUUUGUUGAUCAGACACAACUUUCAGUUCAUCCUGAAUUACUUUCACAAUGCUCUCAGUUUCAAAAACCAGCUCAGGACCCAAUAUACGGCAUUCACUCAACUCCGUCCAACAUAAUAGAGUACGGUACUUACGACCAUAUAAAGCUUCGGGAGGUGCCAUCUGAAUACUAGACUGAAAGUUAUUGUUGUAAGCAAACUCCGUUAAUGGUAGAUACUCUUCCCAACUACCUCUGAAAUCUAUCACACAACCUCGAAGCAUAUCUUUUAGGAUUUGAAUGACUCGUUCCGACUGUCCGUCGGUCUAAGGGUGAUAUGUAGUAUUGAAAUUAAUUAGAGUGCCUAAAGCCUCAUUAAGUUUCUUCCAAAAUCCAGACGUAAAUUGCAGAUCUCUAUUGGAAAUAAUCGAGACAGGAAUUUCGUGUAGCCUCACAAUCUCGGCGAUAUAUAGUUUAGCUAACUUCUACAAUGAAUAAUCCAUUCAGAUAGGAAUAAAAUGAGCCGAUUUGGUCAACCGAUCAAUUAUGACCCAAACUGAAUCCUUUUUAGUAAGAGUUAAGGGCAACCCUAUACCAAAAUCCAUUGCUACCUCAUAAGCCAUAAUUUAUACAUAGUUUUACCUCAUUCUUAGCAUAUUUUUGGAUGAAUUAUCCUUAGAUUUGGUGAAUCCGAUGCUCCUAAUCUUUUAAUUUCACGUUUUAUACUUAGGUGAGCAUAGGAGAGUAAAAAGAGUGACAAACGGGCCAAAAAUAGAGAAAAUGGACCAACAUGGGAAAUCAAUACGGCCUGGACUUCCUCAUACAGGUAAGCCAUACGGCCGUGUCCAUUUGGAAGAAUCAAAGCACAACUUAUACGGGUAGACCACAUGCCCGUGCCUAUGUAACAGCCUUGAACACGGAUUAAAAAAAUUGCACACGGGUGUGUCCCUAUCGAGCCCAAGUUUAGUUCUAUUAGGAAAAGGCCACUCUUGAGGGUGUUUAGGCAUUCUAAAGCCUAUUUAAACACCUGAUGAGGCACUUAGAAGAGACACACAGAGUAGGAGGCAAGGAAUUACUCAAGGAAAGCCGAUUGAUCCAUCUCAGAAGCUGGAUUCAUCGUCAAGACUGAAGAUCUCCCUUCAAUUUCCUUUAGGAGUUUUAGGUUUUCUUUAUGUUUUUUUAUCUUUAUUCUUUUGAGAUGUUUUUUUUUCCAUUAUUAUGAACUAAACCCCCUAAAUACCUAAGGGGAAUGAAACCUAAGACGGAUCUUGUUAUUAUUAUCUAAAUUGUAUGAUAAAUAUUUGACUUUUUCUUAAUUAUGUGUUCUUAAUUCUUAUGUUAAUAUUCCAGGAUAUUGAUUCAAGUUAAUGCGCUUAUUCAGAGGAGCAAAAGUCUCUGUCUAAGAGUAAAUUUGUCAUAAUUAAGUAGAGUUCAUUGCAUGCCUAGAGAUAGGGUGACAAGAUUUUGCCGGAUUAGGGUGAAACCUAAUAAGGGAGUCCAUAGAUCGAGUUAAUGCAACAUUAGGGUGUUAAUUAAAAAGAGAUUUCAAUUAACCAACCUAGGGUUAGACGUUAUUAGUCCCGAGAGAUAUAAUAAUAUAACUUAGGGAUUUCUACGGAUCAAGUCAAAUGAAUAAAUCAUCUGAUUUAGAGUCAAAUAACAAGUAAAGUCUAGGUGGAUUUUUCCUUGGGUAUUGUCUUAAUCAAUCGAGUUUUCCCAAAAGCUUUUCCCCAAUUUUCUCUCUGUGCACCCUUAGUUUAGUUACUUAGUUUAGAUAAACAAAUCCCUUAAUUUUUAGGCUAGAUAAUAAAAAGAAAGUAAUUACUAGUACUCUUGGUUCCUUUAGGUUCGACAAUCCGGUCUUGCUAAAGCUAUACUACUGUUCGAUAGGUACACUUUCCUUCAUCAUGAUAAUAGUUAGUUUCAAGAACAGUCAAUUAUAAAUUUUUUAAAACUUAUCGCGACGAGCAGAUCAAGUUUUUGGCGCCGUUGCCGGGGAACUAAGAUAUUAGAAACACUCAAUUUUUAUUACUUUAGCCGUUUUACUUUAUUUGCAAUUUAAAUUUUUAUUUUCUUUUCUAAUUUUCUCUUUUAUUCACUUCUAGCAGGUUUUUUUAUAUUGUAUGACUAGAAGAAACCCGUCGGGACCAUUACUUUUUGAUAGUGAGGUCGAUUGCACAGCUCGUAGAAACCGAAGAGAAAUAAGGCGAAGCUUAAGAGACACAGAGGAAGAGCAAGAGGACGAUAUUCAAACCACAACCGAGGAGAUGGAUGAAAAUCAAGAAAAUCCGCUACCUCCUACGAUUGUUUGUAACACCCCUCACUCGUAUCCAACGCCAGGAUACGGUUCGAGAUAUUACCAAACUUAAACAUUCACAACAUGCAAAAUCGGGCCACAAAAUUAUCACCAAAAAUUAAAACAUCUCGAACACAUGCAUAUCGUCCCUUAUAUAGGUCUUUGAAACUUAUAACAUACAUUGAGGUGUUUUGGGACUAAACCAAGAACUUUGAAAAUCUUUGGGCAAUUUAACUAAAUUUUCUUGCUUCGGAGAGUCACACGCCCGUGUGGAUUGGGCCGUGUGGUCACACACGUCGGUGUGGCUUGGGACACGCCCGUGUCCUGUGCCUAUGGAGCUCUCUGUCCAUUUGGUCAUGAACAAGUUAGGGUCACACAGCCAAGGCACACGCCCGUGUAUCUUUCCGUGUGGACAAUUUCAAGGCUAUUUUCCAAGCCAAUUGUCACCCUUAAUUACCUACAUACACUUAUACAUUUUAUAGCAAUUGACAUUGCAUAUUUGAGUAAUUAUAUAUAUCCACAAUCAAGGCACAAGCAUGGUAUUCUCAUAACAACACAUAACAUAUUACCAACCAUGCAUGGCAAACAAGCAUAUGCACAUCACCAAUAUCAGACAUAACAUGAAUAGCUAGAUUUAUAAGUCAGAAUCAUUAGCUCACUAAAGACCAAUAUAUUUGGUCAAAUUAUAAUAACACAUGUUAUAAAACUAGGUCCCUAUACAUGCCACUCACUUGAUAAUUCUAGCAUAUUUGUUUAUACUCUCAAGGUGUUGGUUUGAUAGUGUGAUGCUACCUACGACGAUCUCUAAACCCGAGCUAACCUGACAACACUAAAAGAAAUGGAAAGGAGGGGGUAAUUUUUACGCUUAGUAAGUUCGUAUGAAAAUAAUAAGCAAUUUACUAACAUGCUUUCCAUAGUAGCAUUAUCUCAAUUGUACAUUUACACAUGUUCUGGUUAAGCUAUUUUCUUGAGUCAUAGUCACUAAAUCAUUUAUAUCUGGAGCUACAGAACUUCAAAUUAAGAUCCUUAAAUGUUCCCAGAAACUAGACUCACAUAUAUUUCCACCAUAAAAUUUUCAGAAUUUUUUAUCUGGCCAAUAAGUACAGUUUACUAUUUAAAGUAUCCCCUAUUUUUUUGUUUGACAGCUUCGACCUUUCUUCACUAAAACUUAAUUAUCUCAUACUACGAUACUCAAAUAAUGUUCUUGUCUCUUUCUCUUGAAAUUAGACUCAUUAAUUAUUUCAUUCAUAUGAAUUUUAACUCAUAAUUAUUUUUGUACAAUUUCUAGUGAUUUUCCAAAUUUGAGAUAGGGGAGUCUGGAAUCACUCUGACUCUGGCUCACAAGAAUUCAAAUAUCUCAUGAUACAAAAUUCUUUUGCUUUCAUCGUUUCCUUUAUGUGAAACUAGGCUUAUUAAGCUUUAAUUUCAUAUUUUAUUAAGCUUCUAACUCAAUUUCCAAUAUUUUUAGUGGAUUUUCAAAUGCAGACUAAUGCUGCUCUCCAAAUCUAUUUUGGUACAAUAUAAUGAUCACUAUCAUAAGAUCAUUUCCAACUAUCAUGAACUUACCAUUUCAUGAAUCCCUUACUCAUUUUUCACAAUAGAGCUCAAUAAUAAUAAUGAUAACAUUACUUACAUUUAUUUUUCCACACGUUACAUUUACAACUUACCAACUUGUCCAUUGAAGGAACGGCUUACGGAUUUGAGUACAUCGUGAUCUAAAGCCCGAAGUCUAGCUGAAGCACAUAAGUGCUAAAUGGAAGCCCGAAGGCUAACUGAAGCACACAAGUGCUAAAUGGAAGCCUGAAGGCUAACUGAAGCACGCAAGUGCUAAACGGAAGCCGGAAGGCUAACUUAAGCUCAUCAGAGUUGAACUGAAACCCCAAAAGGGUUAACUGAAACUCAUAUGAGUUAACGGAAGCUCGUAAGAGCUAAACGGAAAGUAAACAUGAGAAUUCGUAACAAAUGCUGAAUCUCUGUUUACUUGGGUAAUUUACUGUCAAUUCAUCUUUUUCACUGAACAAUCGUACUCAUUUCUUGCGUUCCGUUCCUCCAAAAUACUCAGUUCAAUUUCGUAACUUUUGUACAUAAUUUACUUAUUUUCAACAAUUAACAUACAUAAAUAUUAAUCAUUAUUCAUAAAAUAAUAUUAAAAUUUAAUAAUUUAACCGUACAAACUUACCUCAGAUCCAGAAAUGACAAUUUACCAUUCUAGUCCAUAACAUUGUAUUUUCCCGAUUUAAGCCCAAAUCUCGAUUUCCUUGAUUAUUAAGCUUGAAAGCUUGGCCAAACCCUAACCAUGGCUGCUCUUGGUAGAUUCUACUGUAGCAAGAAGAAAGGGACACAUUUGGGGUUUAAAAUUUGUCUUUUAAUUCAUUUUACCCUUAAAUGACCAAAAUGCCCUUUUUACUAUUCUUUCAAAUUUUACCCAACCAGGGCCAUUUUUGUCCAACAAGUUAUACAAUGGUUUAAUUAUCAUUUAAGGACUUCUCAUUUAAAAUUUCAUGACAAUUAGACACCUCUAACAUAUAAAACGCAACUUUUGCACUUUUUAUAAUUUAGUCCUUUUUACUAAAUUGAGUGCCCAAACGUCGAAAUUUUCGAACGAGAUUUUCACAAAAUCAUUCCGGGAAAUCGUAGACCAUAAAAAUAUAAUAAAAAUGAAAUUUUCCUCAUCAAAUUUGUGAUCCUGAAACCACUGUUCCGAUUAAGUCCAAAAUCGGGAUGUUACAUUUCUCCCCCUUUAGGGAUUUUCGUCCCCGAAAAUCUCACCAGAAAAGUGGUUUUGGUGUUUCACUUGGAUUCUUCAAUCCUAUAAUUGAUGUCAAAGAACUUUCACUCAGGCUAAACUUUUACUACAUAUCUCUUUAAAUUUUACAUACAAAAAUCAUAAGUGGUAUUCACUUUACAAUACUUUUACUGAAACUUAAUCUCUACCAGAAAGCUUAUGCACUCAAAAGUCCGAUCCAUACCAUCAUGUUACAUAUACAUUCACACCCGAAUCUUUUCAGAUUCGAAUAGUAAAACUAAUCAGUUCAUCUCAACCUCAUACUUUUUAUAAUUUCACACAAUCCAAUUAUUUGUCAAUUCAACCCUCAGCUGCUCUUUAUUCCAAGCCUCUUCUGGCUUUCCAAAGAAAUCAUGAUAUGAAACUCGGAUCUCAAUCCAAUUAGUGGAGAUUAAAAUUCCAUUAUAUCCAAAAUUCAUAAAGACACGAAAUUCUAUGAAUCUGGUGAGCAGACAUUCGGGUAUACCAACAUAAUUUACACAUCUCAUAACGUUUAACAACGCUACAUAUCACUUUCCUCUUUCAAGGACAGGAAUGAUCCAAACAAGAAAAUCCAUAUUAACCUUUUCUAUUUCCAUUCUAAUUCCCAAACGGCAAAAAUAAUUCUGAUGAUUCUUGCUAUCAAUUUCAACAUUUCAAGAAUUUGUACUCAAAGAUAAACAAUGAUCGUUUCAGCAUUUUUAAAUACCCAGAUUAUCUUCACAUUAUUAAUAUCAGAUCUUCUUAUCGCAUACGAUUCUUCUAGGAAACAUACACUUCUUAAUUAGUUAUUUGUCUUUUUACCCACGAAGAAAUAAAAUCUUAUUCUCAAGCAUGCACAUCUCAUUAAAUUCUAAACAUAUAUUCCAUACAGAUUGAACAAUCAAGUUGACCUUAUUCAUUUGUAAUUGAUAUUUCAAGAAAUUGUCUCUUCUAGUCAACAGAACGAUUCAACAUGCAUCAUUCCAAAUUCACUCAUCAUGCCAAUCAAAAACCAUAACAAAUGCAUUAGCAUAAGUAAUACUGAUACCUCUACUGAAUACAUUAACUCUAAUUAACUUACUUGAGAAAGGAAAUCCACCAUACACAUUAGGACUUGAAAUUUCACCACAUUAUCAAGAUCAAUUCAGAGUUAGAUCAAUUCAGAGUUAUAGUCAUACUUGUUCUUUAUAUACAUCAAUCACAAGCUGGAGGUCAUGCUCUAAAUGCAAGGCAUGAUCAAAAAGUUACAAGAUAAAAUAUCCAGAAAACCCAAGAUAGAGAAAUCUGAAACGAAGAAGCCCAGAAUAAAGAAAUCCAAGAUAAAGAAAUCCAUGAUAAGGAAAUCCCAUUUACAGCACUGCAUCAGAAGACCGAGAACUAGACUCAAAAAUAUGAAAGACCCCAAUGGUUUUUCAAAGAAAAGAAAUCCAGAAUAACAUCAUUCCAAAACACUAACAACAAAUACAACCAUAACUAUAUGCUUCUCAUAUAUAUAUAAUCAAUCAGAGCAAUGAUCGGUAGAAAUAGAAUCACGGCACCAUACACAAUUUCUCAUCGAUUCCCAACAGGUGAAAUAUAACAAAAUACUAGAGGAAGACAGAACCAUGCAUAUUAUAAUCCAAUCAGACUGACAACACAUUCGUCUAACAUUAAGAUCAGGGAACAUUUUCAUAAUAUAAGAAUUCAUCAGGGAUUAGAUAGCCCCAAUAAUAUUUCCGGUGUCAGAUAGUCUCAUACCAUAUCUCAAUAGAGACAAUCACAAAUUGUUCACUGUAAUUACCAUGCUUGGACAUUUCAUAUUUCGAACAUUAUUCCUUUAACUAUUUCUGCCAUCCCAAAUUCCAUAAUAUUCCAUUUACUAAGAAAACCAAUUCAUGAGGGAAUUUCAAUCAAUACAUUUCUCGACAUCAUACCAAGAUAGAUCGUUUUACCAAAAUUAACCUUUUUCACUAACUGCGAUGUUGCGAAAAUUAAACAAUUUUUCGGUCAAUCCGAUAUCUUUCUAGCUCAUGUCUGUACUUAUCAACCCAUUCUCAAUCUCUAAUCAUGCUUAUAACCAUUCCAUCAAAAUCAUUCAACAUAAAUAUCAAGAAUUUCCAUUAUAAAACACCACUUUGGUAAGGGGAAGAGGGUCAUAGGGCCUCUGACUCAACUCUCAUAUAUAUAUACACGUAACACAGUUUUCAUCAUAGCAAUCAUAUCUCAAUCAUGUCAUUCAUUUCGAGUAACUAACAUUCAUAUUGAUUUUACACCCACUUUCCAGUUAUCUCAUCUAAACAAGUGUACUUAUACAUGUAAUUCCAUGUUUCCUAGAUAAUCUUACUUAUCCAUUCAUUAAAUCAGACAAGUCAAGCACAUAAUAUCAUAUAAGGGCCAAACAAACAUGGAUAAGUAUAUAACAGUCAAAACUUUCAUCUUACACAUCAUCGUAUAAAUAUCAUUACAAUCAUAUAUAUCAGUCCAAACAAUUUAAUACAUUUACUCAAGUUAUAUGAGCUUACCAAUCAUAAUCAUCCCAACCAAUAAACAUGAAUAUUCAUCUUAUCAAUAUUUUUGAUAAGUUACUCAAACACAUGCAUUUGUUCAAAUAAAUCGAUCAUAUACAUCAUAGAAUUAUCUAUUAAUCAUAGAUAAGCUCAUUUCACCAUGUACACAUGUCAUGAAUCCUCAUUCGUACCUUUCCAAGUUUCAGUUCAUCAUGACUAUACUUUACUCGAAUAUUUUAGCAUCACAUUCAACAUGGUUGGUGUAGCUCAGUUGGAGAGUACCUUUGUCUAAACAAAGUGGCUCUCAUACACGUCAGAAGACAUUACACUAUCAUGGAUCGGUGGCAUGUAUAGCUGGACUUUUACACAUGCUAGGCUAGUCCGAGAAAUGACUAAACCAUAGCUUUGAUACCACUAAAUGUAACACCUCUCACCCGUAUCCAACGCCGGGAUAAGGUUCGAAGAGUUACCGGACUUAAACAUUCACAACAUGCAAAAUCGGGCCACAAAAUUUUUACCAAAAUUAAAACAUCUCGAACACAUGCAUAUCGUCCCUUAUAUAGGACUUCGAAAUCUAUAACAUACAUUGAGGUGGUUCGGGACUAAACCAGGAACUUUGAAAAUCUUUGGGCAACUUAACUAAAUUUUCUUGUUUUUGAGAGUCAUACACCCAUGUGGAUUGGGUCGUGUGGUCACGCACGUCCGUGUGGCUUGGGACACGCUCGUGUCCUGUGCCCAUGGAGCUCUCUAUCCAUUUGGUCAUGAAUAAGUUAGGGUCACACGGCCAAGGCACACGCCCGUGUAUCUUUCCGUGUGGACAGUUUCAAGGCUAUUUUCCAAGCCAAUUGUCACCCUUAAUUACCUACAUACACUUAUACAUUUCAAGCAAUUAACAUGACAUAUUUGAGUAAUUAUAUAUGUCCACAAUCAAGACACAAGCAUGGCAUUCUCAUAACAACACAUAACAUAUUACCAACCAUGCAUGGCAAACAAGCAUAUGCACAUCACCAAUAUCAGACAUAACAUGAAUAGCUAGAUUUAUAAGUCAGAAUCAUUAGCUCACUAAAGACUAAUAUAUUUGGCCAAAUUAUAAUAACACAUGUUAUAAAACUAGGUCCCUAUACAUGCCACUCACUUGAUAAUUCUAGCAUAUUUGUUUAUACUCUCAAGGUGUUGGUUUGAUAGUGUGAUGCUGCCUCCGACGAUCUCCAACCCUGAGCCAACCUGACAACACUAAAAGAAAUGGAAAUGAGGGGGUAAGUUUUACGCUUAGUAAGCUCACAUGAAAAUAAUAAGCAAUUUAUUAACAUGCUUUCCAUAGUAAAACUAUCCCAAUUGUACAUUUACACAUGUUUUGGUUAAGCUGGUUUCUUGAGUCACAGUCACUAAAUCAUUUAUAUCUAGAGAUUCGGAACUUCAAAUUAAUAUUCAUAAAUUUUCCCAGAAACUAGACUCAUAUAUCUUUACACUAAAAUUUUUUUCAAAAUUUUUGGUCUAGCCAAUAAGUACAGUUUAUUAUUUAAAUUAUCCUUUAUUUUUUGUUUGACAACUUUGACCUUUCUUCACUAAAAUUUAAUUAUCUCAUAGUACGAGACUCAGAUAAUGUUCCUGUCUCUUUCUCCUAAAAGUAGGCUAGUAUUUCAUUCAUAUAAAUUUUAACUUAUAAUUAUUUUUGUACAAUUUCUUGUGAUUUUCCAAAGUUGAAACAGGGGAGUCUGGAAUCACUCCGACUCUGUCUCACAAGAAUUCAAAUAUCUCAUGAUAAAAAAUUCUUUUGCUUUCACCGUUUACUUUAUGUGAAACUAGGCUCAUUAAGCUUUAAUUUUAUAUUUUAUUAAGCUUCUAACUCAAUUUCCACUAUUUUUAGUGGAUUUUCAAAGCCGGACCAAUGCUGCUAUCCAAAUCUAUUUUGGUACAAUAUAAUGAUCACUAUCAUAAGAUCAUUUCCAACUAUCAUGAACUUACCAUUUCAUGGAUCUCUUACUCAUUUUUCACAAUGGAGCUGAAUAAUAAUAAUGAUAACAUUACUUAAAUUUAUUUUUCCACACGUUACAUUUACAACUUACCAACUUGUCCAUUCAAGGAACGGUUACGGAUUUGAGUACAUCAUUAUUUGAAGCCCAAAGUCUAGCUGAAGCACAUAAGUGCUAAACGGAAGCCCGAAGGCUAACUGAAUCACACAACUGUUAAAAGGAAGCCCGAAGGCUAACUAAAGCACAAAAGUGCUAAAUAGAAGCCCGAAGGCUAACUUAAGCUCAUCAGAGUUGAACUGAAACCCCAAAAGGGUUAACUGAAACUCAUAUGAGUUAACGGAAGCUCGUAAGAGCUAAACGAAAAGCAAACACGAGAAUUCGCAACAAAUGAUGAAUCUCAGUUUACUUGGGUAAUUUACCGUCAAUUCAUCUUUUUCACUGAACGAUCGUACUCAUUUCUUGCGUUCCAUUCGUCUGAAAUACUCAGUUCAAUUUCGUAACUUUUGUACAUAAUUUACUUAUUUUUAACAAUUAACAUACAUAAAUAUUAAUCAUUAUUCAUAAAAUAAUAUUGAAAUUUAAUAAUUUAACUGUACGAACUUACCUCGGAUCCAGAAAUGGCAAUUUACCAUUCUAGUCCAUAACCUUGUAUUUUCCCGAUUUAAGCCCAAAUCUCGAUUUCCUUGAUUAUUAAGCUUGGAAGCUUAGCCAAACCCUAACCAUGACUGCUCUUGGUACAUUCUGUUGUAGCAAGAAGAAAGGGACACAUUUGGGGUUUAAAAUUUGUCUUUUAAAUCAUUUUACCCCUACAUAACCAAAAUGCCCUUUUUACUAUUCUUUCAAAUUUUACCCAACCAAGGCCAUUUUUGUCCAACAAGUUAUACAAUGGUUUAAUUAUCAUUUAAGGACUUCUAAUUUAAAAUUUCAUGACAAUUAGACACCUCUAACAUAUAAAAACAAACUUUUGAACUUUUUACAAUUUAGUCCUUUUUACUAAAUUGAGUGCCCAAACAUCGAAAUUUUUUAUCAAAAUUUUCACGAAAUCAUUCCAUGAAAUUGUAGGCCAUAAAAAUAUAAUAAAAAUGAAAUUUUCCUCAUCGAAUUUGUGGUCUCAAAACCACUGUUCUGACUAAGCCCAAAAUCGGGAUGUUACAUUGCUGUUGAUCCAGUAAAUCAAAAUCAUGCUCCACGCACUAUGUAUGAUUAUGCUAAACCGAAUUUAACAGGAACUGAGUCAUGUAUAGUUAGGCCUGCUAUUGCUACAAAUAAUUUUGAAUUGAAACCUAACAAGACUCAAAUGAUACAGCAAUUUGUUCAGUUUGAUGGUUUGCAGGAUGAGGAUCCAAACACUCACUUGGUGAAUUCUUUAGAACUCUCUUCACAUUUAAAGUUAAUGGCGUCCCUUAUGAUGCCAUUCAUCUUUGUUUAUUUCCCUUUUCAUUAAGGAAUAAGGCUAAACAGUGAUUGAACUCGUUACCACGAGGGUCAAUUACUACUUGGGAACAAAUGACCGAAAAGUUUUUACUAAAAUAUUUCCUGCCGGCUAAAACGGCUAAAUUAAGGAAUGAUAUCUCUUCUUUUGUGCAGAUGGAUCUAGAAACACUCUACGAUGCAUGGGAGAGAUACAAGGAUCUGUUGAGAAGGUGCCCUCACCAUAGGCUACCACUCUGGCUACAGGUUCAAACUUUUCACAAUGGCCUGAAUCCUUCAACUAGACAGAUGGUUGACUCAGCCGCUAGUGGGACUAUCAAUAAUAAGACACUUGAGGAUGCUUAUGAAUUUAUAGAAGAUAUGUCACUGAAUAAUUAUUAGUGGCAAGUCAUAAUGAUAAAGCCAACGAAAGCAGCCGGCAUUUUUAACGUCGAUUCGGUCACCAUGCUCUCUAAUCUGGUAGAACUUUUGAAUAGAAAAAUGGACAGUUUUCUUGGUUCUUCACAGGUUCACCCAGUAAUGCAAUGCAAUCCAAGUGGAGGAGGGACGAGCAAUUUAGAAUACCCACUUUAUGGCUACAUCAUGGAAAAUGAGCAAUUAAAUUAUAUGGGUAAUAAUCCUUGACCUCAAAAUAAUGCUUAUAAUAACACUUACAAUGCAGGAUGGAGGAACCACCCAAAUUUCUCAUGGGGUGGCAAAGGGAAUCAGAGACCACCACCACCUCCUGGCUUCCAACAACCACUUUACCCACAAGAAAAGAAACCGAACCUUGAGGAGAUGCUAACAAAGUUUAUCUCGGUGUCAGAAAUUCACUCUCAAAUACCGAAACAGCACUUAAGAAUCAACAGGCAUCAAUCCAAGGGCUCGUAACACAGAUAGGCCAACUCUCCAAAUUGAUUUCUGAAUGACCACAAGGUAGCCUGCCAAGUAACACUGAAUCUAACCCAAGGGAACAACUCAACGCAAUUACCAUCUAAGACGAGGAAGGGUUAGUUGAACCUGAACUUGAACCGAGGCAAGGAAUUGUGGUAAGUAAAGGUAAAGACGAGGUAGACCACAGUAAGCAGAAACCGGUAAGUAAAGAGUACAAAUCACGAGUGCCAUACCCCAAUGCGACAAGGAAAUAUUGCACAGAUGAACAAUUCGGUAAAUUCCUUAAACUAUUAAAGAAAUUACACAUUAACUUACCGUUUAUUGAAGCUCUUUCGCAGAUGCCAAAUGCAGUCAAAUUCUUAAAGAAGCUUUUAGCAAAUAACAGAAGUUGGAUGAGGCGUCGUAUGUGGAGUUAAAUAUAGUUUGCUCAGCCAUUCUACAGAACAAGCUUGCCAACAAAUUGAAAGAUCUAGGGAGUUUUACGAUUCCUUAUUUAAUUGGUAGUUUAAAUGUUAAAAUGGCUGAUUUAAGGGCUAGUAUUAAUGUCAUACCCUAAAAAAUGUUUAAACAACUAGGUCUUGGGAAACCCAAACAAACUAGGAUGAGUAUUCAGUUAGCCGAUAAAGCUAUCAGAUUUCCUAGAGGUAUCAUUGAAGAUGUACUUGUAAAAAUUGAUGAAUUUAUAUUCCCAAUCGAUUUUGUUGUUCUAGACAUAGAAGAGGGUAGUAACGCACCACUAAUUCUAGGAAGGACCUUUUUAGCAACUGCUAGAACCGUUAUCGAUGUUGGUACAUGUGAACUCACACUUUGUGUGGGUGAUGACUCAGUUACUCUCCAAGCUCGUAAUCCUAUUAAUACUGACCAUGUGGUGCAACCUUCUUUACAGGAAACACUUUUGAAGAGCAUACAUGAGCCUUGUUCAAGUAACAACAAAAAACCCAUCUAUGAAGAACGAAGGCUACAAAUCGAGGACCUAGAUGAAUGGCGAACACAUAAACCAAGGACACACGAUAAACCAAAACCAAUCCAUGACAAGCUCAAUAUUUCACCAAAUCAACUUAUGGUUGGAAACAAAGUACUACUAGAUGCAGCAGACCCUCGUAUUGCCACUCCUAAACCUAACGAAGCAAUCCCUCUUACAGUACUCAGCAUUUUUCCAUAUGGUAUAGUCGAGGUAAUUUAUCCCAAAUUCGGCACUUUUAAGGUAAAUAGUACCCGUCUAAAACUUUAUUUUGAUGAAAUUGAUAGCAUGAACGAGGAGUGUAAACUCCUCGCACCACUAUGACCAUGCAAAAGGGAGGUAAGUCGAGCUUAGACUCUAAAUAAGCGCUUCUCGGGAGGAAACCCGAGUACUAACAGUAUUAAUUUCUUUAAGUUUUAGUUUUUAACAUCUAACCACUAACUUAGUCUUUGAAUACAGCUUUUGGAAAACCACAUGGCCAGGUCCACAUGCGUGUCUUAGGCCAGGCUCACACCACGGGAGGAGACACGGCUGUGCGAUCUGGUCGUGUGAAACAAGGGAAAAGUUUUUCCCUAACACCGGAUGCGAUAAGUUGCUACGAGCGUCAGACGUAGCCAUGGGCGAACCUGUCAAAACAACACGGACGUAUGACACACCCGUGUCUUGAAGUCGUGGUCGACACUGAGAAAUUAACACGGGCGUGCGACACGCCACUGUCAAACCAACACGGUGUGCGUAUUUGAACAUGGGUAUGAGAGAAGCGAAUGAAGUAGAACACGGGUGUGUGACACUUCCAUGUGAACCAAUACGGCCAAAGAACACGGGCGUGGGACAAAUUUCACACACGCUCAAAUUUAAAAAUCGCAAAACACAUGGGCUAAAAUUAGGGCACGCGGACGUACCCCACAGCCGUGUGCCCCAAAAUCUAUAUAAACCCCUCACUAUUCAUCAUCCCCUUCCCCAAAAUCCCUAACCCUAAUCACUGCAACUCCUUCACACACCUUUCCUGCCACUCCCGUACACCGAACACAGCACCACCAUCGAUGACCCAAGGUCCUUCCUCUACCAAGCUCUUGUGUUUAUUCAUUAUUUUCUCUUCAUUUCGUUUACUAAUUUGAUUUUUUUUGCUUUAUUUUGACUGUUAAUCUUCAUAGUUCUAAUAAUACCAAUGCUUAUACCAUUUGUUUCUUGCUAAUCUAGUUGAUGGGUUAUGGUACAUUCAUUCUUGUGUUGCCAUGGACUUCAAUCUAUUUCCCAUAUUAUCAUUCUCAUAUGCAUCCAUUCACUAGGAAUUAUUCUCGUAUUCCUAUUCGUAGUAAUGAAUUAAAAUAUCUGAUUUGGUUAUCUUUCAGCAUAAUUGUUUUUAGUACAUGACUCCUAUGGAGUAUCUCUAUUUAGUUCUAACAUGCAUUGCAUAUUUGUCCACGUUAUUGUUGGGGAGUAAUUUUAUUUUUAUUUUGUCUUGCCAUUGUAGAUUUCAUGUCAAAUCAUGGUAAGAAAACUAUCGUACCCACCUCAAAGAAGAGGAAAGGAGCAGUAUCAUCGUCGAGCCCUAACGCGAAAAUUAGACACCCAUUCUUCCAGUUUCCCUUGGGACCCUAGGAGGAACUUUUCCAGAUACUUCGGGCCCAACCCUUAGGUGCGGGCCGUUGUAUUGAUUGGACCGCACUCGAACAAAUCCAACUAGCUGACGCGGUUCGAGCUCUUCGGACGACUGAUCUGAGGGAGCUCUUCUUUAGGAUCAUCGAGCCGACGUACCUCGAGCUCACACUGGAACUCUAUUCAACAUUCCACUUUCAAACCAUUAUGAUAGAGUUCGAUGAUCCAGGAACAGUCCAAAUCCGCCUCGGUGGCUUGGUUUGCCAAUUGAGCGUACCUGAGUUUAGAAUUGCACUGGGGCUAUAUACGGAGGAAUUCAUGUACGACAACGAACUCGACACCCUACAUUGCCACAUCUACUACUCUCCUUCGAAUUGCUGGCAAGUCUUAGUCCUUGCCUCGGCCACCUACGACCCUAGUCGCUCCAAGGCAUCGGCCUUCGACCCAUCCCUGAGGUAUUUACACGCCAUCUUGGCCCACACUCUGACAAGACGGCGAUAGAGUACUAGCGUUGUCAACACUCACGACACCUACUAUUUAUGAAGUAUGGCACAUGGGCACGUCUUUGACCUUGCCUAUUUCAUCGCCCUCUCCAUUUGCCAUCAAACGGAGCGGCAUAAGAAGGGGGUCAUCUCCAUUGGCCCCUAUGUGACUCAACUUUCACGGCACUUCGGGCUCCUCGACACGGCGGUGCAGGUAUCCUUCCUCACACUCAUCGGUCAGAUGUCCUCACAGGGCAUCUCGAGUAUGCUACACAUGAGGAUGAUAGAGCGAUGAUGUGGAGUUGAUCCUUCCUAGUAUCGCCUCGUCUAGUCAGCCGAGCAGGAGGACCCCGAGGACAUUACUGAAGAUGUCUCUCCAUGACACGAUGAUUCACAGUCUCAGCCACCACCUACCCAUCAUUCAGUUCAUGCGGCGGCUUCAUACUCUGACAUCUCUGAGUGCCUCACUCAAUUUGAGCAGCAGUGUUCUCAACGCUUUGAUCACAUUGAUGCUACUCUACAUCAGACUUGUCAGCGCCUUCACAUCUCAUCACCACCAGCACCUCGCGAACCUCUGGCGAUGACGAUACUUAAAGACUUUUUAUUAUUUUUUAUGUUUUUACUUUUAUCAUUUUAAAACUACUUUUUAUUUUAUUCUUCUUUAAUUUUCUUUUUAUUUCAUCCUUAGGUUUUAUAAUUUAUAUUGAACAAUUUAUGCUUUCAGCUAUUUCUUUUCGAGUAAUUAUGCUUCUUUAUAUUUCCUAAAGAGUUCUUGAUUUUAUCACAGUUAUUAAGAGCUCCAAAGCUCACCAUCACUUAGGAACUUGAAAAUCCACUGGAAAAGGUUCUCCACGACUAUCAUGUCCUGCCCGACCACCACGAUAACCUCUUCGCUAGGCACUGUGGUUGUGGAACCCAAUCUCUACCACCACCAGAGUAUACUCCUCCAAUCUUAUCAUUUCCUUGGCCGAUUAUUCUCCAUAACUCCAAUUCAAGGAGUCCAUUCAUCAUUCAGAAAGUUUCACUUCUCUCCUUAUCUUAUGAUCUUAUAUCUAUAUCAUCGUAAAUCUAACUUUGUACACAUCUUAAAGUGUGGGAGGGGGGUUGUUUAUAUCUUUAUCAGAAAAAUCCCUAAAUUUUGUCUUAUCCUCAUGUGAUCCUCUCAUAUCAGUAUUAGAAUGAAUUUUGAUUAAUUUAUGAUCUUUAUUGAUAUGUCUUGAAUUAAAACAUAGGCAUUUAUGCACUGAUGGUUUAAACUUUAAGGAAUUAGAGAAUCAAGCAUGAUAAGUUGAUUUUUGAGUUUUAAAAAUUUUUAGCUUGUUUCCCCAAGUUCAGGUAUUAUCUUGAGUUGAAAUUCACAGGUUUAACAUCAAAAAGCCAUAAUUUUUGUGAGAUCUUGAACCUUUAAGAUCAUCUAUUAUUUAUUUCAUGCUCAUUUUUAUUGUUGCUUUGAGCGCGUCAAUCUUGAUUUGUUAUUCUAGAACUUGCUUGCUAAUACAUGUCAAGACCACACCUUUGAUUUGAUAUGUCAAGAUGAUAAAGGCACUUAGGUUUAACCCAUUCACUCCAUAAAAGCCUACCUUUAUAAUUAACCCUUAGUGAACCCCUUUGAGCCUAACAAGCCAUUCAUUGAUUUACCCUCAAUAUUAACCCAUAACCUAUUAUUGUUGAAAUCCCCUAAUUUGAUCCCUAUUUUUGUCGAGAUUUGAUUUGAAUUAAUUGCUUAGCUAUGUUUUAUUUUUUUUUUUGUAAUAAUUAGCAAAGUUCUAUGUUCUAUGUUAUUUGGCUUGUUCUUAAAAAAAAUGCAUUCAUAUUAGUAGUAAUUCUUUAUUUUUGAGCUUAAGUUUUUAAAUUCCUUAUCCCAUGAAUAAAAGCUCAAUUCUAGGAUUUUCUAAUUAAAAAUGUAAUUUAUCAAGUUGUAGUAUUUUUAUAGUUAGGUAAUUUUUCAAUUCAAUCUCGAUUCUAACUUUCUCUUUCAGCUUCUAACCACACCCCCUAACCAAAGCCACGAUACAACCCUCUGAAGACCUUUUGAUUGAUGAAUCAUCUCAAUAUAUAGUGGUGGAGAUUUGAUUUUCACGCAAGCCUAUGGUAAUAACUUUUCAUAUUAACUAUUGAGUGCUAAAUUUCAUGUCCUUAAACACCUCGAGUGAUUUGAGUGAAUCUUUAGUGAGAAGGUUAAACUUUGUGAUAUUUUGAAUCAAAGGUAAUCACUUAGAUGAGGGGAGACACCUAUGUUUUCGUGAUAAAAUGCUCAACUUGGAAUGUUUGAAAGUUUGAUGUUCUUCUAGUUGAAUUCUCAAUGUGUGAUUACUUAUGGUUUAUUUUGAGAGACUAUUGAUGAGAAUUAUAAUUUGAGAAGAAUUUAUUUUGAUUGUGAGUUGAAGAUUUUACUUGAGGACAAGCAAACGCUUAAGUGUGAGGGUAUUUGAUAAACCAUAAUUUAUACAUAUUUUUACCUCAUUCUUAGCAUUUUUUGGAUGAAUUAUCCUUAGAUUUGGUGAAUUCGAUGCUCCUAAUCCUUUAAUUUCAUGUUUUAUACUUAGGUGAGCAUAGGAGAGUAAAAAGAGCGAGAAAUGGGCCGAAAACGAAGAAAAUGGACCAACAUGGGAAAUCAACACGGCCUGGACUUCCUCACAUGGGUAAGCCACACGGUCGUGUUCAUUUGGCAAAAUCGAAGCACGACUUACACGGGUAGACCACGCGCCCGUGCCUAUGUAACAGCCUUGAACACGGAUUGAAGAAAUCGCACACAGGCGUGUCACACGGGUGUGUCCCUGUUAAGCCCGAGUUUAGUUCUAUUCGAAAAAGGCCACUCUUGAGGGCUUUUAGGCAUUCUAAAGCCUAUUUAAACACCUGAGGAGGAACUUAGAAGAGACACACAGAGUAGGAGGCAAUGAAUUACUUAAAGAAAGCCGAUUUAUCCAUCUCAGAAGCCGGAUUCAUCGUCAAGACUGAAGAUCGCCCUUCAAUUUCCUUCAGGAGUUUUAGGUUUUCUUUAUGUUUUGUUAUCUUUAUUCUUUUGAGAUGUUUUCUUUCAUAAUUAUAAACUAAACCCCUUAAAUACCUAAAGGGAAUGAAACCUAAGACGGAUCUUGUUAUUAUUAUCUGAAUUGUAUGAUAAAUUUUUGACUUUUUCUUAAUUAUGUGUUCUUAAUUCUUAUUUUAAUAUUCCAGGAUAUUGAUUCAAGUUAAUGCGCUUAUUCAGAGGAGCAAAAGUCUCUAUCUAAGAGUAAAUUUGUCGUAAUUAAGCGGAGUUGAUUGCACGACUAGAGAUAGGGUAACAAAAUUUUGACGGAUUAGGAUGAAACCUAAUAAGGGAGUCCAUAGAUCGAGUUAAUGCAACACUAGGGUGUUGAUUAAAAAGAGAAUUCAAUUAACCAACCUAGGGUUAGAUAUUAUUAGUCUCGAGAGAGAUAAUAAUAUAACUUUGGGAUUUCUACGGAUCAAGUCAAAUGAAUAAAUCGUCUGAUUUAGAGUCAAAUAACAAGUGAAGUCUAGGUGGAUUUUUCCUUGGGUAUUGUCUUAAUCAAUCGAGUUUUCCCAAAAGCUUUCCCCAAUUUUCUCUCUAUGCACCCUUAGUUUAGUUAAUUAGUUUAGAUAAACAAAUCCCUUAAUUUUUAGGCUAGAUAAUAAAAAAAAGUAAUUACUAGUACUCUUGGUUCUUUUGGGUUCGACAAUCCGGUCUUGCUAAAGCUAUACUACUGUUCGAUAGGUACACUUGCCUUCAUCAUGAUAAUAGUUAGUUUCAAGAACGGUCAAUUAUAAAUUUUUUAAAACUUAUCGCGAUGACCAAAUCAUUACCCGCUUCCUUUUCCACUACGAAAUCUUAACUGGUUGAAGCAGUCCAGAGGGCAACUGAUGUUUGGCCUUAACUGUAACGCCCCAAUUUUCGGGAAUUCUGUGAAUGUUGGCAUAGGUUUAAUUAUGUUAGUGGGCCUCUAGAAGGCCGAAGCUUAAGAUAGAACCCGGCAAUUUUAGUUAAUUUUUGUUCCAUAAGAAAAAUGGGGUGAAAUUAUGAAAUAGAACCUAUGUGAAAAUGUUUGAAAAUGCUAUAGGCUAAAUUGAAGUGGCCAAAUAAAUAGGAGUGCAAAAUAGGAGGAUUUGCAUGACAAACCUCCCAUUUUACAUGAAGUGGCCAGCCAUCAUGUUGUUGUAGACAAUAUGAGCACUUGAUAUCCAUAAUUCAUGGUACAAAUUGAUAAUGGGUUAGGUAAAUGUUCCAUGAUAAUGAAUUAGGUAAAUAUUCCAUGAUGGGCAUUUCAUGUCUUUUGUAUUAAAGAAUUAAAUGGAUGAAAUAUGAAAUUUUAUUAAAAAAAAAGGGGUGAAAAGAACAAAGUUUUGUCCACAUUUGUUCAUCAUAGCCGAAAGUUAGAGAAGAGAAAGGAGAGGAGAAAGCUCUUGAAUGUUCGAUCACUUGGGGAAGAAAAUUGAAGGUAAGUUCAUGGUAGUUUGCUUCUAUCUUGAUGUUCAUGAGUUCUUCUUGAUUCUACCUUAACUCUUGAAGCAUAUUUUGGUUUUUAGUUGUGUUGUGAGCAUUUAGUCAUGAAUUAAAAUGAAGGAAAUGGUUGUUGUUUCAUAUUCUUUUGAUGAAAAAUAGAAGAUAGGUGAAGUUGAGCCAAACAAAUGAGCAUGCAUGUGCCUUAGAUGCUAAGGGGAAAAAUCGGCUAACAUGUUGUACUUUAAAAUGAUGAAAUGAAGAUUAUACUUAAGUAAAAUCAUAGAUAUGUGAUGAUUGAUUGGUGAUAUACAUGUUUAAAUAACAAGCAUGCAAGUUAGGUGUGAAAGAGUGAUUUGGUAAUAAAUCUGCUUGGGACAGCAGCAGUAACGUGACUUUGGAAAAUCACCAUAAAUUGUGGGAGAUGAGUUAGAAGCUGCAUAAAUUAUGUAAUUAAAGCUUAAUGAGUCUAGUUUCAAAUGGAAUAAAUGAGAACUGUAACACCCCAAUCCCGUAUCCGUCGCCGAAAUAGGUAAUGGGGCAUUACCGGACUUGAAACUCAUAUCAGAACAGUAAAAAAAAUUUUUUUUUGAACAUUCCUUUAGAUAAGUACUAAAGACAGUCAGGGAUACAAUUUAAACUUCUAUAAGUACACAUUCAAAAGAUGCCAUUUUCGCAUGGCUUAUAUACAUUAACCAAAAUAUUCUUCGACCACUGGUCUAUUCUAUACAUGCCAUAAAAUAAUUCUAAACAUAAUAGUAACAAGUAGUGGAUAGUGAUAGUGUGACUAGUUGCUGACAAUUCCCGAGCCUGUAGCUUCGAAAUGAGAUCUAUAAAAUAGAGAAAACAAAGUAAACGGAGUAAGCAUUACAAUGCUUAGUAAGUUUUAAGCAGUGUCAACAGAUAACAAUCAAAUUAUAACAUAGUUGUUUGUAUUUUUAUUUCACUCUUCCUUCGGGCAUACCAUCCCUUUACCGAAUAUGCACAUCUCAUCAUAUACAAUAGGCAGAUAAACUUUCACAUAAAAGUGAGGUCAUGUGACAUAGAUAUAUUGUAUAAUUUCACAUAACCUCUCACACUGAUCCGAUGUCACAUAAUCAUAGGAAUAGUCUCAUAGAUUGCUCUCGUAUGCAUCACAUAUCAACCUUAUGAUUUAGUUCAAAUCAAGCUCACAUAUAAACUUGGAGUACAUACCUGUUUAACCUUUCGCAUUGAAUAUAUUUAUAAGCAAUUCUUAUUACGAAGUCUUAUAGCUUUAACCUCUACUCAGAUUAUCGGCGAGACCUUUAGCUCAGACGAAAUCUCCACACGAAGUUAUCGGGUCUUACCCGGACAAAAUCUCCACACGUAGUCAUCGGGUCUUACCCGGACAUAAUCUCCACACGUAGUCAUCGGGUCUUACCCAGAAUAUAUUUCCAAGUUUCAUGUACAUUUAAUCACAUGUUACAACAUUCACAUCGACUGUCAUAUUUGUAAUUCAUUUGCCUCAUCAAAUAUCUAAUAAUACACACCUUUCACAUUUGGUCAUUCGGCCACAAUAUACGCACAUCGCCUACAUAUUUCACACUAGCCAUUCGGCUUUACCACAUAUACAUAUCUCAUACAUAUUUCACACUAGCCAUUCGGCUUUACCACAUAUACAUAUCUCAUAUAUAUAUAUUUCACAUUGACCAUUCGGCUUUACCAUAUAUGCAUAUCUCAUACAUAUUUCACAUUAGCCAUUCGGCUUUACCACAUAUACAUAUCUCAUACAUAUUUCACACUAGCCAUUCGGCUUUACCACAUAUACAUAUCUCAUACAUAUUUCACACUAGCCAUUCGGCUUUACCACAUAUACAUAUCUCAUACAUAUUUCACACUAGCCAUUCAGCUUUACCACAUAUACAUAUCUCAUACAUAUUUCACAUUAGUCAUUCGGCUUUACCACAUAUACAUAUCUUAUACAUCAAUUUCAGCAAUAGCUUAUAAGCAACUCAAAUAGUUUCAUCAAUGUUUACAACAAAUUCACAUAUUCACUACAAGCUGUUUUCCUGAGCAAUAGUCACUAAAUUAUUUAUAACUGGAGCUACAAAACUCAAAAUCAAUUGCCGUUAAUUUUCCCUGAAUAUAGACUCAUAUAUCUUCCAUCCAUAAGAUUUUCAGAAUUUUAGAUUUGGCCAAUCAAUACCAGAUUUUUCUUAAAGUUUCCCCUGUUUCACUGUUUGACUAAUCUGACUACUCUUCACUACGAAUCAAAUUUCUCAUUUUACAGAAUUCAAAAUGUGUUCUAUUUGAUUUCAUUUGAAACUAGACUCAUUAAGGAGUCUAAUAAUAUAAAUUUUAUAUUAUAACCAUUUUUUUACAAAUUAUAAUGAUUUUCUAAAAACCGAACAGGGGAUUUCAGAGUCAUUCUGACACCGUCUCACUCAACUUUAAAUAUCUCUUUAUAGGAAAUUUCUUUGCUCACACGGUCUCUUUUAUAAGAAACUAGACUAAUUAAGCUUUGAUUACAUAUUUUAUUCAGCCUAUAAUUCCACACCAUCAAUUUAUGGUGAUUUUCUAAAAUCACGUUACUGCUGCUGUCCUAAGCAAAAUAUUACAAUUUGCUCUUAAAUUUCCAAGUCCAAACACUUAUGAACUCACCAUUUGAGUUUAAAACAUAUCAUGGCCACAUCAUAUCUUAUUAAAUCAACUCAUUAUGUCCUAUUAUGAUUGAAUUUACUCAACGUUUAAUCACUUAAAACUUACCUCGGAAGUGGUCGACGACUAGAUAUCCACGGCAUUCGUUUACUUUCUCUUUUCCCCUAUCCGACUUUGAUCCUCUUUGCUCUUAAGCUUAAGUAAAACAAUAGAUUUGCUUAAGUACUUAACUAAUAUUAUUCACUUAACAAUCGCAUUUCGCAAUCACAUAUCAUUUAAUCUAUAUCUAAAACAAUAGAUUUCAAUAUGUAUCAUAUUUAAUAAUUCAUGCCAUGACUCGAUCUCAUGCUUAUUUAAUUUAUAUCUAAUUCACAUUCACAAGCAAAGAGCCACUUAAUUUAUCAUGCUUCCUUAUACAUGAAUUUAAUCAUAUUGCCGAAUACAUAUAUAUAUCAUCAAACAGAUAUUUAUUCACAUAACAACAAUUCAUUCACAUCUCUAUAAAUGGUCAUAAUCGGACAUUAUAAACAAAUCAACUAGUUUAGAAUUCAAAUUCUUCUAACCAUUCCUCAAUCAUUUACUCAAUGAACAACAAUCCAAGCACAUCAAAGCAUAGUCGAAUGUAUCAUUCUUCUUAAAUUCAAAAAUAAAUGCAUGGGCUAACUUCAAAAUCUAUUUAACAACUCAACUUUAUAAACACAUAUUCGGCUAGGAAGAAAGAUUGAUAAUUUAACAACCUUAGCUUAACAUAUAAUUUGUUGUAACACAUCUUUAAGCAUUCUUUUAUUCCAUCAACUCAAAACACAUUCAUCACUCACAAUAACUAUGUUCAUAUUCGGCAAUGGCCUCCAAUAUAGUGACCCAUUCUUCUCAACUAGCACCUAGUGUACACACAUGAUCAUUUGUUUGAUUCAAACACCUAUCCACCAAAAAUUCAUCCAAAUUAACAAGAACAACAACCACAUUCCUUGUUAUCUACCAUGACCGAAACCCAUAUUCAUUCACCAAAUAUCAAAAAUUUAACAUGGGUCCAAUAAGGAACUUAGAAAUUUACUAGGAUUUAACUAAUAUUUCAAAAAUUAACCAAAACUUCUUACCUUAAUAUUGACCUUAGAUGACCGAAUGCUUCACUCCCUUCUCCGUCUUUUCAUUUCGUCCAAGAAGAACCGAUUUCUUCUCUUGUUUUCAUCACACUUUCAUUCUUUUCUUUCUUUUAUUAUCCUUAGUAUUUCUUUUAUUUAUUUCCUUUCUUUUACAUAAAAUAAUGACCAUUUCAUGAAGAUUCACUACAUAUUCUAAUAUAUGCACCAUCAUGGCCGGCCACUAUGUAUAAAAAAAGGAGUAUUUGACAUGCAAAACCAUUGUUUUCACUACAUGCUUUAAUAGGUCCUUAUAGAUUAACCUAUCACAUUUCACAAGUGUCACACAUAAGUCCUAUUAACUAAAUUCACAAGCAAUUAACUAAAUCGAAGCUUAAAACUUUCACACAUUCAUAUUCACAUAUUUUAGACAAUAAUAAUCAUAUUCAAAUAAUUUGGUGACUCGGUUUAGCAGUCCCGAAACCGCUUUCCGACUAGGGUCACUUUAGGGCUGUCACAAGAACAUAUUUUGAAUUAUGUACAAUGAGAAAUUUGAUUCGUAAUGAAGAGUGGUCAGAUUAGUCAAACAGUGAAACAUGGGAAACUUUAAGAAAAAUCUGGUAUUGAUUGGCCAUACCAAAAAUUCUGAAAAUUUUAUGGAUAGAAGAUAUAUGAGCCUAUUUUCAGGGAAAAUUAACGGCACUUGAUUUGGAGUUUCGUAGCUCCAGUUAUAAAUAAUUUAGUGACUGUUGCUUAGAAAGACAGCUUGCAGUGAAAUUAUGAUUAUGUGGUAAACAUUGACAAAAAUUUAUUAAUGAGUUGCUUAUUGAUUUCCUAUAAGCUUACUAUGAUCUGUACGUGUGGUUGGACGAAUAUUGUAAGGGGUUAAUACGUAGUUUGUAUUUGAAUAGUUAGAUUAACGUGUUAGUAAUCCAAUUGUAGGCGGUUCGUGUGUGGAUCUCGUCAGCAUAUCGUCGCAAACAGGUGUGUAACUGACACCCUCUCAUGGACUAGAUUCGCAAAAGCCGAAAAGCCGAAAUGCCGAAAAGUCGGUAUUUGGGGAAUUUGCGAGUGUGCGAAUGCUCGUAAGAUAGUUGGGUUUGUAUAUUUGGUAAUCUAAAGUAAUAAACUGCAGUACGCGCGAUUUCAUCCAUUUUGAUAAUUUGGGCUUAAUGGGCCAAAGAUCGGGAUCAUAGGCCAACGGGCCCAAUUUGGUAAGUAUGCGCGGUAAGUGUUUUGAUAGUACGUAAAUAGUUAGGAUAUGCAUGAAAACCCUAAAAGUAGCUAAAUUACUAUAAUACCCCUAUGCAUGGAAUAUUACUGUUAUACCCCUAGGUGCAAAAUUACCGUUAUACCCCUAGGGUUAAUUUUGACUAAAAAGCAUGACGAUCUGAUUCUGUAUGAUGUAUGCCAUGAUUAUAUAUCUGUUGCAUGGGGACAUGGGUUAUAUUAUGGAGGAAGCGUCCUGGUGGCUGUGCCACGAUUAUCUGAUCUCGUGGCUCUGCCACAUAUAUCUGUUGUGGUGGCUCUGCCACAAUAUCUGUAUCUGGUGACUUUGUCACAAUAUUUGGCAGCCUCGCUGCGAUUUCUGUGGUGUUUAGCGGUUGGGUGGGUCGAGUAGUCUCCCCACAUGGUGUAAGGCUGGUAUGGGGGUGUUAUGGAUGAAUCUGGGUUAGGUUUCUGCAUAUACAUGUAAUAUCUGUUCUGUUUUGUUAUGAGCCUAUGGGCUUUAUUCUGAAUUCUGUUCUGGGCUAAGGCCAACUUAUUCUAUUUCUGUGGUUUGAGCUGAUAUAGGCUAUGGUUGGGUUAAUUUACACACUGAGUUUCCCCAAACUCACCCCUUUUAUUUUCAUCCACGCAGGUAAUCCCCAACCAUAGUGGGCUUGGAGCUGUGAGGGAAUUCAGAGUGGCCACCCGUUCUGAAAGUUUGAUUUUCUUCUGGUGAACUGGACAUCCUUUUAUUUACGUUUGAAGUUUUGGGUUUUUAAAUGUAAUAAGGCCGCUUAAUUAUUUUUGAUGGUUUUAAUAUGUAUUACUAAUAUAGGCAUUACUUAUUUUAACUGUUGAAAUUGGAUAGCUUUAGGGCGCGUUUUCGAAAACAACAAUUUAUUUCAAAAUAACACGAUAACAAGCAAAGCUUCUGCAAUGAAAGUAUUUUCCAAAAUUAAUCACUUUUCCUAAAAAAUGACUUAAUCAAAUCGGUUUCCUAGAAAUAUCCAUGACGUUAAUGUGUGGCAAUGGCGGUAUGCAUGUCUAGGAUUGGAUCCGAAGGGAGCUUGGUACUUAAGCAGUCCGAUAGACUCACCUCCUCUUUUUCGGUUUCCUACCUGGUGCACAGCUUCCAUUCACUUUAACCUAUAAUGAAAUUAUCUUUUAAAACACUAAGUAGGUUUUUCUGGAUCAACAAUAUAAAAUGUUUUGAACGCUUCGAUGUGGCAUGUCGGAUCCGGCCAUAAUGUCUGGGCCGGGUUUGGGGUGCUACAUUAACCUUUUGACACGUCAAAUAGUAGGACACAAAAGUGAUUACCUCCCGUUUCAUAUCGAGCCACCAAUAAAGUUCUUGAAGAUCCUGGUACAUCUUAUUCCCACCAGGAUACAUAGCAUAGGGGUUAUUAUGUGCCUCCUACAGAAUUGAGUGCUUUAAUUCUUUGUCAUUGGGUACACAAAUCUGACCUUUGAACCAUAAUACAUUAUUAGUAUUCAAGCUAAAAUCAAAAUUCUCGUUUGAGCCAACAUGUUGCAAUCGCUGUAUUAAGGAUUCGUUAUUUUGUCGUUUAGCUCAAAUUUGCUCUAUCCAAAUCGGUUUCACCUGGAGUUCAGCUAACAACCCUCCAUCCUCAACCAAACUUAAACGAGCUAACAUUGCUCUCAGAUCCACCAUUACUUUAUGGCAAAAGGCAUCAACUACCACAUUAGGGUUACUUGAUUAUAUUCUAUUAUGCAAUCAUAUUUUUUUAGUAACUCGAUCCAUCGGCGCUAAAAAAGGUUCAACACUUUUUGGGUUAACAAAUAUUUGAGGCUCUUGUGAUCAGUGUAAAUAAUACACCUUUCACAAUACAGAUAGUGUCUCCAGAUUUUCAAAGCAAAUAUGGCCUCAGCUAGCUCAAGAUCAUGGGUGGGGUAAUUACCCUCAUCUGUCUUCAUCUUCUGUAAUACGUAAGCGACCACCUUACCAACUUGCAUAAGCACACAUCCUAACCCAACAUGUAAAGCAUCACUGUAAACCACAAACUCCCGUCCCGAUUCUGGUUGAACCAAAACAGGAGCUUGUGUCAGAACGAACUUGAGUUUAUCGAAACUAGACUGCUAUGCCUCAGACCACACGAAUGGAGCAUUCUCACGUAACAGCUUUGUCAAAGGUGAUACAAUCAGAUAAAACCCUUUGACGAACCUUCAGUAGUACCUAGAUAAACCAAAGAAGCUACGAAGUUCGAACAUGUUUUUUGGUUGUUUCCACUCAACAAUAGCUUUAAUUUUAUUGGGAUCAACUCGCAUCCCUUCCGCCGUAACCACAUGACCCAAAAAGGCAACCUCCUACAACCAAAGCUCACAUUUGCUGAACUUAACAUACAACUAUUUUCCUCGAAGAUUCUGAAGUACAAUACGAAGAUGACCAUCUUGCUCAGUUUCAAUUUUAGAGUAGAUCAAAAUAUAAUCGAUAAAAACCACACAAAUUGAUCCAAAUAUGGUUGAAACACCCGAUUCAUUAAGUCUAUAAAAGCUGUUGGGACAUUCUUAAUCCGAAAGGUAUUAUCGAAAACUCAUAAUGUCCAUAACGAGUUCUGGAAGUAGUUUUGUACACAUCAGUCUCUUUGACCUUGAGCGGAUGGUAACCAGAGUGUAGGUCAAUUUUAGAAAAGACAGACGCUCCCUGAAACUGGUCGAACAAGUCAUCAAUCCUUGGUAACAGAUACUUAUUCUUGAUCGUCAACUUGUUCAAUUGCCUAUAGUCAAUACACAUCUUUAUCGACCCAUCCUUCUUCUUAACGAACAAUACCGGUGCCCCCCAUGAAGACACAUUCGGUUGAAUAAAUCCUCUAUCAAGGAGUUCCUGAAGCUGUGCUUUUAAUUCAGUCAGUUCUUUUGGUGCCAUACGAUAGGGAGCAAUGGACACUGAAGUAGUACUUGGUAAUAGAUCAAUUCCAAACUCCACAUUUCUAUCCAGAGGUACUCCAGGCAAUUCCUCGAGAAAGACAUUUGGGAAUUCUCUUACGGUACGGAUAUCUCCCAGUAAUAACUUUUUGGAAGCAGAAUUGGAUACAUAAGCUAGGUAUGCCUCACACCCCUUUCAGACUAAUUUGUUUCCUACUAGAGCCGAGAUUACAUUAGUGAAGUAAUCUCGACGCUCUACAACCAUUACCACCUCUUUAUUCUCAGUCGGUCUCAGAGUAACUCUUUUGGUUGCACAGUCUAAACUGACCCGAUAUUCAACGAGCCGAUCUAUUCCAAGAAUUAAAUCAACCUCGUUAAAGGGCAAUUCCAUUAAAUCAGCUGGAAAUAUCAUACCCUAAAGCUCUAGGGGUACUAGUCUGUAUACCCUACCGACUCGAAUUAACUGACCCAAUGGACUAAUUACAGAAAACUCUCUAGCAGUAUUCUCAGCAGUUAAAAACCCAGAGUUAUAGAAACAGCACUAGCUAUGUACGAAUGAGUAAAGCCAAUAUCAAUGAGAGUAUAAUACGAUACAAAGUGGAAAAAAAAGGUACGUGCAAUGACAUCAGCAUUAUCGCUCUUCUCGCGACAUCUAGAUGCAUAAACUAGUGUCGGCUGGCGAGUCUCAGCCUAACCAACACCUCAACCCGGUGUUCACCAUCUUCUCUCAGCUUCGUUACCACCACUACCAGUACCACAACUUCUGAAAGGUUGCUGAGUCUCUCUCAGAGGUCGAACAGAGUUUCGGGUCGAAGUUUGUACCACACUUGGCACUGAAUCAGGUCGACGGGGACAAUCCCUAACUCGAUGCUUCAUCGAACAACAACAGAGGCACGCUCUUAAUUUCCUCCAACAUUUGCCCCGAUGGUGCUUCCUACAAUCAGUACACUACUAAAUUUCAGUCACUACAACUAGUGUCUCGACUCUCGGGGGCAUGUCAAAACUCACUCGCUUCUUAGGGUGUUGAGCAAAACUAGAGGGACCCGAAUCUCUCUUAACUUUAUUCUAAUCCUUCUCACGGUCCCGUAGUUCAUGCUCAAUGCACUUUACUUCUUUCACUAUUUUUGCUUUAUCAACCAAAAUCAUGAAUACCCGCUCCUUCUGAGGAGCUAUCAAAACCCGCAGUUCAGAUCUUAAGCCUUCUUCGAACCUCACACACUUGUCGUAGUCAGAAGCUACCAAAGUCCGUGCAUAUUUUCCCAAUCGCAGAAACUCGACUUCAUACUUAGCCACAGAUCGGUCACCCUAAACUAGGCUCAUAAGCUCGCGUCGGUAAGCCUCAUCAUAGCUUGCCCCCACAUACUUACCCUUGAAGGCAUUCUUGAAAUAGUCUCAGUUCACUUGCUCAGGUUGACCACCGUGUUCAACAGUUAGCCACCACUGAUAAGCUUUGUCUUGGAGUAGAGACACUGCGCCCCUCAUUUUUUGAGUAGGAGUGCAAUUAAGAUCAAUCAUAAUAUGUUCGGUAGCAUUGAGCCAAUACUCAACAAUAGUAGAGUGAUACGGCCGAGCCCCGAGACUCAUCAAGGACUGAUAAAGAACCUUUACGGCUGCCCUUUGGACCGAUAACUUAACCUCAUCCAAAAGAUUCAAAGAGACUGUUUCGGCUUUAACUGAUCGACUAUGAAGAAAGAAUGUUGCUGGGCUCAUUGAAUGAACGUAGACAAGUCACCCGAGCAAGCCUUGCAACCUUCUACAAGCCCAUCUUGUUCAUUCGUAGCCCAUUGAGCUCAACUCCAGCUCGUUUUUAACUUAGCAAUAUUUUGUUGCUAGAAAUAAGGAUUUCAAUCCAUUUUAGUUAUUUUAGUUUGAUUCUUUAAUUAUGUCAUAGUUUGAACAUCAUUAUAAUGAGUCUUUAAUUAUGUUAUAGUUUGAACAUCAUUAAUAUGUGUUCUGCAUUUAAUAAAGUCAUGCAUUAUGUAACUUUCAUGUUAGUUAAGUUUGCAUCAUUAAAUUAAGUCAUGCAUUAAGUAACUCAUUUUUUCAUUUAGUUUACAUCUUAAUUAAAUUAUGCAUUUAAACAUCUUAUUUGUUUGUAUUAGAGUGUUAUUUAAUUUGGCUGUUACUUUUGCAUAAGUUAUAGUGUGUUUAAUAUUUCUUAAAUAAAAUUAAUUGUGUGUUCAAUUUUUGUUGUAGGAAAGUUAAAAAGGCUGGAUACAUAUUUUAAAGCUACAAUAGGGCUGAUCAUUUGCCAAGAAGAAUCAAAUGCUGUCACAUUCAAAUGGCUGUUCAAUUUUGGCAUAAAAAAGUGUGCAUUUGGCCACUUAAUUGCUGGUGCAUAAAAGGAACAUUUUUUUUGGAUAUUGAAGCACUUAAAGCUUAUUAUGGUGGCUUUUCAAAUGGACCAAGAGUGUCUCUUCAAGUCUGAUCAGUUUUUGGAGUCUUUUUCCUUCAUUAUGACGCCAUUAAAAGAGGAAGUUACAUAAGCUUUAUGAUAUGGUUACAAGGGAGUUGAAGGGACAUCAACUAAGUACAAUAAGAACACAUUAAGUCUUCAUUAAUAGAUAGAGUCAUGCCUUUUCAUCUACACCAGGAUCAAAUGAAGAGACAUGACCAUUAGAUUUCCUACAUAAGUUAAAAAUGAAAUUAACGCUUGUAAUAACCUUAGUUAAUUGUUGAAGGUGAAAUGUCACAAAUAGGCAUUCGAAUAGUCAUAAUAGUGCCUAUAAAAUAGAUUGUAAAAAGACAUUAUUUUAGUUAAGAAAAAUUUUGAUACUUUUAUGGAUUUUUACAUUUUUGUGAGUUUAAUUCAACUCUCAUUGUUUUCUAAGACUCAUGCUAACUUAUCUAGCAUUGAUAGUGGCGUCCAACUUGUUUUCUUUGUGAACUUAUCACUCUUUGAGUGUGGCGUUCAACCCCAAUACCUUUGAUUCCUAUCUCCUUAUAGAUAGUGGGUCAAAGUCCUUUUUAACCAUCAACCUUUCCACCUUAAAAGUCAAUAUCAGAUUCGGGUCAAAACUCCUUAUAGUAUUGGUUCUUUCUUGGACCUUAACCUUUUUCCAUCCAUUCGAAUUAUUCCUUUCAAAGUUAUUUUAUUUUUCUUUAUUUAACUGAAACAUUCACUUAGACUAUUCCAAAAUACUUAAAAACUAUCUUUGCUUUAGCCUACACUUAGCCAAAUUCACUCAACUCCAAAUUGAACAAAACUUCUCUAUUUUACGAUCAGGCAAUACUACGACUCGAAAUCAAAUCACGAGAUAUGUUCAUAUCAAGGAGCGACUCCUAUGACACCCCUAAAUAGUUCAGCACCAUUUGACCAAAGUUGUUCAGUAAUCGACCCCAGGCCUCCCGAUCGUGAAUGGGUCCCAAUAACCAUCUCAAGAGCCCAACUUAUGGCCUGGGACAGUGUGUCGUCCCCAGCCGUAGGAGUCUAAGACUCCGCCUCUGCAGUGGGAGUACUAACUGUAUCACUGAUCUCCAGAUUAGACAUGCUACCCAUAGAAGAUGACUCAGCUUGAGCUCCUCUUUGGCGUCCUCGAUGCCCCCGCAAACCCCAUCCACGACUACCAUGUAAACUCAUAUUGCAUUCUAGCUAUAAUUUCAGAAUACACAGAUCAGUUCACAAAUCCUACAUAACGGUUCCAUCAGUUUACACCAAGCAAUCUACCAAUAACUGUUAGGUAUCAUAAUCUUUACAAAAGAACAUAAAUACUUACUGGGUCAGCGUUGGAGGCUCGGUCAUUCCCUAAUGUUUCAGUGUUUCUAUAUUAGUUCGGCUAAAAAUUAUUACUAGGCAUAAUUCUCACACAUUAAGAGCCUAAACACAGUUCGAGUGUUAGCAAACCUACCUUUGAUACCACUAAAUAUAACACCCUAAACCUGACCUAGACGCCCAAACCAAGUUGGAGAGUCACAUCAACCAUUCUAAAAGCCAUACUACCAUAACGCAAUCAAAUUAAACAAGGCGUCACAUAUAUUCAUCCAAUUGUAAUUUAAAGACAUAAUCUUCAUAAAUCCAUAACAUCAUAAAACAAAUAUCCUUAAUAAUAAUGCUAGCAGAAUAUCAAUAAGUGUCUAACCGAGCUUCCGCGACACCGAUCCGAUCAAGACUGAUUACCACCUGUAACCCAAACAAUAACAGGGUGAGUUAUAAGCUCAGUGCGUAAAAAGAAAUGUAAUUUACCAACGGUGACUUAUGGAGAAUAUCCAGUUCAGAGAUUCAGUUCAUCCUAGAAGCAUAUUUGAUCUAGGCUCAGAGCAAAGGCAUUAAAUAUGUAUACAUGUAUUAUUAUAGUUCAAAUAUAGUUCAGAUCAGAUUCAGAUGCAAUAUUCCUAUUUUCAUCCUUUGCACACCAACUUUUCCCAUCCCAACACACCACUAUGGACAUUUAAUGCCCAUCCAUCCCUUCACAUCUUUAAAGUGUUCAAUGACACUUUCAUAGAAACGCAGCUUAGCUCCUAGUUCAAUGUACGACAAGCGCUAGAAUCAGAGAGAUACUUAUUGUGGCAUAACCAUGAUUUCAAUACAGACUCUCCUUCUUCCUCACAAUCUUCCACCACAUCUUAAUGCAGAAUACAAUAGUUCGUAACACAUGUGUAGCCAUUCUGAUAAAAUACAUAAUUAAUAAAACAGUUCAAUAACAGAGUGGUGUUACAAUGCAUAUUCAAGUAUGUGAUUCACAGAUCAGUCUCAUGUAAGCAAAUUCAGUCAUUCAUAAAUUAAGGAAACCAAUAUCAGAGUUUAGCACCCUUCUCGGCCUCAAAAAUAGUUCUCGAAUCCAAUAUCCUGCCACACGACCUGGGCACACGCUCGUGUACCUUGGUCGUGUGGUUUUUAAGUACAAAUAGUGAGUUACACAACCUGGGCACAUGUCUGUGUCAUUGGCUGUGUGGUUUUAUGCUGCAAACAGUGACUUACACGACCUGGGCACAAGGUGGUUUUUACACCCUAAAUAGUGAGUUACACUGUCUGUGCAUACACCCGUGUCCCUGGCUGUAUGAACCUUGCACUAAAUUGGCCUAAACAUACACCCGUGUAGUCGCCCGUGUGGUCUUAAUUCAAUAAACAAUGAUUUACACGACCAUUUACACGGCCUACCAUACGCCCGUGUGACGCACACGGCCUAGUCACACACCCGUGUGCCUGGACGUGAAGCAUUGACAGCCACCAUUUUCGGCGAUAAAAGUUACAAAAACUAAGGUUUCCAAUACACACUUGAGACGAUUUGAAAGUAGUGACAAUGAAGAGAAGUUCUGAAGCCUAAAACGAUCAUUCAAUAACUCAAUUAAUCAAGUUUAUCAACAACAAUGCACAAUUAUACUCAAAAUACCUAUGUCGAAAGUUUUCACACCAACUUUCAACGGAAUCAAUACUUACAAAAAAGAAUCAACGACGAUUACUCGAAUUGACUUGCUGAGGUUCGCUACUCUCAAUAUCCCCGCCUAACAGGGAAACCAAACGAUUGACUAUCAGAGAUUCACGCAACACACACAAACAACCAUCUCAAAGUAUACUAUGUAAAGCAAAAAGAGAAAACCUAAAAUUUAAAGAAUCGACAUCAAAACUUACUCAAUAACCUCCUAACAGAGAAUGCUAACAGCGUAACUUCAACUAGUCCAUAUUCCUUACGAUAAUUAAAGAGGAAAAGGGAAAAUCGAAAAAGAAGAAAAAGUAGAGAAGUAAGAAAAAGAAAACGAAAAAGGAAAAACAAGAAAAAUAAUAGGAAAGAAGAACUAACGUUAAUUGAUUAUAAAUUAACUUCCAUCCAGACUUCCAGCAUUUAGCAAAAAUAUUUUCCUUACGCAUACUACAGGAUUCAAACUCAAAACCAGAUAGAAUACAGACAGAUGUUUAACCAGUGAACCAACAGGCUCAUCCUCAUCACCCUUUUACAAAGAAUUGAACUUAAGCAGGUAGUGCGUGUUUGUGGGUUGAUUCUAAAAUAACAAAACUUUUAAUGAUGCGACUUGAACUUUAGACCUUAAAAUUUUGGGGCGUUACACAGUCCAUACUAGUUGCACCAACUCAAUCCGAUCAAUUCUAGUCACACCUGCCAGAACAUAGUGCACCGUCCUGUGCAUGAAUAAUAUUAAAAUUUUAAAGCUUUUAAUUAUUUACUAUUAUGCUAAAAACAUAAUUGAAACGUAACUAAAUAAAAAUGCUACAUUGGAAUGUAAUGUUUUUUUAAAAAAUGGAAUAUACUUUCACAUUCAAAAUAUAUUUAAGAAAAAAUCAUUCACCCGACUCAAAAAAAAAUCAUUCACCUUCCAGCUUCUUUUAUUAAGUAAAUGAGCUAAAUCCUUAAAAUUUCAUAUUAAAUGAUGAAUUUUUAUUAUUAAUUUUGAAUUUAUUUGAAUGAUAAAUUUUUAUUUGUUAAUUUUAUUAAUAAAUAUUUUAUAUUUGAAAUGUAUUUAGUUUCAUUCAUUUUUUAUUUGUAAUAUAUUUAUAUAUAUAUCUUAAAUAAGUUUAAAAAAUAUUGAUAAAUCUGAAAAGAUAUCUAUCAAUUUCGGUAAAAAAAAAAUCAACCAUCCACUAAUACAAAGAAAAGAAAUCUCAAUUUCUAAAAUUCCAAUUCCUUUAUAUUUAAAGUAGAAGAAAAAUAGCAAUAGGUAUUAACAAUGAAAUUAGAUUUCAAUAUUGCUGUCGCUAGGUAUAAUUUAUUCACAAUUUUUAUAAGAGGUUACAUGUAUUUAAUAUGACAUAAAAAACUAUUAAAUUAACUUUAAGUCAUUAUAAAUUUGUUAAUUAAAUAAUAUGUAAAAUUAAUAGAAAAUAAAAAUAAAACGAAAACGUUGACAAUAAGUUAAAAAUUAAUCCAAAUCAUUAUAGAUAUUUUAUUUAAAAAAUGAACUACAAUUAAAAUGGAAAAAAUAAAAAACAUGUGGCGCUAUUUUGUUUUGGGGGCAUGAAUGGAGCAUCGUUUCAGGGCAAGGGAUUUCUAUUCACUGCUCCAAUGCCUAUAUAAACCUCAAUACCAUGCUUUGUUUUCCUCACUCACAACUAUUCAGAUAAAGAAUUUCGUUUCAUCUGCUUCAUUUGUUUCGAAAUCUCUGAACAAAAAUGGCCUCUUUCAAUUUCAUUUGCAAGCAUUGAUGUUGGGGUAGUAGCUCGUCACCUUCUGCAGCAGCCUCAAACGCAAGGUUUGCCAUCUUUCCCUAAUCUCCCAACGCCAUCCCGACCAUCAUUCCCAUGGCCUGGCGCACUUCCUCCACUUCUUACCACAUUGCCAACAAGACUGCCCCCUCUACCAAGCAUUCCCUCAGUCCCCACAAUCCCAACUGCAAUUCCCCCUAUUCCUUUCUCUUUUCCACCAUUGCCAUCUUUCCCUAAUCUCCCAAACCCUGGGGCACUUCCUCCACUUCCUACCACAUUGCCAAGAGGACUGCCCCCUCUGCCAAGCAUUCCUUCAGUCCCCACAACCCCAACUACAGUUCCCUCUAUUCCUUUCUUUUCUCCACCACCUUCUCAAUCUACUCCUUGAAGUACCCCAUUUUUUUUAUCUGCUGCAACUGGAUCUGGUUUAAUAAGGUUUUUAGUCGUCUUUGUGUCUUUAUUAUGAGUAUUGAUUUUUCCCACUUAUAUUUGUUUGUAUAAAUAGGACUUCUCCAAUUCCCAUUAUUUGAUGUACUUUGAUACGUUGUUGCUUAUUAUAUAUGGGGUAUUUAUAUAUUGAUGUUUUUCCAUGAAGUAAUUAAUUACUGUUAUGAGUUUGGCUAAUUAAGAAAAGAAUCAAAAAAAUGCAGUCAAGAUAAUGAGCAGCCAUACAUCGAGAAGAUGCCUUUGUAGAUAUAAUAAUUCCUGCUUCAUUAUCUCUUUGAAGUUAUCCAUUUACAUAUACGAUUACUUUCCUCUUUUAAUAUAUUUCCAAGAUAAUAUUUUAUAUGAAUGUCUUUAAAUUCGGGUAGUCAGUUUUAUAUAGAUUUCGGUUAUACUAAUUUGUGUGCAUUGUUUUAAUUUUAUAUCAAAAUAUUAAUGUUUUUGAAAUUAAAUCGAUAAUCAAAUCAAUUAAUUCAUCAAUUUUUGAUUCAGUAGAUUCAACCAUCGAUAUAAUUAAUUUACUAUUCAACAAUAUAAAAUAAUAUUAAUUAUUAAAAACCCCAAACUCCUCUAUUUUUAAGGCUUUGAAUUUUAAAAUCCUCUCCCCAUCUUUGAUCUUUCCUAAUUUAUCUUCUUUUUUCCCUUUGAUUGAAUGUUAUAUGUCCAUCUUAGUUUUUCACCAGCAAAAAAAACUUAUUUCAGUAGAAAAAGUAAGAAAAGAAAUGGUGGUUAUUUUUUUAUGUUAGUGUUUUAUUUCAUUGAGUGCAGAAAUGAAGUGUAACAAUAGCUCAAGGGAUUUGAAGUGAAAUUUUUAUUUUUUCGAUUUAGAAAAUGUGAAAAUACGGCUUAAUCGACUAAUGAUUUGCAGUUUAACUGCAGUUUACUCUAGUUCUCGUGCUCAUUGGUUCUUAUUCUGUUUGGUUAGGUUCUAAUAACAUUGAGAAACACCUAACCCCAUUUUUCUACACUAGUGAAAAUUUUGGUCUAUAACACCCUAAACUCGACCUAGGCGUUCAAAUCAAGUUGGAGACUCACAUCAACCGUUCUAAAAGCCAUACCACUAUAACGCAAUCAAAUUAGACAAGUCGCCACAUAUUAUUCAUCACAAUAGUAAUUUAAAGACAUAAUCUUCAUAAAUCAAUAACAUCAUAAAACAAAUAUCCGUAAUAAUAAUGCUAGCAGAAUAUCAAUAAGUGUCUAACCAAGCUUCCGUGACACCGUUCCGAUCAAGACUGAUUACCAUCUGAAACCCAAACAAUAACAGGGUGAGUUUCAAGCUCAGUGCGUAAAAAGGAAUGUGAUUCAACAACGGUGACUUAUGGAGAAUAUCCAGUUCAGAGAUUCAGUUCAUCCUUGAAGCCUGUUUGAUCUAGGCUCAGAGCAGAGGUAUUACAUAUGUAUACAUGUAUUAUUCCAGUUCAAAUAUAGUUCAGAUCAGAUUCAGAUGCAAUGUUUCUAUUUCUAUCCUCUACACACCACUAUGGACAUUUAAUGCCCAUCUAUCUCUGUACAUCUUUAAAGUGUUCAAUGACACUUUCACAAAAAUGUAGCGUAGCUGCUAGUUCAAUGUGCGACAAGCGCUAGAAUCAAAGUGAUACUUAUUGUGGCAUAGCCAUGUUUUCAGUACAGACUCACCUUCUUCCUCACAAUCUCCCACCACAUGUUAAUGCGUAAUACAAUAAUCCGUAACACAUGUUUAACCAUUCUGAUAAAAUACAUAAUUAAUAAAAACCGUUCAAUAACAAAGUGGUGUUACAGUCCAUAUUCAAGAAUGUGAUUCACAGAUCAGUCUCAUGUAAGCAAAUUUAGUCAUUCGUAAAUCAAGGAAACCAAUAUUAGAGUUUAGCACCCUUCUCAGCCUCAAAAACAGUUCUCGGAUCCAACAUCCUGCCUCACGGCCUGGGCCCAUGCCCGUGCGCCUUAGCCGUGUGGUUUUUACACCUCAAACAGUGACUUACAUGGGGCAAAUGUCCAUGUCCCUGGCCAUGUGAACCCUGCACUAAAAUGGCCACACACGGCCUGAACACACGCCUUUGUGGUCGUCGGUGUCUUCUUAAUUCAAUAAACAGUGAGUUACACGGCUGUUCACACGGCCUCCACACACCCGUGGGACACACAAUGCCUAGUCAUACACCCGUGUACCUGUUGUGUGGCGUUGACAGCCAUCAUUUUCGAUGAGAAAACUAGCAAAAACUAAGGCUUCCAUUACGUACCUGAGACAAUUUCAAAGUAGUGACAAUAAAGAGAAUUUUUGAAACCUAAAACUACCAUUCAAUAACUCAAUCAAUCAAGUUUAUCAACAACAAUGCACAAUUAUACUCAAAAUACCUAUGUCAAAAGUUUUGACACCAACUUCCAAAAAAAUCAAUACUUACAAAAAAUUAACAACGAUUACUCGAAUUGACUUGCUGAGGUUCACUGUUUUCAAUAUCCCCGCCUAACAGGGAAACCAAACGAUUAACUAUCAGAGAUUCACGCAACAAACUCAAACAACCAUCUCAAAGUAUAAUAUGUAAAGAAAAAAGAGAAAACCUAAAAUUUAACGAAUCGACAUCAAAACUUACUCAAUAACCUCCCAAAAUAAAAUGCUAACAAUGUAACUUCAACCUAAAAUUUAACGAAUCAACAUCAAAACUUACUCAAUAACCUUCUAAAAUAGAAUGCUAACAAUGUAACUUCAACUAGUCCGUAUUCCUUACGACAAUUAAAGAGGAAAAGGGAAAAUUGAAAAAGAAGAAAAAGUAGAGAAGGAAGAAAAAAAAAAGGGAAAAAUGAAAAACAAUAGGAAAGAAAAACUAACGUUAAUUGAUUAUCAAUUAACUUCCAUUCAGACUUCCAACAUUUAGCAAAAAUAUUUUCCUUACGCAUACAAAGAAUUGAACUUAAGCGAACCAUCAGGCUCAUUCUUGUCACCAUUUUACAAAGAAUUGAACUUAAGUGGGUAGUGCUUGUUUGCGGGUUGGUUCUAAAACAACAAAACUUUUAAUAAUGCGACUCGAACUUCAGACCUUAAACUCAAUCACAGAUUACAAAACCAUAGAUACAAAAAUUAGUUACUGUAUAUUUUCAUAAACAAGUUCUUAAAAUUUUGGGGCAUUACAACUCUCUCCCCCUAAAGGAAAUUUUGGCUCGAAAUUUUUACCUAAGUCAAACAGAUACAGAUAUAGCCAUCGGAUAGAUUCCUCCGGCUCUCACGUGGCUUCCUUAGUACUGUGAUUCCGCUAGAGGACCUUCACUAGAGGAAUAGUUUUCUUUCUCAGUUUCUUAAUGUCACUUUCUAAGAUCUGAAUAGGCUCUACCUCGAAUGUCAAGUCUGGUCGUAAUUCGACCUCGUCAAUCGUAACGAUAUGUGACAAAUUCAAUCGGUACCGUCUCAACAUCGAGGCAUGAAACACAUUAUGAAUUCAAUCCAGCUCCGAUGGUAACUCUAACUUGUAAGCAAUAGGUCCAACUUACCUUAAGAUACAGUAAGGCCUUAUGAAUCUCGGGCUUAGCUUUCCGUUACGUCCAAAUUGGAGGAACUUUUUCCAAAUUGAUACCUUUAGAAACACUUGAUCACCUAACGAAAACUCAAUAUCCUUCUUUUUUAAAUCUUCAUAAGACUUUUGUCUAUUAGACAUGGCUUUCAAUCGAUCCUGAAUUACAUUCACAAUGCUCUCGAUUUCAGAAACCAGCUCAGAACCCAAUAGACGGCGUUCACUCAACUCCAUCCAACAUAACGGAAUAGGGUACUUACGACUAUAUAUAGCUUCGUAAGGUGCCAUCUGAAUACUAGACUGAAAGUUAUCAUUGUAAGCAAACUUCGUUAACGGUAGAUACUCCUUCCAACUACCUCUGAAGUCUAUCACAAAACCCCGAAGCAUAUCUUCUAGAAUCUGAAUGACUCGUUCUGACUGUCCAUCGGUCUGAGGGUGAUAUGUAGUACUAAACUUAAGUCGAGUGCCUAAAGCCUCAUGAAGUUUCUUUCAGAACCGAAAGGUAAAUCGCAGAUUUCUACAAUGAAUAAUCCAUUCGGAUAGCAAUGAAAUGAGCCGAUUUGGUCAACUGGUCAACUAUAACCCAAACUGAAUCCUUUUUAGCAGGAGUUAAGGCAACCCUGUAACAAAAUUCAUUGUUAUCCGCUCCCAUUUCCACUGCGAAAUCUUUACCAGUUGAAGCACUCCAGAGGGCAACUAAUGUUUGGCUUUAACCUUUUGACACGUAAAAUAGUAGGACACAAAAGUGACUACCUCCCGUUUUAUGGCAAGCCACCAAUAGAGUUCUCGGAGAUCCUGGUACAUAUUAUUUCCACCAGGAUGCAUAGCAUAUAGGCUAUUGUGUGCCUCCUGUAAAAUCGAGUGCCUUAAUUCUUUGUCAUUAGGUACACAUAUCCGACAUUUGAAGCAUAACACAUUAUCGGUAUUCAAGCUAAAAUCAAAAUUCUCGUCUGAGCCAACAUGUUGCAAUCGCUGUAUUAAGGAUUCGUCGUUUUGUUGUUUAGCUCAACUUUACUCUAUCCAAACCGGUUUCACCUGGAGUUCAGCUAACAACCCUCCAUCCUCAACCAAACUCAAACGAGCUAACAUUGCUCUCAGAUCUGCCACUGCUCUAUGGCUAAGGGCAUCAGCUACCACAUUAGCCUUACUUGGAUGAUAUUCUAUGGUGCAAUCAUAAUCUUUUAGUAACUCGAUCCAUCGGUGCUGACGAAGGUUCAACUCUUUUUGGGUUAACAAAUAUUUGAGGCUAUUAUAAUUAAUGUAAAUAAUACACAUUUCACCAUACAGAUAGUGCCUCCAAAUUUUCCAAGAAAAUACAACCUCAGCUAACUCAAGAUCGUAGGUGGGGUAAUUACCCUCAUGUGUCUUCAUCUUCUACGAUGCGUAACCAACUACAUUACCAUCUUCACUAAGCACACAUCCUAACCCAACAUGUGAAGCAUCAUUGUAAACCAAAAUUGAACCAAAACAGGAGCUUGUGUCAGAACGGACUUGAGUUUAUCGAAACUAGACUACUGUGCCUCAGACCACAUGAAUGGAGUAUUCUUAUGUAAUAGCUUCAUCAAAGGUGAUGCAAUCAGAGAAAACCCUUCGACGAACCUUCGGUAGUACCCAAAGAAACCAAAGAAGCUACAAAGUUCGGACGCGUUUUUUGGCUGUUUCCACUAAAAAACAGCUUUAAUUUUCUUGGGAUCAACUUGCAUCCCUUCCACCGUCACCACAUGACCCAAAAAGGUGACCUCCUGCAACAAAAACUCACACUUGUUGAACUUAGCAUACAACUGUUUUCCUCGCAGUAUCUGAAGUACAAUACGAAGAUGACCAUCGUGCUCAAUUUUAAUUUUAGAGUGGAUCAAAAUAUUAUCAAUAAAAACCACUACAAAUUUAUCCAAAUACGGUUGAAACACCCGAUUCAUUAAUUCUAUAAAUGCCACCGAGACAUUUGUUAAUCUGAAAGGCAUUACCAAAAACUCGUAAUGUCCAUAACAAGUUCUGAAAGUAGUUUUGUACACAUCAGUCUUUUUGACCUUGAGCUUAUGGUAACCUGAACGUAGGUCAAUUUUUGAAGAGACGUACGCUCCCCGAAACUGGUCGAACAAGUCAUUAAUCCUUGGUAACGAAUACUUAUUCCUGAUCGUCAACUUGUUCAACUGCCUAUAGUCAAUACACAUCCUCAUCGGCCCAUCCUUCCUCUUAAAAGACAAUAUCGGUGCCCCCCACGAAGACACACUCGGUCGAAUAAAUCCUCUAUUAAGGAGUUUCUGAAGCUGUGCUUUUAAUUUAGUCAGUUCUUUCAACACCAUAUGAUAAAGCGCAAUGGACACUGAAGCAAUACAUGGUAACGGAUCAAUUCUAAACUCCAUAUUUCUAUCCAGAGGUACUCCAGGCAAUUCCUCGGGAAAGACAUUUGGGAAUUCUCUUACGGUACAGAUAUCUCCUAUUGACAACUUUUUGGAAGCAGAAUCGGAUACAUAAGCUAGGUAUGCCUUACACCCCUUUCGGACCAAUUUGUUUCCUGGUGAAGUAAUCUCGACGCUCUCCAACCAUUACCACCUUGUCAUUCUCAAUCAGUUUCAGAGUAACUCUUUUGGUUGUACAGUCUAAACUGACCCAAUAUUCAACGAGUCAAUCCAUUCCCAGAAUUAAAUCAACCUCGUUAAAGGGCAAUCCCAUUAAAUCAGCUGGAAAUAUCAUACCCUGAAGCUCUAAGGGUACUCUUCUAUAUACUCUAUCGACUCGAAUUAACUGACCUAACGAACUAACCAUAGAAAACUCUCUAGCAAUAUUCUCAGCAGUUAAACCCAGAGUUACAGAAACAACACUAGCUAUGUACGAAUGAGUAGAGACAAUUUCAAUAAGAGUAUAAUACGGUACAAAGUGGAUAAAGAAGGUACCUGCAAUGACAUUAGCAUUAUUGCUUUCCUCGCGACGUCUAGUCAUAUAAACCAGUACCGGUUGACGAGCCUCAACCUAACCAGCACAUUUACCCGGUGUUCACUGUCCUCUCCUAACUUAGUUACCACCAUCCCUAUCAGUACCACGACCUCUAAAAGGUUGCUGAGUCUCUCUCGGAGGUCUAACAGAGUUUAGGGCCGAAGUCUGUAUGACACCUAGCUCUGAAUUAGGUCAACAGGAUCGAACCACAAUAGAGGCACGCUCUUAAUUUCCUCUAGCAUUUGCCCUGGUGGCGCUUCCUACAAUCAGUACACUGCUGAAUCUCUGUCACUACAACUGGUGUCCCGACCCUUGGAGACAUGUCAAACCUCACCCGCUUCUUAGGGCGUUGAGCAGAACUAGAGGGACUCGAAUCCCUCUUAAGUUUAUUCUGAUCCUUCUUACAAUCGCGCCGUUCACACUCAAUGCACUUCACUUCUUUUACUAUUUUCACUUUAUCAACCAAAAUCACGAAUACCCGCUCCUUCAGAGGAGCUAUCUAAACCCACAGAUCAUAUCUCAAGCCUUCUUCGAGCCUCACACACUUGUUGUAGUCAAACGCUACCAAAGUCCAUGCAUAUUUUUUCAAGAGUAGAAACUCGGCUUCAUACUCAGCCACAGAUCGGUCACCCUGAACUAGACUCAAAAACUCGCAUCGGUGAGCCUCAACAUAGCUUACCCCCACAUACUUACCCUUGAAGGCAUUCUUGAAAUAGUCUCAGUUUACUUGCUCAUGCUGAGCACCGUGCUCAACAGUUAGCCAUCACUGAUAAGCUUUGUCUUGGAGUAGAGACACUGCGCCCCUCAAUUUUUGAGUAGGAGUGUAGUCAAAAUCUAUCAUAACACGUUCGGUAGCCUUGAGUCAAUACUCAGCAAUAGUAGAGUGAUAUGACUGAGCCCCGAGACUCAUCAAGGGAUGACAAGGAACCUUUGAGGCUGCCCUUUGGACUGAUAACUCAAGCUCGAGCCAAAAGAUUCAAAGAGGCUGUUCCAGCUUUAGCUGAUCGAGUAUGGAGAGCAAAUGUUGUUGGGCUCAUUGAAUGAACAUGGACAAGUCACCCGAGCAAGCCUUGCAACCUUCUACAAGCCCAUCUUGUUCAUUCAUAGCCCAUUGAGCUCAACCCCAACUUGUUUUUAACUUAGCAAUAUUUUGUUGCUAGAAAUAAGGAUUUCAAUCCAUUUUAGUUAUUCUAGUUUUUUCUUUAAUUAUGUCACAGUUUGAACAUCAUUAAUAUGUGUUCUGCAUUUAAUAAAGUCAUGCAUUAUGUAACUUUCAUGUUAGUUAAGUUUGCAUCAUUAAAUUAAGUCAUGCAUUAAGUAACUCAUUUGUUCAUUUAGUUUACAUCUUAAUUAAAUUAUGCAUUUAAACAUCUUAUUUGUUUGUAUUAGAGUGUUAUUUAAUUUGGCUGUUACUUUUUCAUAAGUUAUAGUGUGUUUAAUUGUUCUUAAAUAAAAUUAAUUGUGUGUUCAAUUUUUGUUGUAGGAAAGUUCAAAAGGCUGGACACAUAUUUUAAAGCUACAAUAGGGUUGUUCAUUUGCCAAGAAGAAUCAAAUGCUGUCACAUUCAAAUGGUUGUUCAAUUUUGGCAUAAAAGAGUGUACAUUUGGUCACUUAAUUAUUGGUACAAAAAGGGAACGUUUUUGCUCGAUAUUGAAGCACUAAAAGCUCAUUAUGGUGGCUUUUCAAAUAGACCAAGAGUGUCUCCACAAGUCUGAUCAGUUUUUGGAGUCUUUUUCCUUCAUUAUGAUGCCAUUAAAAGAGGAAGUUACACAAGCUUUAUGAUUCGGUUACAAGGGAGUUGAAGGGACAUCAACUAAGUAUAAUAAUGACACAUUAAGUCUUUAUUAAUGGACAGAGUCAUGCAUUUUCAUCUACACCAGGAUCAAAUGAAGAGACAUGACCAUUGGAUUUCUUACAUGAGUUAAAAAUGAAAUUAGGGUUUGUAAUAACCUUAGUUAAUUGCUGAAGGUGAAAGGUCACAAAUAGGCAUUCGAAUAGCCAUAAUAGUGCCUAUAAAUAGAUUGUAAAAAAACAUUAUUUUGGUUAAGAAAACUUUUUAUACUUUUAUGAAUUUUACAUCUUUGUGAGUAUAAUUCAACUCUCAUUGUUUUUCUAAGACUCAAGCUGACUUAUCUAGCAUUGCUAGUGGCAUCCAACUUACUUUCUUUGUGAACUUAUCACUCUUUGAGUGUAGCGUUCAACCUAGAUACCUUUGGUUCCUAUCUCCUUAUAGAUAAUGAGUCAACGUCCUUUUAAACCAUCAAUCUUUCGACCUUAAAAGUCAAUAUAAGAUUCAGGUCAAUACUCCUUAUAGUAUUGGUUCUUUCUUGGACCUUAACCUUUUUCCAUCCAUCCGAAUUAUUCUUUUCAAAGUUAUCUUAUUUUUCUUUGUUUAACUGAAACAUUCACUUUGACUAUUCCAAAACACUUAAAAACCAUCUUUUCUUUAGCCUACACUUAGUCGAGUUCACUCAACUCCAAAUUGAACAAAACUUCUCUAUUUUAUGAUCGGGCAAAAUUACGACUCGAAAUCAACUCACGAGAUAAGAUUGUAUCAAGGAGCUAUUCCUAUGAUGCCCCUAAAUAGUUCAGCACCAUUCGACCAAAGUUGUUUAGUAAUCGACCCUUGGCCUCCCAAUCUUUGAUGGAUCCCAGCGACCCUCUCAAGAGCCCAAAUCAUGGCCUGGGACAGUGCGUUGUCCCUAGCCGUAGGAGUCUAAGACUCCGCCUCUGCAGUGGGAGUACCAACUGUAUCGUUGGUCUUCAGAUUAGGCAUGCUACCCAUAGAGGAUGACUCGGCUUGAGCUCCUUCUCGGCGUCCUCAACAACCUCACAUACCCGGUCCACGACUACUACGCGAACUCAUAUUGCAAUCUAGCUACAAUUUCAGAAUACACAGAUCAGUUCACAUAUCCAGCAAAACGGUUUCACUAGUUUACACCAAGCAAUCUACCAAUAACAGUUAGGUAUCAUAAUCUUUACAACAGAACAGAAAUACUUACUAGGUCAGCAUCGGAGGCUCGAUCGUUCCCUAAUGUUUCAAUGUUUCUAUAUUAAUUUGGUUACUAAUUAUUACUAGCCAUAAUUCUCACACAUUAAGAGCCUAAACACAGUCCGAGUGUUGACAAACCUGGCUUUGAUACCACUAAAUAUAACACCCUAAACUCGGCCUAGACGUCUAGACCAAGCUGAAAAGUUACAUCAACCGUUCUAAAAACCAUACCACUAUAACGUAAUCAAAUUAAACCAGUCGUCACAUAUUAUUCAUCACAAUAGUAAUUUAAGACAUAAUCUCUAUAAAUCCAUAACAACAUAAAACAAAUAUCCCUAAUAAUAAUGCUAGUAGAAUACCAAUAAAUGUUUGAGCAACCUUCUGCGACACCGACCUGAGCAAGACUGAUAACUACCUGAAACCUAAACAAUAUUAGGGUGAGUUAUGAACUCAGUUCGUAAAAACGAAUGUAAUUCAACAACGGUGACUUAUGGAGAAUUUCCAGUUCAGAGAUUCAAUUCAUCCUAGAAGCAUGUUUGAUCUAGGUUCAGAAUAGAGGUAUUACAUAUGUAUACAUGUAUUAUUCCAAUUCAGAAAUAGUUCAGAUCAGAUUCGAAUGCACUGUUCCUAUUUCCAUCCUCUACACACCAACUUUUUCCAUCCCAACAUACCACUAAUGACAUUUAAUGCCCGUCCAUCCCUUCACACCUUUAAAGUGUUCAAUGACACUUUCACAGAAACGUAGCUUAGCUCCUAGUUCAAUGUGCGACAAGCACUAGAAUCAGAGUGAUACUUAUUGUGGCAUAGCUACGAUUUCAGUAUAGACUCCCCUUCUUUCACACAAUCUUCCACGAUAUGUUAAUGCAGAAUACAAUAGUCCGUAACACAUGUUUAGCCAUUCUGAUAAAAUACAUAAUUAAUAAAAUAGUUCAAUAACAGAGUGGUGUUACAGUGCAUAUUCAAGAAUCUGAGCCACAGAUCAGUCUCAUGUAAGCAAAUUCAGUCAUUCAUAAAUUGAGGAAACCAAUGUCAGAGUUUAGCACCCUUCCCGCCCUCAAAAACAGUUCUCAGAUCCAACAUCCUGCCACACGACUUGGGCUCGCCCUCGUGUGCCUUGGUCAUGUGGUUUUUAAGCACAAAUAGUGUGUUACACGACCUGGGCAUAUGUCUGUGUCCUUGGCUGUAUGGUUUUAUACUACAAACAGUGACUUACACGGCCCAGGCACACGAGUGGUUUUUACACCCUGAAUAGUGAGUUACACAGCCUGGGCAUAUGCCCGUGUCUCUGGCCGUAUGAACCCUGCACUAAAAUGGCUAUGCAUGGCCUAAACACACGCCCGUGUGGUUGCCCGUGUGGUCUUAAUUCUAUAAACAAUUAAUUACAUGGUCGUUCACACGGCAUACUAUACGCUCGUGUGACGCACACAGCCAAGUCACACACCCGUGUACCUGACCAUAAGGCGUUGAUAGCCACAAUUUUCAGUGAAAAAACUUGCAAAAACUAAGGUUUUCGAUACACACUUGGGACGAUUUGAAGGUAGUGACAAUGAAGAGAAGUUUCGAAACUUAAAACGACCAUUCAAUAACUCAAUUAAUCAAUUUUAUCAACAACAAUGCACAAUUAUACUCAAAAUACCUAUGUCGAAAGUUUUCACACCAACUUUCAACGAAAUCAAUACUUAUAAAAAAAUCAACGACGAUUACUCGAAUUGACUUGCUGAGGUUAGCUACUCUCAAUAUUCCCCCCUAACAGGGAAACCAAACAAUUGACUAUCAGAGAUUCACGCAACACACACAAACAGCCAUCUCAAAGUAUACUAUGUAAAGCAAAAAGAGAAAACCUGAAAUUAACGAAUUGACAUCAAAACUUACUCAAUAACCUCCCAACAGAAAAUGCUAACAGCGUAACUUCAACUAGUCCAUAUUCCUUACGACAAUUAAAUAGGAAAAGGGAAAAUUGAAAAAGAAGAAAAAGUAGAGAAUGAAGAAAAAGAAAAAGGAAAAACAGGAAAAAUAAUGGGAAAGAAGAACUAACGUUAAUUGAUUAUCAAUUAACUUCCAUCCAGACUUCCAGCAUUUAGCAAAAAUAUUUUCCUUACGCAUACUAUGGGAUUCAAACUCGGAACCAGAUAGAAUACAGACAAUGUUUAACCAGUGAACUAACAGGCUCAUCCUCGUCACCCUUUUACAAAGAAUUAAACUUAAGCGGGUAGUGCAUGCUUGUGGGUUGAUUCUAAAAUAACAAAACUUUUAAUGAUGCGACUUGAACUUUAGACCUUAGAAUUUUGAGGCGUCAAACGGUCUGUACCAGUUGCACCAACUCAUUCUGAUCAAUUCCAGUUACACCUGCUGGAACAUAGUGCACCGUCCUGUGCAUGAAUAAUAUUAAAAAUUUAAAACUUUUAAUUAUUUACUAUUAUGCUAAAAACAUAAUUGAAACGUGACUAAAUAAAAAUGCUACAUCGGAAUGUAAAGUUUUUUUAAAAAAUGGAAUAUACUUUCACAUUCAAAAUAUAAUUAAGAAAAAAACCAUUCACCCGAUUAUCAAAAAAAAUCGUUCACCUUCCAGCUUCUUUUACUAAGUAAAUGAGCUAAAUCCUUAAAAUUUCAUAUUAAAUGAUGGAUUUUUAUUAUUAAUUUUGAAUUUAUUUGAAUGAUAAAUUUUUUUUUGUUAAAUUUAUUAAUAAAUAUUUUAUAUUUGAAAUGUAUUUAGUUUCAUUCAUUUUAUAUUUGUAAUAUAUUUAUAUACAUAUCUUAAAUAAUUUUAAAAAAAAUUGAUAAAUCUAAAAAGAUACAUAUCAAUUUGAGUAAAAAAAAAUCAAAUGUCCACUAAUACAAGGAAAAGAAAUCUCAAUUCUUAAAAUUUCAAUCCCUUUAUAUUUAAAGGUGAAGACAGUAGAAGAAAAAUAAGAAUAGGUAUUAACAAUGAAAUUAGAUUUGAAUAACGUUGUCGCUAGGCAUAAUUUAUUGACAAUUUUUACAAGACGUUACAUGUAUUUAAUAUGACAUAAAAAAUUUAUGUAAAAUUUUGGGAUGGAAUAGUUUAUCUGUAUAUUUUAUUUUUUAGGUUGGGAUUAAAAAAUUAACAUGUUUAUUUUACAAAUAACUCUGUAGUAUUAUCGUCUUUAAAAUAAAAUUAUCUUAACAUGUUUAUUUCGAAGGUGGAUGUUUAAAUUUCGACUUAAACACAAAGGCAAACUAAAUAAAUUCUAAUCUAAAUUUCAUUUAGCUCAAUUUAUUAUAAAAAAUUAACUGCGUAAUUAAAUCAAAUUCAAAUUGACUCAAAUUUAUCUAAACUUGAAAUGAUUUAAUCACAAAAUAACUCGAACUUAAAAUGAUCAAAAUCUAAAAUGAUUCGGAUCAAUAAUAACUAGACAUGAAAAACUUAGCCUUAAAUUUAAAUGACUUGAACCUUAAAUAAAAAAAAUCCGAAAAUGACCUAAACCAUAUUGGAAGUUUUCAUGUAUUUUAAAGAAUUACAUAUAAUACACAUAUUUUAGAUACACCUAUUAAAUGGUGUUUAUAUAGAUUUGGUUUACUAUAAACUUGUAAGACUAAAAAUAAGAGAAUACGUAUGUGCACACGAGGCUUGAGCCUAAUAGCUCAAUUCCAUUCAAAUGGGAAAAUUUUUUCAAUUUUUUCAUUGCCCAUGAUACAAACUAAAUCCUAGAAAUAGUAAAUCCACGAAUAUCCUUAAGAAUAGGGAUAUUCAUGCCUCAAGCUACAAUUCUAAUUUUCUAAACUUUUGACUUUUUAAUAAACCUAAAAUGAUCUUAAAAUUUUAAUACAUAAAUUGAGACCGUGAAAUCUUGAAGGCCAAAGUUUAAGUCACAUUGUGAAUAAAUUAUAUGUAAGCCAUACUUUAGAUUUAUUCUAAUUAUUUACUUCGCUUCUAAUGUACAUAAACUUUGCCAACAUGGAGGAUUAUUCAAGUAUUCUAUUUGACAUAUUACUUUAAUUAAGGGAAUAAAUCUAAAAAAUUUACACAUGAAUAUUGCCUCAAUCUAGAAUGUCAAAGGUAAACUUUAAUUUAAUGUGCAUUAUGACACUUAAAUUAUGUUAAUUUUGUGUAAUUGUAUAUAAUAAAUUUUGAUUUUGAUUUAAUUUAAUUUGGGUUUGAGGCUCGACUUUUUUGGCCUGAGUCAUUAUGGGUUUUGAUUAUUUCAUAUAUUGUGACAAUUCAACCGUUGUCUUUAUGGCUAAGAUGACAAAAGUGGAAGUCGAAGUAAACAUAUCGACAUUAAGUUUCUAGAUGAGCACAUUAACACUAAGCAAAUGUUAGCUGAUCCUUUGGUUAAAGGCAUGCCACCACCCAAAAUUUAAGGAUCAUGUUGUCAUUGUGGGACUUGUUCCCACAUUGUAAAAUUUUAUUAUAAGAAAGGAUUAUAAAAAAAUUGGUUAAAUUAACUCUAAGUCAUUAUAAAUUUGUUAAUUAAAGAAUAGGUAAAAUUAAUAGAAAAUAAAAAUAAAACAAAAACGUUGAUAAUAAGUUAAAAAUCAAUCCAAAUCAUUAUAGAUUUUUUAUUUAAAAAAUGAACUAUAAUUAAAAUGGAAAAAAUAAAAAACAUGGGGCGCUAUUUUGUUUUGGGGGCAUGAAUGGAGUAUUGUUUAAGGGCAAGGGAUUUCUAUUCACUGCUCCAAUGCCUAUAUAAGCCUCAAUACCAUGCUUUGUUUUCCUCAUUCACAACUAUUCAGAUAAAGAACUUUGUCUCAUCUGCUUCAUUUGUUUCGAAAUCUCUGAACAAAAAUGGCCUCUUUCAAUUGCUUUGCUUUAGCAUUCUUGAUGGCUUUGUCAUUUGCAAGCAUUGAUGUUGGGGUAGCAGCUCGUCACCUUCUGCAGCAGCCUCAAACGCAAAGUUUGCCAUCUUUCCCUAAUCUCCCAACGCCAUCCCGACCAUCAUUCCCAUGGCCUGGGGCGCUUCCUCCACUUCCUACCACAUUGCCAACAGGACUGCCCCCUCUGCCAAGCAUUCCCUCAGUCCCCACAAUCCCAACUGCAAUUCCCCCUAUUCCUUUCUCUUUUCCACCAUUGCCAUCUUUCCCUAAUCUCCCAAACCUUGGGGCGCUUCCUCCACUUCCUACCACAUUUCCAAGAGGACUGCCCCCUCUGCCAAGCAUUCCUUCAGUCCCCACAACCCCAACUACAGUUCCCUCUAUUCCUUUCUUUUCUCCACCACCUUCUCGUUCUACUCCUUGAAGUACCCCAUUUUUUUAUCUACUGCAUAUUGGAUCUGGUUUAAUAAGGUUUUUAGUCGUCUUUGUGGCUUUAUUAUGAGUACUGAUUUUGCACACUUAUAUUUGUUUGAAUAAAUGGGAUUUCUCCAAUUCCCAAUAUUUGGUGUACUUUGAUACAUUGUUGCUUAUUAUAUAUGAGGUAUUUAUAUAUUGAUGUUAUGUCCAUGAAGUAAUUAAUUACUAUUAUACCAUUGUUAACAUGAGUUUGGCUAAUUAAGAAAAGAAUCAAACGAUAAAUGCAGUCAAGAUAAUGAGCAGCCAUACAUCGAGAAGAUGCCACUGUUGAUAUAAUGAUUCCUGCUUCAUUAUCUCUUCCAAGUUAUCCAUUUACAUAAGAAUAUUUUCCUCUUUCAAUAUAUUUCCAUGAUAAUAUUUUAUAUGAAUGUCAAAUUAUGUAUUAAAUUAAGGUAGUCGGUUUCGUACAGAUUUCGGUUAUAUUAAUUUGUGUAUUGUUUUAAUUUUAUACUGAAAUAUUAAUGCUUUUAAAAUUAGAUCGAUAAUUAAAUUAAUCGAAUAAUUAAUUCUCAAUCCAAUAGGUUUAACCACUGAUACAAAUAAUUUACUAUUCAAUAAUAUUAAUUAUUAAAAUCCCCAAACUCCUAUUUUGAUGGCUUUGAAUUUUAAAACCCUCUCCCCAUCUUUCAUCUUUCCUAAUUUGUCCUUUUUUUUUCCAUUGAUUGAAUAUUAUAAGUCCAUCUUAGUUUUUUACCAGAAAAAAGAACUUAUUUUAGUAGAAAAAGUAAGAAAAAAAAUGUUGGUUAUUUUUUUAUGUUGUGUUUUAUUUCAUUGAGUACAGAGAUGAAGUGUAACAAAAGCUCAAGGGAUUUGAAGUGAAAUUUUUAUAUUUCUGAUUUAGAAAAUGUGAAAAUACGGCUUAAUCGACUGAUGAUUUGCAGUUUAAUUGUAGUUUACUCUAGUUCUAGGGUUCAUCAAUUCUUGGUUUGUUUGGUUCAAUUUCAAUAACAUUGCGAAACACCCAACACCCUUUUUCUACACUGGUGAAAAUUUUGGUCCGUACCAGUUGCAUCAACUCAUUCUGAUCAAUUUCAGUCACACCUGUUAGAGCAUAGUGCACCAUCCUAUGCAUGAAUAAUAUUAAAAUUUUAAAAUUUUUAAUUAUUUAUUAUUAUGCUAAAAACUUAAUUGAAACGUGACUAAUUAAAAAUGUUACAUCGAAAUGUAAAGUUUUUUAAAAAAUGGAAUAUACUUUCACUUUCAAAAUAUAAUUAAGAAAAAAUCAUUCACUCGGUUAUCAAAAAAAAAUUCCGUUCACCUUCUAGCUUCUUUUAUUAAGUAACUGAGCUAAAUCCUUAAAUUUUCAUAUUAAAUGAUAGAUUUUUAUUAUUAAUUUUGGAUUUAUUUGAAUGAUAAAUUUUAUUUUUUAAGUUUAUUAAUAAAUAUUUUAUAUUUGAAAUGUAUUUAGUUUCAUUCAUUUUAUAUUUGUAAUAUAUUUAUAUACAUAUCUUAAAUAAUUUUAAAAAAUAUUGAUAAAUCUGAAAAGAUAUGUAUCAAUUUCAGUAAACAAAAAAUCAAACGUCCACUAAUACAAAGAAAAGAAAUCUCAAUUCUUAAAAUUUCAAUCCCUUUAUAUUUAAAGUUGAAGACAGUAGAAGAAAAAUAGAAAUAGGUAUUAACAAUGAAAUUAGAUUUGAAUAACGUUGUCACUAGGCAUAAUUUAUUGACAAUUUUUGUAAGAGGUUACAUGUAUUUAAUAUGACAUAAAAAACUGUUAAAUUAACUCUAAGUCAUUAUAUAUUUGUUAAUUAAAUAAUAGGAAAAAUUAAUUGAAAAUAAAAAUAAAACAAAAACGUUGAUAAUAGGUUAAAACUUAAUCCAAAUCAUUAUAGAUUUUUUAUUUAAAAAAUGAACUACAAUUAAAAUGGAAAAAAUAAAAAACAUGUGGCGCUAUUUUGUUUUGGGAGCAGGAAUGGAGCAUCGUUUAAGGGCAAGGGAUUUCUAUUCACUGCUCCAAUGCCUAUAUAAACCUCAAUACCAUGCUUUGUUUUCCUCACUCACAACUAUUCAGAUAAAAAACUUCGUUUCAUCUGCUUCGUUUGUUUCGAAAUCUCUGAACAAAAAUGGCCUCUUUCAAUUGCUUUGCUUUAGCAUUCUAGAUGGCUUUGUCAUUUGCAAGCAUUGAUGUUGGGGUAGCAGCUCGUCACCUUCUGCAGCAGCCUCAAACACAAAGUUUACCAUCUUUCCCUAAUCUCCCAACGCCAUCCCGAUCAUUGUUCCCAUGGCCUGGGGCGCUUCCUCCACUUCCUACCACAUUGCCAACAGGACUGCCCCCUCUGCCAAGCAUUCCCUCAGUCCCCACAAUCCCAACUGCAAUUCCCCCUAUUCCUUUCUCUUUUCCACCAUUGCCAUCUUUCCCUAAUCUCCCAAACCUUGGGGCGCUUCCUCCACUUCCUACCACAUUUCCAAGAGGACUGCCCCCUCUGCCAAGCAUUCCUUCAGUCCCCACAACCCCAACUACAGUUCCCUCUAUUCCUUUCUUUUCUCCACCACCUUCUCGUUCUACUCCUUGAAGUACCCCAUUUUUUUAUCUACUGCAUAUUGGAUCUGGUUUAAUAAGGUUUUUAGUCGUCUUUGUGGCUUUAUUAUGAGUACUGAUUUUGCACACUUAUAUUUGUUUGAAUAAAUGGGAUUUCUCCAAUUCCCAAUAUUUGGUGUACUUUGAUACAUUGUUGCUUAUUAUAUAUGAGGUAUUUAUAUAUUGAUGUUAUGUCCAUGAAGUAAUUAAUUACUAUUAUACCAUUGUUAACAUGAGUUUGGCUAAUUAAGAAAAGAAUCAAACGAUAAAUGCAGUCAAGAUAAUGAGCAGCCAUACAUCGAGAAGAUGCCACUGUUGAUAUAAUGAUUCCUGCUUCAUUAUCUCUUCCAAGUUAUCCAUUUACAUACGAUUACUUUCCUUUUUAUAUGAAUUUCUUUAAAUUAGGGUAGUCGGUUUCAUACAGAUUUCAGUUAUACUAAUUUGUGUACAUUGUUUCAAUUUUAUAUCAAAAUAUUAAUAUUUUUGAAAUUAGAUCGAUAAUCAAAUCAAUCAAAUCAUUAAUUCUUGAUUCAAUAGAUUCAACCACUGAUACAAUUAAUUUACUAUUCAACAAUAUAAAAUAAUAUUAAUUAUUAAAAACCCCAAACUCCUCUAUUUUUAAGGCUUUGAAUUUUAAAACCCUCUCCUCGUCUUUCAUCUUUCCUAAUUUAUCUUUUUUUUUCCUUUGAUUGAAUGUUAUAUGUCCAUCUUAGUUUUUUUUUAAAAAAAAAACUUAUUCUAGUAGAAAAAGUAAGAAAAGAAAUGGUGGUUAUUUUUUUAUGUUGUGUUUUAUUUCAUUGAGUGCAGAGAUGAAGUGUAACAAAAGCUUAAGGGGUUUGAAGUGAAAUUUUUAUUUUUCUGAUUUACAAAAUGUGAAAAUACGGCUUAAUCGACUGAUGAUUUGCAGUUUAACUGCAGUUUACUCUAGUUCUCGUGCUCAUUGGUUCUUAGUCUAUUUGGUUUGGUUCUAAUAACAUUACGAAACACCCAACCCUAUUUUUCUACACUAGUGAAAAUUUCGGUCUAUAACACCCUAAACCCGGCUUAGACAUCCAAACCAAGUUGGAAAGUCACAUCAACCGUUCUAAAAGCCAUACCACCAUAACGCAAUCAAAUUAAACAAGUCGUCAAAUAUUAUUGAUCACAAUAGUAAUUUAAAGACAUAAUAUUCAUAAAUCCAUAACAUCAUAAAACAAAUAUCCCUAAUAAUCAUGCUAGCAGAAUAUCAAUAAGUGUCUGACCAAGCUUCCGCGACACCGAUCCGAUCAAGACUGAUUACCACCUGAAACCCAAACAAUAACAUGGUGAGUUAUGAACUCAAUGUGAAAAAAGGAAUGUAAUUCAAUAACGGUGACUUAUGGAGAAUAUCCAGUUCAGAGAUUCAGUUCAUCCUAGAAGCAUGUUUGACCUAGGCUCAGAGCAGAUAUGUAUACAUGUAUUAUUCCAAUUCAAAUAUAGUUCAGAUCAGAUUCGGAUGCAAUACUCCUAUUUCCAUCCUCUACACACUAAAUUUUUCCAUCCCAACAAACCAUUAUGGACAUUUAAUGCCCAUCCAUCCCUGCACACCUUUAAAGUGUUCAAUGACACUUUCAUAGAAACGCAGCUUAGCUGCUAGUUCAAUGUGCGACAAGCGCUAGAAUCAGGGUGAUACUUAUUGUGGCAUAGCCACAUUUUCAGUACAGACUCCCCUUCUUCCUCACAAUCUCCCACCAUAUGUUAAUGCAUAAUACAAUAAUCCGUAACACAUGUUUAGCCAUUUUGAUAAAAUACAUAAUUAAUAAAACAGUUCAAUAACAGAGUGGUGUUACAAUGCAUAUUCAAGAAUGUGAUUCACAGAUCAGUCUCAUGUAAGAAAAUUCAGUCAUUCGUAAAUUGAGAAAACCAAUAUCAGUGUUUAGCACCCUUCUCAGCCUCAAAAAUAGUUCUCGGAUCAACAUCCUGCCACACGGCCUGAGCCCACCCAUGUGCCUUGGCCUUGGAUUUUUAUACCCCAAACAGUGAGUAAGACGGCCUGGGCACACGCCCAUGUCCCUGGCCAUGUGAACCUUGUACUAUAAUGACCGUACACAGCCUAAACACAUGCCCCUGUGGCCACCCAUGUGGUCUUAAUUCAAUAAACAAUGAGUUACACGGCUUACCACACACCCUUGUGACACUCAAGGCCUAGUCACACGCUCAAGAGAAAAUCAAAAAAGAAGAAAAAGUAGAGAAGAAAGAAAAACAAAAAGGAAAAAAAAUAAAAACAAUGGGAAAGAAGAACUAACGUUAAUUGAUUAUCAAUUAACAUCCAUUCAGACUUCCGGCAUUUAGCAAAAAUAUUUUCCUUACGCAUACUACAAGAUUCGAACUCAGAACCAGAUAGAAUACAGACAGAUGUUUAACCAGUGAACUAGCAGGCUCAUUCUUGUCACCCUUUUAUAAAGAGUUGAACUUAAGCGGAUAGUGCGUGCUUGUGGGUUGAUUCUAAAAAAACAAAACUUCUUAUGAUGUGACUCGAACUUCAAACCUUAAACUCAAUUGCAGAACACAGAACCAUAGAUACAGAAAUUAGUUACUGUAGAUUUUUACAAACAAGUUCUUAAAAUUUUGGGGCAUUACAACUCUUUCCCCCAAAGGAAGUUUUGGCCUCAAAAUUUUUGCUUAAGUCGAAUAGAUAUGGAUACAGCCAUCGAAUAGAUUCCUCUGGCUCCCACGUGGCUUCCUCAGUUCUGUGAUUCUGCUAGAGGACCUUCACCAGAGGAAUAGUUUUCUUCGUUAGUUUCUUAACGUCACGUCCAAGAUCUGAACAGGCUCUACCUCGAAUAUCAAGUCUGAUCGUAACUUAACCUCGUCAAUCGUAACAAUAUGUGAUGGAUUCAAUCGGUACCGUCUCAACAUCGAGACAUUAAACACAUCAUGAAUCCAAUCCAGCUCCAGCGGUAACUCUAACUUGUAAGCAACAGGUCCAACUCGCCUUAAGAUACGGUAAGGCCUUAUAAAUCUCGGGUUUAGCUUGCCCCUAUGUCUAAAUCGGAGGACAUUUUUCCAAGGUGAUACCUUUAGAAACACUUGAUCACCUACUGAAAACUCAAUAUCCUUCCUUUUUAAAUCUGCAUAAGACUUUUGUCAAUCAGACACGACUUCUAGUCAAUCCUGAAUUACUUUCACAAUGCUCUCAAUUUCAGAAACCAACUCAGGACCCAAUAUAUGGCGUCCUCUCAACUCCUUCUAACAUAACGAAGUAUGGUACUUACGGCCAUAUAAAGCUUUGUAAGGUGUCAUUUGAAUACUGGACUGAAAUUUAUUGUUGUAAGUAAACUCCGUUAACGGUAGAUACUCCUCCGAACUACCCCUGAAGUCUAUCACACAACCUCGAAGCAUAUCUUUUAGGAUCUGAAUGACUCGUUCUAAUUGUCUGUCGGUCUGAGGGUGAUAUGCGGUACUAAACUUAAGUCGAGUGCCUAAAGCCUCAUGAAAUUUCUUCCAGAACUAAGACAUAAAUUGCGGAUCUUUAUUGGAAAUAAUUGAGACAGAAAUUCCAUGUAGCCUCACAAUCUCGACGAUGUACAGUUUAGCUAACUUCUGUAAUGAAUAAUCCAUUCGAAUAGGAAUGAAAUGAGCCGAUUUGGUCAACAGGUCAACUAUGAACCAAACUGAAUCCUUUUUAGCAAGAGUUAAGGGCAACCCUGUAACAAAAUCUUUUAUUGCCCGCUCUUAUUUCCACUACAAAAUCUUAACCGACUGAAGCAGUCUAGAGGGCAAAUGAUGUUUGGCCUUAACCUUUUGACACGUAAAAUAGUGGGACACAAAAAUGACUACCUCUCGAACCCUAAACCCUAAAUCCUAAACCCUGAACUUUAAAGCCUACAACCCUAAACCCUAAACCCUAAGAUCCCGGCACAUCUUAUUCCCACUAAAAUGUAUAGCAUAGGGUCUAUUGUGUGCCUCCUACAGAAUCGAGUGCCUUAAUUCUUUGUCAUUGGGUACACAAAUCUGACCUUUGAAGCAUAACACAGUAUCGGUAUUCAAGCUAAAAUCAAAAUUCUCGUCUGAGCCAACAUGUUGCAAUCGCUGUAUUAAGGAUUCGUCAUUUUUUAGUUUACCUCGAAUUUGCUCUAUCCAAACCGAUUUCACUUAGAGUUUAGCUAACAACCCUCCAUCCUCAACCAAACUCAAACGAGCUAAAAUUACUCUCAGAUCCACCACUGCUCUACGGCUAAAGGCAUCAACUACCACAUUAGCCUUACCUAAAUGAUAUUCUAUGGUGCAAUAUAAUCUUUAAGUAACUCGACCCAUCAGCACUGAUGAAGGUUCAACUCUUUUUGGGUUAACAAAUAUUUGAGGAUCUUGUGAUCAAUGUAAAUAAUACACCUUUCACCAUACAGAUAGUGCCUCCAAAUUUUUCAAAGCAAAUACGACAUUAGCUAGCUCAAGAUCGUGGGUGAGGUAAUUACCCUCGUGUGUCUUCAUCUUCUGCGAUGUGUAAGUGACUACCUUACCGUCUUACAUAAGCACAUAUCCUAACCCAACAUGUGAAGCAUCACUGUAAACCACAAACUCUCGUCCCGAUUCUGGUUGAACCAAAACAGAAGCUUGUGUCAAAACGGUUAUCGAAAUUAGACUGCUGUGCCUCAGACCAUACUGUAGCGACGUAAAAAUUUUGCUUUGGUCGCUAAUUAAGGCGAUUUCUUGAAAAUUUGAAAACCAACUUUCGAUUUUAUAAACAAGGGAGUCGCCACCGAUCUUUUUCUAGUUGUGAUCGGACACCUAAUGAAUCAUCUUUUUAGAGAAGAAAAUUUAUUCUUGAACAAAAUGAACGCCGAAUUUAGGUCUACGUCAAAAACCAAAGUAAAGUUGGGUUCGGGAGUCGGUUACGUGGGAGGAAGGUAUUAGCACCCUCGCGACCCCAAAAUUGGUAUCUUUAUUAAAUAGGUGUUGUCUUGAUUUUCAAAAAUACGAAUUCAAUUUGACAUUUAAUCGUGAUCCGAUUGAAAAAUGAGAAUUUUUAGCUUUCGAUUUUUUUUAGAAGAGGUGUCCCGUUUUUAACACGAGCCAACGAACUUCACCCAACAUAGCAAUGAAAUUGAUGACUUAAUGUUAAAUCGGUUCAUUGCCUUAUUUAUUGAAAUUAGUAAAAAAAACAUGGAUAAAAAUCUUUAAAGUAGUGAACAGCAAAAUGAUAUAAAAUGGGCGGGAAACGAAAAAAUAAGAGAGUUAGAAAUACAUCGAAGCAAAUAAUAAAUAUGACAAUAAUAUUAAAAACAAUGCCAAUAUUUGUGAUAUUAAACAUGAUAAUAAUAGUAUUAAAUACGAAAUAGAGACGAGCAUAUAUAUAAACAUAUAAUAAUAAUGAGUGAAGUGACGUAAACAUACUAUUAAAAAUACUAAUAGUGCUAUAUAUAUAUAUUAACGUAUAUACGUAAUAAUAGGAAUGAAAAGUGUAUACAUAAUAAUACUAAAUAUAUAUAUACAUAAUAUAUGUACACAUAAUAUAUAUAAAAUGAACAUAUUAGAAAUACUAAUAACAUAAAAAAUAUAUAUUAGUAAUACUACAUAAAUAUGUACAUAUAUAUUAAAAUAAAUACAUAAUAAUAUUAAAAGUAUAUACAUAAAAUAGUGUUAAAAAUGCAUACAUAAUAUAGUUGUUAAUAUAUAUAUACAUAUUAGAAAUAAUAAUAAUGUUACAAAACAAUUAUUAAUAAUACUGCAUAAACAUGUAUAUAUAUGUUAAAGAUAUAUACAUAUAUAAUAAACAUAUACUACUAAUAAUAAUAAUAAUAAUAAUAAUAAGAUGUAUGUACACCAAAUAACACAUAAUAAUAUUAAAAUAAAAUAAUAAGUGACAAUAGUGAAAAUAGUAAGUAUAAUAAUAAAUAUAACGAUAUAUGAAAAUAAUACUAUGUAUGAAAAGUAUAUAUACCCAUAUAAUAAGAUAUAUGUACUAAUAUUAAUAAUAAAUAUAAUAGGGAUAAAAUAGAUAUAAUAAUAUAUACAUAAUAUGGUAUUAAAAAUAUAUAUGUCACAUAGUAUUCAAGAAUAUGCACAUGAGAUGAUAUAAAAAUAUAUACAUAAUAUAAUAAAAUAUAUGAAUAAUAUGAUAUUAAAAAAAUAUACAAAAUAUAAAAAAAUAUAAUAUUAAAAAAAUAAUAAUAAUAUACAUAAUAUAAGAGUAUUAAAAUAAAUAAAAAAUAUGGAAGGAAUGAGUAAAAAUAAUAUACAUAAUAAUAUAAUAAGAAAAUAAUAUAUUUAUAAUAAGUACUUAAAAAUAUUUACAUUUAUAUAUGUAUAAUAAUGAUAAAAAAUAAUAAUAAUAGUGAAAAUAAUAAAUAUAAUAAUAAAUAUAAUAAUAGAAAAAGAUAAUACUAUGUAAAAAGUAUAUAUACAUAUAUAAUAAAAUAUAUACUAAUAUUAAUAAUAAUUAUAAUAGAGGUAAAAGUAGAUAUAAUAAUAUAAAUAAUACGUACAUGAAAAAUAAUAAUAAAUAAUAAUAUAAAAAGAAAAUAUGAUAAAAUAAUAGUGUAUAAAAUAAUAAUAAUAAUAAUAUUUACAAUAAAAGAAAAUAAAAAGAGUGUAUUUAAAACUAUAUACGUAGUAUUAUUGAAACUAAUAUUAAAAAUUAAUAAUAAUAAUAAUAAUAAUAAUAAUAAUAAUAAUAAUGAUAAUAAUAUAAUAAUAGUAACUAUAGUAAUAAUAUAUUGAUAAAAUAAAAAAUAAUAGUGAUAAUAAGAAUAUUAAUAAUAAUAGUCAUAAGGAUAAUAUAAAUAAUAUUUAAAAUAAAAUAAAAUAGCAAAGAUAAUAUAAAAAUCAACUUAAAUUUAAAAAAAAAGACUAAAUUCGAAACAAAAACGAAGUUUUGGGGCCAAUUUAAAAAGAAAUAAAGGAAAAGGGAUUAAAUUGCAUGCACGAAAAAUAGUGCAGGGACUAAUGAUGCAAAAAAUCCAUUCGGCCUAAAACGCACAGCAGCAGAGGGACUGAAUUACCAAGCACAACAAAUUUCGGGUCAAAAUUUAAAACAACUAAAAACUUAAUUGCAUAAUAGAAAAAAAGCGGAGGGGCUAAAUGCGCAAAUAGCCCCUCCAAUGAAAACACGCGGAUCCUGAAGUUGGAGCGGGUCGGAUUCGGGUCAGCCAAGUCAAAACGAUGUCGUUUUAAGGCUUAUGAGCUUAGGCCAAAAUGACGCUGUUUUGAUCUCUUAUAAAAAUUAAAACUUUUACAAAAAAUCUUCAUUCUUUCAUUUCACUUAAAAAAAAACUAAAGCCCCUAAAAAUUUUCUCGCAACCAGCCUUCUGCAGGAGGAAUUCCGGCGACUUCUCCGGCGCCGUCCGUCACCGUCGGCCACCUUGCACGGUGGUUGGAGCUCCAAAAACGAUAAUUUUCUUCCUUUUUUCUUAGAUAUUAUUGAUAUACAUAUAUAUAAGACAGUUUUUUUUAAGAAAAUAUAAAAAAAUAUAGGUAUAUAUAUAAUUUCGAAUAAGAAAUAUAAGGAAAGAAAUGAAAAAAUUAUAACCUUCAAUAGUUGAAUCAAUCUCCUCUGUUCUUUAUUAUUUCAAAAACUGCCUUUUUUUGCAUAUGCUUGAAUCUUUUUGUAUUUUUGUCAGUUAAAAAAAAUCCAAUACAAGUGAUUUUGUGGCUUUUUAUAGCCAUUUUUGCAACUUGCUUUUUUUCAAUUCCUCUAUCACUUCUGUUGCAGGUGGAUGAGGUCAACGGUGGCAGAGUUGGUGAGGUAGGUGGAGCGGCGGUAUGGUGGAUGGGACAGAGGCUGCGGCUAGGGGGGCUAGGGUUUCUGAUUUCUAAAAAUAAGUUGUGGGCUGAUGUUAAUGGGUUAGGGCUUGUUUAAUUGGGUUUGGGUUUAAUGGGUCUUUGUAUGGGUUGGAAUAGGUUUAGGUCAAAAUGGGCCUGGGAUUUAAAUUGGGUUAAAUUUGGGUUUGGUCUUGGGUUUAUUUUUUAGUUGUAAUAGUUUAUUUUUGUAAAAGGCUCGAGUUAAUUUGGGCUUCUACAGCUUCCCCUCUUUGCUUAUUGUCGUGCAACGAGAAUAGAGCAAAGACUUUCAAGGAAGACCAAAUUUGCCCGGUCUUACUGAGUUUUGACUUGUUUCGGAGCUCCUCUUUUCCAAGUAGUCUCGUUCUAAUCCAUCGCAUCUUGUAGCUUUGGUUCAAUCCAUCGCGACUUCAGGGCUAUGACUUGUAGCUUCAAUCUACUCAUAUCUCCAGAGAUAUAAAAUUCGUUGUGAUCUGCUCUUCUACUGUAUCUUCAGGAAGAUAAGAUCUGCAACUUCAAUGCGCUCCACUACAACUUCGAUCAGCUCCAUUGUAACUUCAAGGUUCUGCUACAACUUCAGGGAGAUAAGACUUGUAACUUUAACCUGCUUCACUGCAACUUCAAGAAUAUAAGAUCUACAACUUCAAUCCGCUCUUCUAUCACUUCAGUGGGACAAGAUUUGUGGUCUUUUCUUCUGCAACUUCAGAAAGGUAAGAUCUGAUACCCUCGAUCAACUCCACUGCAACUUCAGGGUGAUAAGACUUGUAACUUCGUCCUGCUUCACUGCAACUUUAGGGGGGCAAAAUCUGCAUCUUCGAUCAACUCCAAUCUUAAUCCUCGGUGUGUGACCCGAGGCUCAACUUAUCUCUCGCAAUAUGAGCUGGCUUUUGAUAAAAACAGAAUUUGAAAAAUAGAAACUGAAAAUGCCUCAGCAUGUCCCGAGGUUCAACUCACCUCUCGCAAUAUGAGCUUAUUUUUUUGAAAAAUAGAAAUUAAAAAUAUCUCGGCAUGUGGCCCGAGGGCUAACUCACCUCUCGCAAUAUGAGUUGAUAGAAACUAAAAAUAUCUCAGCGUGUGACUCGAGGCUCAAUUCACCUCUCACAAUAUGAGUUGAUUUUUUUAAUGAACAUUAAUUAAAAUUACCUCAGCGUGUUCUGAGGCUCAACUCACCUCUCGCAAUAUGAGUUGAUUUUUUUGUUUUUUUUUUUAAAGAUAAAAAUUGAAAAUACCUCAACGUGUCUUAAGGCUCAACUCACCUCUCACAAUAUGAGUUGAUAACAGAAAUAAAAACAUCAGAAUACCAAAACAUGUCAUCUGGUGGAACUCAGGUGUCUUUUCCUUUGAUUUAUUACAUCUAUCAUCACAUCCUCUCGCUCUACUGGAGUACCUGUAUAUGUCAUGCGUGAUGUUAUCAUGAUAUGCACAUGUUUGUCUUAAAUGCCUUUAUGCCUACAUGAUUAUGCUAUGUGCCUUAGGCAUGUUUGUCGUAUGUCCUUUUCCGUCAAGAUUUUUUUUUUUUGUGAUGAUCUACAUUCAUUAUUUCGGAUCUUGACUCUCUCUUUAGGCCCGUACCCAUCCUCAAGCUUCACAAACAAUCUGCGUUUCUCAGAUAUCACUCUUUUGCCCCUGGUUAAACUUUGUCCUUUCUUUGAAACUCUUGUACUUAUCAAAUUCUUAUCCGGGUAAUGCUCAACAUUUCUUUUGUCUAGAGUAUGUCAUUUCACUAUUUAUCAUUUAAAUAAACCACAUAAUGAGAUGCAUAAAAAUGGUCAGGUAGAGACAACAAGGGUACCUCAGAUUUAUUUAUUUCAAAUGUAGCAAACAAAGAAAGUUAACCAAUGAUAGUAAAAAAAAGUGUCAUAAAGAGAAAAGGGAUCGCAUUCAACGAAUACAAAUGCUCUAGAUAUUCAACACAUGAACUCUUCCACGUUUCUUAAUUAAGAAUCUUUUCGAGCAUGGCUUCUUGCGUAGAAGAUUUCGAGCUACUGAAAAUGAUUCAAAUACUGUAGUUCCACCGUUUGACUCACUUGUUCAAAUCGUCUUACUCUUUGAGCCCAGGUCUUCUUCAUUAGGAUGCCCUUUCGGGUUUUCAUCCUAAUCUUUUGUGUUAAUCAAGACGCCCUUUUCGGGUUUUCACCUUGAUCUCUCUUUUUUUUUAGGCAUAAUAUUUCUUCAUAGCAUCUGAAUUCACUGGAUUAGGUAACUCCUUCUCGUCCAUCUCAGUGAGAAUCAAAGCUCCACCCGAGAAUGCCUUCUUUACGACGUAUGGUCCUUCCCAAUUUUGUGCCCAUUUUCCUCGCAUGUCUUUUUGUAUUGGGAGGAUUUUUCUCAGCAUGAGUUCUCCUUCAUAGAAUUCUCUCAGCCGUACUUUCUUGUCAUGGGCUGCGAUCAUUCUCUUCUGGUACAUCUGUCCGUGACAAAUUGCCUUUAAACGUUUUUCUUCGAUGAGGUUUAACUGGUUAUAUCGAGCUCGAACCCAUUCUACUUCCUCUAAUUUUGACUCCAUUAAGACUCGUAGAGAAGGGAUCUCAACUUCAAUAGAUAGCACAGCUUCCAUUCCAUAGACCAGAGAGAAAGGAGUUGCUCCCGUAGAUGUCCAUACAGAUGUGCGAUAUGCAUACAAAGCAAAUGGUAGCUUCUCGUGCUAGUUUUUAUAUGUCUCGGUCAUUUUCCCAAUAAUCUUCUUAAUAUUCUUGUUGGCCGCUUCAACAGCUCCGUUCAUUUUCGGGCAAUAGGGUGAUGAGUUAUGAUGCUUUAUUUGAAAUUGCUCACACACUUCCUUCAUCAUCUUGUUGUUCAGAUUCAAGGCGUUAUCUGAAAUGAUUCUUUCAGACAAACCAUACCGACAAAUGAUUUCCUUUUUCAAAAACCUACAAACUGCAGUCUUCAUCACAUUGGAAAAUGAAGCGGCUUCUAUCCAUUUUGUGAAGUAAUCAAUAACCACAAAAAUGAAUCAGUGUCCAUUAGAAGCUUUUGGGGAAAUGGGCCCUAUAACAUCCAUGCCCCACAUAGAAAAAGGUCACGGAGAAGUCAUGACAUGAAGAGGCGAAGGGGCUACAUGAAUCUUAUCGCUAUAAAUUUGACAUUUGUGGCAUUUUCUUGCAUAACUAAUGCAGUCACUUUCCAUCGUCAGCCAGUAAUAACCGAGUCUCAUAAUCUUCCUGGCCAUAGUGAAACUAUUGGCAUGUGUCCCAAAAAUUCCUUCAUGGACAUCUUCAAGUAUUUUCCUGGCUUCAACAGCAUCUACGCAUCUCAAGAGCAGUUGAUCUUUUCCUCUUUUGUACAGAAUGUCCCCAUCAAGAACAAAUCCUACUGCCAUUCUUCUGAUUGUUCUUUUGUCGUUCUCAUUUGCUUGUUCGGGAUACUUUUGAUUCUUGACAUAUUCUAGGAUAUCAUGGAACUAUGGCCAUCCAUCUGGCUCAUUUUCAAUGCUGAAACAAUGUGCAGGGACUUCAUAUAUGCUCAUUUGAAGAGGCAUUAUUUCUGUUUCUCUGUUCGCUUUGAACAUUGAAGCCAAAGUGGCCAGGGCAUCAGCCAAUUGGUUUUCUUCUCGUGGGAAGUAAUUAAAAGUUAUUUCUUUGAAUUCUUUAAUCAGUCCUGCCACUAGAUCGCUGUAUUUAAUUAAUUUCGAAUCUCUCACUUCCCACUCUCCGUGAAUUUGGUAUAUCACCAACGCUGAGUCCCCGUACACCUCUAAGAUUUCGACGUUUCGUUCAAUAGCUACACGAAGUCCCAUGAUACAGGCCUCAUAUUCCACUAUGUUAUUGGUACAGAAGAAAUUCAGCCUUGCAGUGAACGGAUAAUGGCUUCGUUCUGGUGAUACUAAGACUGCUCCAAUCCCAUGCCCCAAUGCGUUCGAUGCACCAUCAAAUCUCAUCUUCCAUGACUUCUCUUUUGGUGACUCGCACUCUUUUUCUGUAAUGCACAUCAAGUCUUCAUCCGGGAAAUCAAAUCUCAAUCGCUCGUAUUCAUCCAUUGUUCGAGUUGCUAAGAACUCAGCUAUUGCGCUUACUUUUAUCCACUUUUGACUCACAUAGACGAUGUCAUAUUCUAAUAGUAGGAUCUGCCAUCGUGCCAUUCUUCCUGAAAGUACAGGUGAUUCCAUCAUAUACUUUAUUGGGUCCAGCUUUAAAAUUAACCAUGUCGUAUGAUACAACAUAUAUUGCCUGAGCCUCCGAACUACCCAAACCAAAGCGCAACAGAAUUUUUCAAUUGACGAGUACUUUGCCUCAUAUUCUGUGAACUUUUUGCUGAGAUAGUAAAUCGCCUUUUCUCUUUUCCCUGAUUCAUCAUGUUGCCCCAGUACGCAACCCAUAGAAUUUUCGAACAUAGUCAGAUACAAUAUUAACGGUUUUCCUGGAAUUGGCGGUACUAGUACCGGGGGACUAGACAAAUACUGUUUUAUCUUGUCAAAAGCCACUUGGCACUCUUCGUUCCAUUCUUCUGGAUUAUGUUUUCGAAGGAGUCGAAAAAUUGGAUCACACUGGUUGGUAAGUUGAGCAACGAAUCGAGCGAUGUAGUUCAACCUCCCUAAAAAUUCUCUGACUUCUUUUUGUGUGCGCGGAGGUGGUAGUUCUUUUAUGCCUUUUAUCUUAUCUGGAUCCACUUCAAUGCCUCUCUCACUAACAAUGAAGCCUAGAAAUUUUCCCGAGGUAGCCCCAAACAUACAUUUGGCUGGAUUAAGCUUUAGCUGGAACUUUCUCAGUCUUUCGAACAACUUCCUGAGGUUCCCCACAUGCUCUCUUUCCCCCUUGGAUUUGGCGAUCAUAUCAUUGACGUAGACUUCUGUUUCUUUUGCAUCAUGUCAUGAAACAACAUCACCAUGGCCCUCUGAUAUGUUGCCCCAGCAUUCUUUAAUCCGAAUGGCAUCACCUUAUAACAGAAUGUUCCCCACAUCGUUACGAAUAUAGUUUUCUCCAUAUCCUCGAGAGCCAUCUUUAUCUGAUUAUAACCUGAGAAUCCAUCCAUGAACGAAAGCAAUGAAUGAUUGGCUGUGUUAUCCACCAAUGUAUCGAUGUGUGGCAAAGGAAAAUUAUCUUUAGGACUUGUUCGAUUCAGAUCGCGAUAAUCCACACACAUUCAUACCUUGCCGUCUUUCUUCGGUACUAGAACUAUGUUAGCUACCUAUUAUGGGUACUUGGAGACUUGUAGGAAGCCAGCAUCAAAUUGUUUCUUGACUUCUUCUUUUAUUUUUAACAGUAUUUCAGGUUUCAUUCGUUUUAGCUUCUGUUGAAUGGGUUUGCAUUCUGGUUUCAGUGGGAGUCUAUGGACCACUACAUCCUCAUCCAAUCCUGGCAUGUCCUGAUAUGACCAUGCAAAUACAUCUUUGUACUCAUGAAGCAAAGCAAUCAAAUCAUGUUUGGUGUUAUCUGAAAUGGAGGUCCCAAUCUUCACUUCUUGCCUCUUUUCUUCAUUUCCCAGGUUUACUAUCUUGAUAGAUUCUUGAUGAGGUAGAAUCUGUUUAUCUUCUUGUUCUACCAUUCUUAGUAAGUCAGGAGACGAGACAUAGUCUUCAACAUUUUCCUCAGGUUCAAACUCUCCUAAGCAAAUAGCCUUUUCGAAAUCGAUUUCAAGAUUUGUAACGGGUUUGUUCAUAUCAUUGAUAUCUGAGUACCUGAAAGUUGAAUGGAAAAGAAACUAUAGAGGAGCAUCAACGUAUUGGGACCAACAAGCAUAAUAUUAUAAUGUGAGAUAUAUGGAAUGACAGGCUGUGAGAAGAAGGAAAAAGUAUGAAGUUAAUGAGAAUGAAAAGACCAUGACAAAAGUGCAUCUCCAUUAAUGUUCAUUUAAAUGAUAAAGAGCAAAUUAUAAGCUCUUAAAGAAUCCCUACUAUUACUUAGGGACACACAAAAAGAAGAGUGUUAACAUUGAGCAUUACUCUGGAGAAGACUUAGAAACUACAAGGAGAUCCACAAUAGUCCAAUUGUUCAAAAUGAAUCCAGGAGGACAAGGGCGUAUCAUUGAAACAUCUUUAAUUGCAUCAUCUCUUUUGUCAAUGGCAUUUAUACUGACAUUCUGAAAACCCCUUUGAAUUAAUAACAGCAUGCUUCGUGGAUUAUCUUGCCCGGGCUAUAUCAUUCCUGCAGAUGUAAAUGUUUUUGACAAAGGAGGGUACGUUAUGGGCCCCUAUUCUAAUUCUCGGCCUAAGGCUCUUGUAAUCCGCCUUUCUCGAUCUUUCUGCAACUGUUUUCUUCUUUGUCACAUAUCUGGCUAGAACCCUAAACCAUAUCGAGCCUUAUGGGGCACUGGUUUGAGAGCUCUAACUAUUCCUUCCUGAUAUCUUCCCAAACCUUUUUUUGCUCGGGCUCCCUUUCCCACAGUCAACUGAAUUCCCAUCUUGGUACUCCUUGACAACAUGGGCAUGGGAACUUUAUUUCUUUCAGCAACGAACGUAGCAUUGAUGAAUUCAAAGGAAUGGAAGGAACAUUCUACUGCAUCCUUGCUUACUUCGAGGUAUGGUGUAUCAGCAGAGAUAGAUACGACAAUGUCUUCCUCACCCACGACGGUGACCAAAAGACCAUCCAUGAUAAACUUCACUUUUUGAUGGAGAGAUAAAGGAACUACCCCAGCAGAAUGGUUCCAAGGCCUUCCUAAAAGGCAAUUAUAUGAAGGCGUGAUGUCCAUGACCUGAAACUCGAUGUCAUAUAUAUAGGGGCCCACUUCUAGAGGAAUUUUAAUUUUUCCCAUAACUUCUCGUCUUUUCCCAUCGAACGCUCUUACUGUAGAGUGACAAGGCCUUAGAUGAGAUAAAUCAAUUGGAAUUAUAGAAAUCGUAGCCAAAGGCAUGACAUUGAGUGUCGACCCAUUAUCAAUGAGUACAUUCGGUAUUAUAUAACCCUUGCAACGGGUUGUGAUAUACAAUACUUUUACGGAGCCCCUACCAUUUGGCGGUAUUUCGUCAUCACUGAAAGAAAUAAAAUUGUCCGCAUUCAGGUUAUUCACCCACCUAUCAAGCUUUUCGACAGAUAUAUUACUUGCCACGUAAGCUUGAUUUAACACUUUCAGCAAAGCAUUCCGAUAUGGUUCAGAAUUCAACAGUAGGGAUAAUACCAAGAUUCGUGCCAAUUGUUUGCUUAACUGUUCCACGAUGUUAUAUUCACUAUGCUUAAUGAACUUCAAGAAUUCAUGUGCUUCCUCUUCAUUCACAAGCCUUUUAACUUCUUGUUCGGAUGGAGUUUCGAGUUCUACCUCGGCCUCAUGCAUCGGUGCCUUUCCUUUCUGGUUUAAGUCACUCAUCUUUUUCAUUGGUUCAACCAUUUUAGAAUAACAUCUCCCGUUGCGAGUAAAAUUUCCUACUUCACCAACACUUCCAGUCAUGGCUUUGGAUUUUUCACCUUCAGGUGUGAUAAUGUUGACAUCGUAUUUCCAUGGUACUGCAUUGUUACCUUUGUAAGGGAAUGGAGAUAGUACUUCAAUUAUCAUUUUCGGUUUCACUUGUUCUUUUUUUACAUCGUAAUAAAUCACCAAUGGUCGAUCGGUGCUAUAAGGGAAACUUGAUGAUUGAUUGUCAGAAGCGCAUACUUCUCCCUCAUCGGCAUCUUUGUUAAAGAUCCCAAUCUCCUUGUUGUCCAUUAUGUCUUGAAGUAACUUUCUAAAUUCUUUACAAGACUGAAUGUCAUGCCCUUCAAUACCAUGGAAGUCACAAAAACAUUGACUUUUUAUAUUUCCUUCUUUAAAAAUUCUGUAGGGGCGACAGAACAGUCCCUUUUCAACCAUCACCUUCCAUAUCUUCUGUAAAGGUGCCUUUAUUUCAGAAACGCAGUUGUUGGUUCGCCACUUGUCUUCCUUAGUCACCGCGCUCACAUUCCCUUCAAUAUGGUUAGGGAGUGAAUUUCCAGUUGUAUUUCUAGUACCAUCAAAUCGUAAGAUGCCUGCAUCAAUGAGGCCUUAAACCCUCCUUUUAAAUGCUAGACAAUUUUCUGUAGAAUGCCCCUGGUUUCCGGCGUGGUACAUGCAACUGCAUUAGGAUCGUACUAUUUUGGGUAUGAAGGCUUCAAGGGUGCCAUAUAAUGUAGGGAUAUUAAUUGUUUUUCAAAUAGUUUUGGGUACAGCUCUCCGUAUGACACGAGAAUUGGGGUGAACUAGGGUUUUUCAAGAUUGGAUCUUGUCGGUCUUUGUUCAUCUUUAGGUUGGCUUUGAGCUGGCAUGGUAUUCUGUGGGAACUUAGUGACUGGUCUUUGGUUAUUUGUGGCGUAGAUGGGGUAAGAAGGGUAAUGAGGUGGUGCUUGAUAGUAAGGGCUUUGAGGAUGAUAAUAGAAGUUUGGAGGUGGGCGAUAUCGAGGUCGUAACUGGGUUGGAUACGGAUUAGCAGUGUAGUGAUUCUUAUUUCCCACCAUAUAGGCUCCUGCCUCUUUUUUCUUUACAGGUGUUUCCCUUUUCGAGCUCUCGGAACCUUCCAUCCUUCCACUUUUGAUGGCAUUUUCUAUAAGUUCCCUAGAUAUUACAAUAUCUGCGAAGUCUUUCGUGGCACUUCCUACCAACUUAUCAUAAAACGGUGCUUUCAAAGUGUUGAUGAAGAGGACCAUUAUUUCAGUUUUGGUCAAUGGAGGUUCUACUUGGGCUAAGAUAUCCCUCCAUCUUUGCGCGUAUUGCCUAAAAGUCUCUGUUGGCUUCUUUUCCAUCAUCUACAGAGUUAGUCGAUCAGAUACCAUGUCAGAUACAUGCUUGUAUUGUUCGUAAAAUACUGAUGCCAAGUCUUUCCAUAAUCGGAUCCUUUCUCUACUAAGUUGAUUAUACCAUCAAAGGGCCGAUCCGACCAAGCUGUCUUGGAAAUAGUGUAUUAGCAAUUUAUCUUCAUUCACAUAACCAGUCAUCUUCCGGUAAAACAUGAUAAGAUGCGCUUUUGGACAUCCCAUGCCAUCGUAUUUUUCGAAAUCUGGUACUUUGAAUUUCGAAGGAAGAACCAGAUCGGGCACCAAACUGAGCUCUUUGGCACUCAAUGCAGAGAAGGCUUCAGUACCUUCUAUUGCUUUGAGUCUUUCUUCCAAACUCCUAUACUUAUCCUGAACAUCAUGAUCAUCCAUUUUCAACCUAGCUAUUUCUAACGGGUCAUCCAAAUCUGAAACAUUGGGAGCUGCAGGAUUAGCUUCGGGGUUCGAUACGAAUAUACCUUGCCCUAGAUGAGCAGGGGGUACGGGUCGUUGCUCCACGCUUGUAGGUUCUCCUUGAGGACGUUCUCUUUGCAUUACAUGUGCUUGAGGUGGAGUGAAUCCUGGGGGAUAGAGUGGAUCCUGAUCAUGAUUAGCUCUUGGCUGGGGCUCCAUAGUGUCAGGCCUCUGCAUAGGUCCCUUUCCUUUGACCAAAGCUGUCAUCAUCUCCAUCAUUUUGGCCAUCUGACCUCUUUACUCGAGCGAUUCCUCUCGAGAUCUUAACAUCAAAUCUCUUGCUUCCUGUUGUGACUUGGUCAACUGCUCUUGCAAUUCUUUUUGGGCCCUUUCCAUCCUUUCAAUUCUUUCAUUGAACUCGGCUUCCAUAAUUCUAGCUUUUCGACGCAUCCUAUAAGAAUGGCGUAUUUCCAGACUUGUAGUGUCGCAACUGCGGAUUAUAUGGUUUUAGCCUCAGUGAAUGAUUAUGGUGAUAUGUACAUGCAAUGAAUGAAUGAAUGAAUGAAUGAAUGAAUGACAAAUAAAUGUUGAAUAAACGAUGAAUGAAUGUUAGUCAUGAAUAAAUAUGCAAGAAUUUGGUGUUAAUUUCAAGAUAGCCCCAUACUUAGGCAUUUCAUUUAUCAAAAGAGUCUAUUACAAAAUGUUUCACCAUUUUUUUUUAUUCAACAGUUACACAAAUUUCCUAGCCACAUUGCCUUGUUUCUUCACUCGCUCUAAGAACUCUGACAUGCUUGAUCUUUGGCUCAGAGGAAAUUGGCAACUGAGAGCUUCAGCUUCAUCUGAUAAUUGCACAACUUGUAUAGCUGCCUUGCGAAUUUCAUUGAUCAAAAAGCCGAGUUGUAUUUCUUUUUCUUGGAGAGCUCUUUCAUAAGUGCUAGUGUCUCUGUUGUACUGAUCAUUCUUUUCUUCUAGAGCUUUUAGAAGAGUAUCUAACUGUUACUGACGAGAUUGCAGCAUAUUUUCUAGAUCUCGUAUUUUCCUUCUUAACUCUUGACGUUCGGACUGACUAGUCACAAAUUCUGCGGUCACCGUUUCAUACUCAGCAUUCUUUUUUCUUAAUUCUAUCAUAGUACGCGCAGCUAUUUCUUCUUCUUUCUUUGUUUGCCCUUUUCAGAAUGCCAUCCCUCCUUUGAUGCUGCUAAUUUCUUCCUUCCAUUCUGCUGACGAUUUGCCAAACCCACUAUUUUUUAUAGUGCUUCUUAAUUUCUUAUUUUUCAAAUAAAGGUCCCUUAAGUCAUUUCUCACGAUCUCAGCUUCUCUUUGGAUUUUCAAGGUUUGGGACUUUUCAAUCUGAACAUCGAUCUUUAGCUAGUAGUUUUCCUCUUGAAGAGAACUGAUAUCCCGUAACAACUUAGCAUUUUCACUUUCAAAUUCGUGUCUUGUUACUUCCAGCUCAGAUGGCAUUUCUUCUGAGAAAAGAUUCUGGAAAGUGUUUUUCGUCAAUGAGACUUGUUGACUAUUCACUCGUCGUUUUCUUCAUAUGUCAUAAUCUUGAGUGAUAGUAUCAGCAUAGAGAGCUAACUCCAUUAGGUGAAUUUCUUUCCAAGCCUUUGCAGUAUCCCGGACCCUUUUCAUGUAACCUUCACCUGUAAAGGCAAACUCUGACUGUGCCAACCCUCCGGUAGCAGGUAUGAACUGUCGUGAAGCAAACUGCCUUUGAACCAUUAACGGAGCGUAUCCAAUUCCUCCCCAUAGUCCUAGUAAAGGCACCUAAUCUUGGCUUCCUCAUUUGCAUAAUAGAACUGAAGGACAGAUCCAUGGUGCUCUCCAGGUUAUAUCUUCAGUGCAAACAUUCUAAAAAAUCGAAACCCAGUACUGCUCGGUGACAUCUUUCGACCAAUCUUUCUAAAAGUAAGCCUUUAAUGGGGUGAAUGUUUUUGAGAACAUAUGGAAAGGUAUACGCUCUACUUUCCAGAAAUGGCUCAGAAUCCGGACAUUAAGCAAUUGCACGCAUCCGGUAAAACAUCCUUCCCCUUUUCUCUUACAACUACUCAGGGAUCUAAAAGUCUCAGCCAAGAUAGUUGGGACGGGGUUGAUCCCUUGCCCCAACCUUUCGAAGAAAUCCACUACCGCGACUUCUACAUGUCCCAAAACCUUUGAGAAGACGAUCAAUCCGUAAAUGGCCAAAGCAAACAGAUCAAUUCUCUUCGCAACAUCUGGAUGGUUUUGAACUAAGUCUCGCAGAGAAAACCACGGAACACAACUGACUUCAAUCUUUUUCUUUAUCUAUUUUUCAGCACAUAUAUCGGUUAUUCCGGUCAACCUCACUAGCUUUUUCUUGAAGGUCAUUGGCUUAGGCUCUUUCACAUAUAUCUUGUUGAAUUGUACAUUGUCAACACGAAGCAAAGUAGUAUAUUCUUCUAUGGUCGGAGUCAUAGCUUCAUGAUUGAAAGUGAAACAUCGGUACGCUGGGUCCCAGAAUCGAAUCAUGGCUUGAAUUAACUGUUCGUCUACAUUGACGGUGAACAAGUGAGCUAUAUCCCCGUACUUUUCAGUGAAAAUCCCCCUAGUAUCUGAGUCUCACUGUUUCCAAAUCUGAGUCAAGUCUUCGAGGUUAUUCUGACGAACGUUCGAAGUUACAUUUUCGGGAAGAUUGGAGAUACAUCCUUCCGUUAAACUGUCCCCUUUUACUUUCUGGGUUUUCAAAGACCAAUCUCGAACCACGACAUUUUUCUCGGUUACUUGCGUAAUUGACUCCUCCAUCAAAAACCUAUUUUUGGCAACCAAUCUCUAAUCAACACAUUCCUAAUCAAGAUGCCUACGAUGCGUGAUGAAAAAUAAAAAUAAAGACAAACAACCUUGGUUAGUAAUCACAACAAAUAUAAACUGAGAAAAACUAUGGAAACUUUAACAAAUUAAGCUAUCCGAUUCAAUUCUUUUGUAUAAACAGUGUAAAUGUAAAGGAAAUGAAAGGCAAGAGGCAUUUCUCCUGUGUACUUAUUUUGGUGAUUAUUAACGGACGGAGGUUCGGCAAGACUCUAGUUAGGUGGCUCGUAUGCUUCACUAUAUGCGGUUUCGGUUCAAGACAGGUACUCGAAUUGUUUGCACUAUCGUCUACUAAGACUAAUACGAAGCCUCAAUCGUAGCCCAUCACAGGCUCACGAGUUCAAUUCGAGGGAUUACAUUCACUUAUGCCUAUGCGGAGGGAUAAGUUAACUCACGAAAGCAUAAGUCAUAUGUAACCCGAAAGUAUUCACUAGCUUGUGCGGAGGGACGAGUUAACUUACGAAAGCAUAGCGUUUACUUCCACUUAAGCGGACGGAGCCAGGGAAGAGAGCUCAUGUUAUGCAAAAAUGCAAGUGCUCGGUGUGUGGAGAGAAACUCACAAACCUUUUUGUUUUUAUUUAAAACUAAAAGAAGCUAAAACUAUAAAGACUUAGAGCUGAAAGGCAAAAGGCUAAAACAAGUUAGAAAAACAUAUUUACAACAUGAUGCAAAUGCAUGAUUUUUUGAAAACAAAAUUUUGAGGAUCAUGACUAAUUAUUAAUUUGAACAAGGAAAUUUGAAAAUUUUGACAACACGCGUUUAAUUGGACUCGACUCUCAAAAAUAAGUCCCCAGCGAAGUCGCCAGCUGUAGCGACGUAAAAAUUUUGCUUUGGUCGUUAAUUGAGGCGAUUUCUUAAAAAUUUGAAAACCAACUUUCGAUUUUAUAAACAAGGGAGUUGUCACUGAUCUUUUUCUAGGUGUGAUCAGACACCUAAUGAAUCAUCUUUUUAGAGAAGAAAAUCUAUUCUUGAACAAAAUGAAGGUCGAAUUUAGGUCUACGUCAAAAACCAAAGUAAAGUUGGGUUCGGGAGUCGGUUACGUACGAGGAAGGUAUUAGCACCCUCGCGACGCCCGAAAUUGGUAUCUUUAUUAAACAGGUGUUGUCUUGAUUUUCAAAAAUACGAAUUCAAUUUGACAUUUAAUUGCGAUCCGAUUGAAAAAUGAGAAUUUUUAGUUUUCGAUUUUUUUUUAGAAGAGGUGUCCCGUUUUUAACACGAGCCGACGAAUUUCACCCAACAUAGCGAUGAAAUCGAUGACUUAAUGUUAAAUCGGUUCAUUGCCUUAUUUCUUGAAAUUAGUAAAAAUAAAAAUGGAUAAAAAUCUUUAAAGUAGUAAACAGCAAAAUGAUAUAAAAUGGGCGGGAAACGAAAAAAUAAGAGAGUUAGAAAUACAUCGAAGCAAAUAAUAAAUACGACAAUAAUAUUAAAAACAAUGACAAUAUAUGCGAUAUUAAACAUGAUAAUAAUAGUAUUAAACACAAAAUAGAGACGAUCAUAUAUAUAAACAUAUAAUAAUAAUGAGUGAAGUGACGUAAACAUACUAUUAAAAAUACUAAUAGUGCUAUAUAUAUAUAUUAAAGUAUAUACGUAAUAAUAGGAAUGAAAAGUGUAUACAUAAUAAUACUAAAUAUAUAUAUACAUAAUAUAUGUACACAUAAUAUAUAUAAAAUGAACAUAUUAGAAAUACUAAUAACAUAAAAAAUAUAUAUAUUAGUAAUACUACAUAAAUAUGUACAUAUAUAUUAAAAUAACUACAUAAUAAUAUUAAAAGUAUAUACAUAAAAUAGUGUUAAAAAUACAUACAUAAUAUAGUUGUUAAAAUAUAUAUCUACAUAUUAGAAAUAAUAAUAAUGUUACAAAACAAUUAUUAAUAAUACUGCAUAAACAUAUACAUAUAUAUAUGUUAAAGAUAUAUACAUAUAUAAUAAACAUAUAAUAAUAAUAAUAAUAAUAAUAAUAAUAAGAUGUAUGUACACCAAAUAACACAUAAUAAUAUUAAAAUAAAAUAAUAAGUGACAAUAGUGAAAAUAGUAGGUAUAAUAAUAAAUAUAACGAUAUAUGAAAAUAAUACUAUGCAUGAAAAGUAUAUAUACCCAUAUAAUAAGAUAUAUGUACUAAUAUUAAUAAUAAAUAUAAUAGGGAUAAAAUAGAUAUAAUAAUAUAUACAUAAUAUGGUAUUAAAAAUAUAUAUAUGUCACAUAGUAUUCAAGAAUAUGCACAUGAGAUGAUAUAAAAAUAUAUACAUAAUAUAAUAAAAUAUAUGAAUAAUAUGAUAUUAAAAAAUAUAUACAAAAUAUAUAAAAAAUAUAAUAUUAAAAAAAUAAUAAUAAUAUAAAUAAUAUAAGAGUAUUAAAAUAAAUAAAUAAAUAUGGAAGGAAUAAGUAAAAAUAAUAUACAUAAUAAUAUAAUAAGAAAAUAAUAUAUUUAUAAUAAAGUACUUAAAAAUAUUUACAUUUAUAUAUGUAUAAUAAUGAUAAAAAAUAAUAAUAAUAGUGAAAAUAAUAAAUAUAAUAAUAAAUAUAAUAAUAGAAAAAGAUAAUACUAUGUAAAAAGUAUAUAUAUACAUAUAUAAUAAAAUAUAUACUAAUAUUAAUAAUAAUUAUAAUAGAGGUAAAAGUAGAUAUAAUAAUAUAAAUAAUACGUACAUGAAAAGUAAUAAUAAAUAAUAAUAAAAUAAAAGAAAAUAUGAUAAAAUAAUAGAGUAUAAAAUAAUAAUAAUAUUUACAAUAAAAGAAAAUAAAAAGAGUGUAUUUAAAAGUAUAUACGUAGUAUUAUUGAAACUACUAUUAAAAAUUAAUAAUAAUAAUAAUAAUAAUGAUAAUAAUAAUAUAAUAAUAGUAACUAUAGUAAUAAUAUAUUGAUAAAAUAAAAAAUAAUAGUGAUAAUAAGAAUAUUAAUAAUAAUAGUCAUAAGGAUAAUAUAAAUAAUAUUAAAAAUAAAAUAAAAUAGCAAAGAUAAUAUAAAAAUCAACUUAAAUUUAAAAAAGGACUAAAUUCAAAACAAAAACAAAGUUUUGGGGCCAAAAAAGAAAUAAAGGGAAAGGGAUUAAAUUGCAUGCGCGAAAAAUAGUACAGGGACCAAUGAUGCAAAAAAUCCAUUCGGCCUAAAACGCACAGCAGCAGAGAGACCGAAUUACAAAGCACAACAAAUUUCGGGUCAAAAUUUAAAACAACUAAAAACUUAAUUGCAUAAUAGAAAAAAAGCGGAUGGGCUAAAUGCGCAAAUAGCCCCUCCAAUGAAAACACGCGGAUCAUGAAGUUGGAGCGGGUCGGAUUCGGGUCAGCCAAGUCAAAACGACGUCGUUUUAAGGCUUAUGAGCUUAGGCCAAAACGACGCCGUUUUGAUCUCUUAUAAAAAUUAAAAUUUUUACAAAAAAUCUUCAUUCUUUCAUUUCACUUAAAAAAAACUAAAGCCCCUAAAAAUUUUCUCUCAACUAGCCUUCUGUAGGAGGAAUUUCGGCGACUUCUCCGGCGUCGUCCGUCACCGUCGGCCACGCACACGAUGGUCGGAGCUCCAAAAACGGUAAUUUUCUUCCCUUUUUCUUAGAUAUUAUUGAUAUACAUAUAUAUAAGACAGUUUUUUUUAAGAAAAUAUAAAAAAAAUAUAGGUAUAUAUAUAUAAUUUCGAAUAAGAAAUAUAAGGAAAGAAAUGAAAAAUUUAUAACCUUCAAUAGUUGAAUCAAUCUCCUCUGUUCUUUAUUAUUUCAAAAACUGCCCUUUUCUGCAUAUGCUUGAAUCUUUUUGUAUUUUUGUCAGUAAAAAAAUCCAAUACAAGUGAUUUUGUGGCUUUUUAUAGCCAUUUUUGCAACUUUUUUUUUUAAUCCUUCUAUCACUUCUGUUGCAGGUGGAUGAGGUCAACGGUGGCAGACUUGGUGGAGGCAGGUGGAGCGGGGGUAUGGUGGAUGGGACAGAGGCGGCGGCUAGGGGGGCUAGGGUUUCUAAUUUCUGAAAAUAAGUUCUGGGCUAAUGUUAGUGGGGCUAGGGUUUCUAAUUUCUGAAAAUAAGUUCUGGGCUGAUGUUAGUGGGCUAGGGUUUGUUUAAUUGGGUUUGGGUUUAAUAGGUCUUUAUAUGGGUUGGGGUAGGUUUAGGUUAAAAUGGGCCUGGGAUUUGAAUUGGGUUAAAUUUGGGUUUGGUCUUGGGUUUAUUUUUUAGUUGUAAUAGUUUAUUUUUGUAAAAGGCCCGGGUUAAUUUGGGCUUCUACACAUACGAAUGGAGCAUUCUUACGUAACAGCUUCGUUAAAGGUAAUGCAAUCAGAUAAAACCCUUUGACGAACCUUCGGUAGUACCCAGAUAAACCAAAGAAGCUACGAAGUUCGAACAUGUUUUUUGGCUGUUUCCACUCAGCAACAGCUUUAAUUUUCUUAGGAUCAACUCGAAUCCCUUCCGCUGUCACCACAUGACCCAAAAAGGCGACCUCCUGCAACCAAAUCUCACACUUGCUGAACUUAGCAUACAACUGUUUUCCUCGGAGAGUCUGAAGUACAAUACGGAGAUGACCAUUAUGCUCAGUUUCAAUUUUAGAGUAGAUCAAAAUAUCAUCGAUAAAAACCACUACAAAUUGAUCCAAAUACGGUUGAAACACCUGAUUCAUUAACUCUAUAAAAGUCACCGGGGUAUUCGUUCAUCCGAAAGGCAUUACUAAAAACUCAUAAUGUCCAUAACGAGUUUUGGAAGCAGUUUUUUACACAUCAGUCUCUUUGACCUUGAGCUGAUGGUAACCCGAGCGUAGGUCAAUUUUAGAAAAGAUAGACGCUUCCCGAAACUGGUCAAACAAGUCAUCAUUCCUUGGUAAUGGAUACUUAUUCUUGAUUGUCAACUUGUUCAACUGCCUAUAGUUAAUACGCAUCCUUACCGACCCAUCCUUCUUCUUAACGAAUAAUACCGGUGCCCCCCACUAAGACACACUCGUUCGAAUAAAUCCUCUAUCAAAGAGUUCCUGAAGCUGUACUUUUAAUUCAGUCAGUUCGUUUGGUGCCAUACGAUAGGGAGUAAUGGACACUGAAGCAGUACUUGGUAACAGAUCAAUUCCAAACUCCACAUUUCUAUCCAGAGGUACUCUAGGAAAUUCCUCAAGAAAGACAUUUGGGAAUUCUCUUACGGUACGGAUAUCUCCAACUAAUAACUUUUUGGAAGCAAAUUUGAUACAUAAGCUAGGAUGUCGUACACCCCUUUCGGACUAAUUUGUUUCCUACUAGAGCUGAGAUUACGUUAGUGAAGUAAUCUCGACGCUCUCCAACCAUUACCACCUCAUCAUUUUCAGUCGGUCUCAGUGUAACUCUUUUGGUUGCACAGUCUAAACUGACCCAAUAUUCAACGAGCCGAUCCAUUCCAAGAAUUAAAUUAACCUCGUUAAAGGGAAAUUCUAUUAAAUCAGCUGGAAAUAUCAUACCCUGAAGCUCUAGGGGUACUCGUCUAUAUACCCUACCAACUCGAAUUAACUAACCCAACGGACUAAUCAUAAAAAACUCUCUAGCAGUAUUCUCAGCAGUUAAAAACCCAGAGUUACAGAAACAACACUAGUUAUGUAUGAAUGAGUAGAGCCAAUAUCAAUGAGAGUAUAAUAUGGUACAAAAUGGAUAAAGAAGGUACGUGCAAUGACAUCAGCAUUAUCGCUUUUCUCGUGAUGUCUAGACGCAUAAACUAAUGCCAGCUGACGAGUCUCAGCCUAACCAGCACCUCUACUCGGUGUUAACUGUCCUCUCCCAGCUCCGUUACCACCACCCCUACCAGUACCACGACAUCUGAAAGGUUGUUUAGUCUCUCUCAGAGAUCGAACAGAGUUUGGGGCUGAAGUCUGUACCACACUUGGCACUGAAUUAGGUCAACGGGGACAAUCCCUAACUCGAUGCUCCAUCGAACCACAACAGAGGCACGCUCUUAAUUUCCUCCAACAUUUGCCUUGGUGGCGCUUCCUACAAUCAGUACACUACUGAAUAUCAAUCACUACAACUGGUGUCUCAACUCUCAGGGGCAUGUCAGACCACACUCGCUUCUUAGGGUGUUGAGCAGAACUAGAGGGACCCGAAUCCCUCUUAACUUUAUUCUGAUCCUUCUCACGGUCCCGCAGUUCAUGCUCAAUGCACUUCACUUCUUUCACUAUUUUCGCUUUAUGAACCAAAAUCGCAAAUACUAGCUCCUUCUGAGAAGCUAUCAAAACCCGCAGUUCAUAUCUCAAGCCUUCUUCGAACCUUACACACUUGUCAUAGUUAGAUGCUACCAAAGUCCAUGCAUAUUUUCCCAAUCGCAAUUAUACUCAGCCAUAGAUCGGUCACCCUGAACUAGGCUCAUAAACUCGCAUCGAUGAGCCUCAACAUAGCUUGCCCCUACAUACUUACCUUUGAAGGCAUUCUUGAAAUAGUCUCAGUUCACUUGCUCAAGCUGAGCACCAUGCUCAAUGGUAAACCACCACUGAUAAGCUUCGUCUUGGAGUAGAGACACUGCGCCCCUCAAUUUUUGAGUAGGAGUGCAGUCAAGAUCUAUCAUAAUACAUUUGGUAGCCUCGAGCCAAUACUCAGCAACAGUAGAGUGAUACUACCAAGCCCCGAGACUCAUCAAGGGCUGACAAAGAACCUUUGGGGCUGCCCUUUGGUCCGAUAACUCGACCUCGUCCAAAAGAUUCAAAGAUGCUGUUUCGACUUUAGCUAGUCGAGUAUGGAGAGAGAAUGUUGCUAGGCUCAUUGAACGAGCAUGGACAAGUCACCCGAGCAAGCCUUGCAACCUUCUAAAGCCCAUCUUGUUCAUUCAUAGACCAUUGAGCUCAACUCCAGCUCGUUUUUAACUUAGCAAUAUUUUGUUGCUGAAAAUAAGGAUUUCAAUCCAUUUUAGCUAUUUUAGUUUGUUUCUUUAGAUAUGUCAUAGUUUGAACAUUAUUAAUAUGAGUCUUUAAUUAUGUCAUAGUUUGAACAUCAUUAAUAUGUAUUCUGCAUUUAAUAAAGUCAUGCAUUGUGUAACUUUCAUGUUAGUUAAGUGUGUAUCAUUAGAUUAAGUCAUGCAUUAAGUAACUUAUUUGUUCAUUUAGUUUACAUCUUAAUUAAAUUAUGCAUUUAAACAUCUUAUUUGUUUGUAUUAGAGUGUUAUUUAAUUUGGCUGUUGCUUUUUUAUACGUUAUAGUGUGUUUAAUUUUUCUUAAAUAAAAUUAAUUAUGUGUUCAAUUUUUGUUGUAGGAAAGUUCAAAAGGCUGGACACAUAUUUUAAAGCUACAAUAGGGUUGUUCAUUUGCCAAGAAGAAUCAAAUACUUUCACAUUUAAACGGCUGUUCAAUUUUGGCAUAAAAGAGUGUGCAUUUGGUCACUUAAUUGCUGGUGCAUAAAGGGAACGUUUUUGUUGGAUAUUGAAGCACUAAAGCUCAUUAUGGUGGCUUUUCAAAUGGACCAAGAGUAUCUCUUCAAGUCUAAUCAAUUUUUGGAGUCUUUUUCCUUCAUUAUGAUACCAUUAAAAGAGGAAGUUACACGAGCUUUAUGAUUCGAUUACAAGGGAGUUAAAAUGACAUCAACUAAGCACAAUAAGAACACAUUAAGUCUUCAUUAAUUGAUAGAGUCAUGCUUUUUCAUCUAUACCAUGAUCAAAUGAAAAGACAUGACCAUUGGAUUUCCUACAUGAGAUAAAUAUGAAAUUAAGGCUUGUAAUAACCUUAGUUAAUUGCUGAAGGUGAAAGCUCACAAAUAGGUGUUCGAAUAGUCAUAAUAGCGCCUAUAAAUAGAUUGUAAAAUGAUAUUAUUUUGGUUAAGAAAACUUUUGAUACUUUUAUGAUUUUUUACAUCUUUGUGAGUUUACUUCAACUCUAAUUGUUUUUCUAAGACUCAAGUUGACUUCUCUAGCAUUGCUAGUGGCAUCCAACUUGUUUUCUUUGUGAACUUAUCAUUCUUUGAGUGUGGCAUUCAACCCGGAUGCCUUUGGUUCCUAUCUCCUUAUAGAUAGUGGGUUAAGGUCCUUUUUAACCAUCAACCUUUCCACCUUAAAAGUCAAUAUAAGAUUCCGGUCAAUACUCCUUAUAGUAUUGGUUCUUUCUUGGACCUUAAGCCUUUUUCCAUCCAUCCGAAUUAUUCCUAUCAAAAUUAUCAUUUUUUUCUUUAUUUAACCGAAAUAUUCACUUGGACUAUUCCAAAACACUUAAAAACCAUUUUUUCUUUAGCCUACACUCAACCGAAUUCACUUAACUCUAAAUUGAACGAAACUUCUCUAUUUUACGAUCAGGCAAUACUACGACUCAAAAUCAACUCACAAGACGAGAUCGUAUCAAGGAGUGACUCUUAUGACGCCCCUAAACAUUUCAGCACCAUUCGACCAGAGUCGUUCAGUAAUCGAACCUCAGCCUCCUAAUCCCAGAUGGGUCCCAGUGACCCUCUGAAGAGCCUAAAUCAUGGCCUGGGACAGUGCGUCAUCCCCAGCCGUAGGAGUCUAAGACUCCGCUUCUGCAGUGGGAGUACCAACUUUAUUUUUGGUCUCUAGAUUAGGCAUGCUACCCAUAGAGGAUGACUCGGCUCGAGCUCCUCUCCAAUUUCCUCGAUGGCCCCGUAUACCCCGUCCACGACAACCAUGCGAACUCAUAUUGCAAUCUAACGACAAUUUCAGAAUACAUAGAUCAGUUCACACAUCCAGGAAAAUGAUUUCACCAGUUUACACCAAGCAAUAUACCAAUAACAGUUAGGUAUCAUAAUUUUACAACAGAACAAAAAUACUUACUGGGUCAGCGUCGGAGGCUCAGUCGUUCCCUAAUGUUUCAAUGUUUCUGUAUUAGUUCAGUUACUAAUUGUUACUAGCCACAGUUCUUACACAUUAAGAGCCUAAACACAUUCCAAGUGUUGACAAACCUGGCUUUGAUACCACUAAAUGUAACACCCUAAACCCGGCCUAGACGUCCAAACCAAGUUAGAGAGUUACAUCAACCGUUCUAAAAGCCAUACCACCAUAACGCAAUCUAAUUAAACCAGUUGUCACAUAUUAUUCAUCACAAUAGUAAUUUAAAGACAUAAUUUCCAUAAAUCCAUAACAUCAUAAAACAAAUAUCCCUAAUAAUAAUGCUAGUAGAAUACGAAUAAGUGUCUAACUAAGCUUCUGCGACACCGACCUUAGCAAGACUGAUUACUACCUCAAACCCGAACAAGAAUAGGGUGAGUUAUGAACUCAAUGCGUAAAAAUGAAUGUAAUUCAACAACAGUGACUUAUGGAGGAUUUCCAGUUCAGAGAUUCAGUUCAUCCUAGAAGCAUGUUUGAUCUAGGUUUAAAAUAGAGGUAUUACAUAUGUAUACAUGUAUUAUUCUAGUUCAGAUAUAGUUCAGAUCAGAUUCGAAUGCAUUGUUCCUAUUUCCAUUCUUUACACACCAACUUCUGCCAUCCCAACACACCAUUGUGGACAUUUAAUUCCCAUCCAUCACUACACACCUUUAAAGUGUUCAAUGACACUUUCACAGAAAGACAACUUAGCUCCUAGUUCAAUGUGCGACAAGCGUUAGAAUCAAAUUGAUACUUAUUGUGGCAUAGCCAUGAUUUCAGUACAGACUCCCCUUUUUCCUCACAAUCUCCCACCACAUGUUAAUGCAGAAUAUAAUAGCCUGUAACACAUGUUUAGCCAUUUUGAUAAAAUACAUAAUUAAUAAAAUAGUUUAAUAACAGAGUGGUGUUACAGUGCAUAUUCAAGUAUGUGAUUCACAUAUCAGUCUCAUGUAAGCAAAUUCAGUUGUUCGUAAAUCGAGGAAACCAAUAUCAGAGUUUAGCACCCUUCUCGGCCUCAAAAAUAGUUUUUGGAUCCAAAAUCCUGCCACACGACCUAGGCACAUGCCCGUGUGCCUUGGUCAUGUGGUUUUUAAGCAUAAAUAGUGAGUUGCACUGCCUGGGAACAUAUCCGUGUCCUUGACCAUGUGGUUUUAUACUGCAAACAAUGAGUUACACGGCCUAGGCACACGAGUGGUUUUUACACCCUUAAUAGUGAGUUACACGGCCUAGGCAUACGCCCGUGUCCCUGGUCGUAUGAACCCUACACUAAAAUGGCCACACAUGGCCUAAACACACGCCCGUAUGGUCUCGUAAAAACCUUUAUCUGUCAACUCUUGAAACUGAGCUUUUAAUUCUUUCAAUUCAGUCGGAGCCAUUUUAUACGGAGUAAUAGAUAUCGGUGAAGUCCCCGGUACUAAGUCAAUACUAAACUCAACUUCUCUAAUCGGAGGUAACCCAGGCAACUCUUCUGGAAACACAUCCGGAUAUUCACAAACCAUUGGCACUAAUUCAGACAUCUUUGUAUUCAACACAUAAGCAAGAUAAGCUUCACAACUUUUCAUUACAUAUUUUUUGGCAGACAUCGAAGAAAUCAUAACAGGUAACUCACCCGACUUAUAUGAAUCAAUCUGAAGAGUUUCACCAUUUUCACAUUUCAGUUCAAUAAUCUUUCUUUUACAAUUCACUACAGCAUUAUGCAGUGCCAACUAAUCCAUACCCAAAAUAACAUCAAAUUCAUCAAAUGACAACAACAUUAAAUCAACCGGAAAAUAGUGACCUUGAAUCAUCAAGGGACAAUUCUUGCAAACUCUAUCAUGACAAUUCUUGCAAACUCUAUCAACUAAUACAUGUUUGCCUAAAGGGUUUGACACCCUAAUCACAAAUUCAGUAAACUCAACAGGCAAGCUCUUACUAGCUACCAAUUUUAUAUAAACAUAAGAAUGAGUCGAUCCAGGGUCAAUCAAUGCAACUACAUUAGUAUUAUAGAGAGAAAAAGUACCAAUGAUAACAUUGGGAGAUGUCACUUUUUCGUGAGCACGGAUGGUAUAGGCUCUAGCAGGCGCUCGAGCUUCGGAUCUCAUAGCUGAAUAUUUCAUCACACCUUUACUACUAGUUCCAUUUUCAUUAUUUCUCGGUGGCAUACCCCUAUUGGUAGUAUUACUCGGCCUUGCACUCUAAAAUUUUUCUUUUUCCGUAAUUUUAUGGCAAUCUCAGAUAAAAUGCUCUUGAGAACCACACUUGAAACAAGCCUGACCAUUUAUCCUACACUUGCCAAGAUGUCUUCUUCCACAAUGCUGACAUUCGGAUCUGUUAAGCCUUACAUUACCCACAUUUGCCAUUGACGUAUCUUGAGAUUUAAAACUCGAGUAUUGUUUCCCACGGUCUCUGUGAGAAUACCCAGCUGAUACAUUCGAACGAGAAUACAUUUCUUUAUAUUUCUUUGAUUGAGAUGAAAAUGACUCGUCAAUCUUUUCCUCAAAUCUCUAGCUUCACAAUCAACUUUCAUCUUCUCUUUAUUCAACUCUUCGGCCUUACAAGCUCGCUCAACUAACACCACAAAUUCUUUCAACUUUAAGAUCCCAACCAACACACGAAUAUCCUCUUUCAAUCCAUCCUCAAACUUCUUGCACAUGAUAGCCUUAGUGGAAACACACUCUCGAGCAUAUUUACUAAGUCUGACAAAUUCUCGCUCAUACUCUAUCACUGACAUUCUGCCCUGUUUCAGCUAAAGAAAUUCCUUACAUUUUUUAUCGAUGAACAGUUGACUAAUAUAUUUCUUUCGAAACUCCUCUUGAAAGAAAUCCCAGGUAAUUCUCUCUCUCGGUACCAUAGAUGCUAGCGUAUUCCACUAAUGAUAUGCAGAAGCUCUCAAAAGUAAGAUGGCACACUUUAAACAUUCAUUUGGUGUGCAAGACAACUCAUCAAAUACCCUAAUGGAAUUUUCGAGCCAAAACUCGGCUCUCUCGGGAUCAUCAUCCAUAUUAGCUCUGAUAUCUUCAACCCGUGCUUUUAGAUCUUAUCAACUGGGGGUUUGUUCAUUCUUACAAAUUCCAUACCUUGUGGAGCUAUGAGAACCAGUCGAGGAAUAGGUGAGGGUGGAGGAGGUUGGGUAUUCAGAUUUUUUUCGAACAAACUCUGUAUACCACUUGUUCAUCAUGUGGAGAAAGGUCUCCCUAUCCCCCUUCUCCUUGACUAACCGUAGGAGGUUUACUUUCAGACUACGCUGCCCUUUAAGCGGGAGCCAAUGCAUUACUUUCAAUGUCAUCAACCUGAGCUCAAUCAGGAUCCGUUUACUUUAUGAAAACACAAUUUAAAAUUGUCAGGAGCCAUCAUACUCUCAUAGUUCAAUUAUCGCAUGUAUAACUAGACUUUUACACAUGCUACGUUAGUCCAAGAAUCGACUAAACUGUAGCUCUGAUACCACUAAAUAUAACACCCCUUACUCGUAUUCAACUUCAUAACCGAGUACGAGGCAUUAUCGGACUUAAACACAAGCAAACAUACUUUUUCAAUCCAUAAAUUUUUGUCCAAAUUAAACCUUUUACACUCAAUCAUAAAGUCCUUAAUAAGAGCCUACAAGGCCCAAAACAUGGUUUGGGAGUGGUUUGGGACUAAACCGAGAACUUUAGAAAAUUUUACAACACUUAAAAAAAUUUUCCACUUAGAAAAUUUUUCCACUAAACAAUGGUCACACACUCGUGUGGGCAGGUCGUGUGGUCUCACACACCCGUGUCCCAAACUCGUGUAACUCUCUGUUUUUCACCCAAGAACAAAUUGAAGACACAUGGCCAAGUCACACGCCCGUGUGUUAAGCCGUGUGGUCGAUUUAAUUAUUUUGAUUUUUCAUGAAAUAAGUGCAUACUUCACAUGCAUAGGAACACACGCCCGUGCCUGAGGCCGUGUCAUCCACACAGUUGAGAUACACGCCCGUGUCUCUGCCCGUGUGCUUAAUUCUGAGCAUUCUAUUUUGUAAAAAUUAGGGUGCAGGGGACACACGGCCUAAACACAUGCCCGUGGGACAAGCCGUGUGUCACACAUAGCCUAGACACACACUCGUGUGUCUACCCGUGUGGACAAAAAUAAGGCUAUUUACCAAGCCAUUUUGCCACCCUUUGAUGCACACACCUACACAACACAACAUAGCACCAAUUCGAGCAUAUACAUACAAUCAAAUCAGCUACAACCAAGACAUCAACACAACACUCACAUGCUACCAUCUAUCAUACACAAACAUCACAUACUCAUUAACUCAAACCAAGUAAAGAUCCAUAUCCAUGAAAGACAUCAUCAAAUAAAUCACUGAUACCAAUAGUAACCAAUUUCAAAUGGCCUUAUACAAAAUGAACUAUCAACCAAUAUGAGUCAACACAAUUGGCCAAUUCAAUUAUGACACAUAACAAAAUAACCAAGUCCCCUAUACAUGCCAUAACUCAAAAUGUUGAAAUCAUUGGUACCAAAAUAAUUGUUUAUAGUGUGAGUGGAUCUCUGACAGUCUCGAAUCCCCGAGCUAGCUUGGUGACACUAUAAGACAAGGGAAAGAAAAGGGGAGUAAGCUAUAUAUCUUAAUAAGUUCCUAUGCAAAUAAUAAUCAUCAUAUCCAACAUUUUAACAUACAAUUAACAUGAUAACAAUUUACAUAAAUAUUAUUAAGAUCUUAUAAUCAUAACUUACUCAAUCAUAACCUUACCGAGGGUUCCUCACAUAUCGAACUCAUUACGUAUGAGUUUUACGUACAUACCUGAGUCAUCUCAAAUUUGGAUUUGCCCGCAAUUCAUCUUUGACAUACUCGUUAAAUUACCCGUUAAACCACUUGGAAUAUUAAAGGAUUAUAACUGUCCAAUUUCAGUGAAAUCGGAACAGUGGUUUCAUGACCACAACCCGAGCUAAAAAGAAAAUUUUAUUUUAAUAUUAUGGCAUGGUCUAUAUUAUGAUGGAAAAGUGGCAUGAAAAUUUUGAUAAGAAAAUUUUAUUGGUUUUGUAGUUAAUUGAUUAAAAAUGACCAAAUAAUAAUAAAAAAAGUGUAUUUUCGGGACUCUGUUCCAGUAAAUCGUAGUUAAUUAGGUUUUGAUUAGGUGAGUUUGACUUAAUUAGGAGUAAUUAUGAAAAAGUGCUAAAUUGCAUAAAGGGUAAAAAUUUAAUUAUAAAUUAAAGAAAGUUCAAAAGACCAAAUAGGCAAUUAUGCCAUUUUUAAAUGUAGAGGCAGUUUACAAUAAAAAAUAUCAAAGUUAUUUUAAUUAAAAAUAUAUAUUAUAUAUUAUAUUAACUUAAUCAAUAAGUAAUAUAUUAUUUUAUAUUAUUAUAUUAUUAUAUUAUUACAUUAUAUAUAUUAUAUUAUUAUAUAUAUGUAAAACAAAUGAAAAAGAAACAAAGAAACAGAGUAGGUUGAAACGAACAGGGAAGAAAGAAAGAAAGAAAAAGAAAAAGGAGAAAUUAGGGUUUAAGGAUUCAAAUUCAAUUUGAUCCAGAAAACUCAAAUACGAAGCUAGAUCGAGGAAAGGAAAAAGUCCUGGAUUAGUAGACUUUUGUUUACAAACAAGUAUCGAGGUAAGUUCCUGUAACUUAAUAUUGAUUCUUGAAAUGUUGGAUUGUAUGAUUAUGUGAUAUGAAUGUUAAUUGAAUAUUUAAAAUAAUGUGAUCCUAUGUUUGAUAUGACUUGAGAAAAGAAAUAAGUCCCGGUUGAAUAAAGGAAAUUCGAUGAAUUAUUGUAAAGGUGAUUCUGCAUAUGUUGCAGACAGGAUUUAACUUGGACGAGUAAUCCUGAUAAGUUUCUCGAGCAUUAUAAGGUAGAAGCAUAGUAAUUGGUAGUCGUAUAUAUUGUGAACUAUCGUAGCUCUUUAUGAGCAUCAAGGUAUAAAUAUAGUGAUUGGUAGCAAUUCUGCAUAAGUUCUGGGCUACCAUAGUUCUGUGUGAGCAUCGAUGUAUUGGUAGUAAUUCUGCAUAAGUUGUGGCCUAUCGUAAAUCUGUGUGAGCAUCGAAGUAUAUGAUUUACCCAAAUGACUUGAAAAGGUGGCUCAAGAGUUUUGUACACUUUAAGUGUACUAUACGAGAGUAUCCAUCGAUAUUCCAAUAAUUUCAAUAGGAAAAACUUAGAAAAUGGUUAAUUGGUUUGAAUAAAUUUCUUUUAAAAAUGUACAUGUGGUAUGGAAUUAUAAGCAAGUAUAAAUUAUGAUAUAGAGCUCAUCUAUGUGAUGAUAUUAUCUGUAAUUGCUUGACUAAAUUUUGAUGAUGAAGUUAUAUGUGAUAGGAUAAUGAUUUAUUUGCUUGAAUACAUGUAUGUUUGAUUAAAUUUAAUGGAAACACUUGGUAAGUUGGUUUCUAGUUUCAUGAACUUACUAAGCAUUAAAUACUUACUAGGUUUUAUUUUUUAUGUUUUAUAGUGCUCGGAAGCUCAGAAAGGUUGAAGAUAAGUCGAAGCAUCAUCACACUAUCAAUCUACUCAUUUUGGUAUUAAAAAAUGUUUUUAUUUUGUUAUAAUGGCAUGUAUAGGCUACUAGUACCAAUGUUAAUGAUGAAUUGGAUGAAUGUAAUCUAGCCAUUGGAAUGGCUAGUAAUGACUUGAUUUUGGUAUGUUUAUAAAGUAAAUUAUGGUUAUACAUGUAUGCUUGGUACAUUUUGGGGUAAUUAGAUUUAAACAUGUAUGUUAUGGAAAUGUAAUAUAUUAAUUAAGAUUUAAAGCAUACAUAUCAUGUUAAAUGUUUGAAAUUGGCUUAUAAAUAAUGCUUGAAUUGGAUGGUUGGUAUUAGGAAAGUUUUGUGCAGGUUUUGGAUGAAAUGGGUGAGAAAUAGGGCUUGAAAAAUAGCCUUAUUUUUUUCCACACGGGUGUGUGACUCCUAUAAGUAAGAAAAAAAUUUUGGAAGUUUGCGAAAAAAUUUCCUCGAGAUAUCGAUUAGUCCCGAAUCGAUUCUAAUGCAUGUUUUGGGCCUCAAGGGUCCAUUUAAGGGACGUUAUGACUAAUAUCGAGAAAUGAAUAGUGUUUGAAUCGAUUUACCUAAAAAUGUUUUGUAAACUCUGGUAAUGCCUCGUGAUCCUGUUCUGGUGACGGAUACGGAUUAGGGGUGUUACAAGGAUACUCAGGAAUCUCAUACAUACAGUAUCGUACCAAUGUCAUUUCCCAGAUAUGGUCUUACAUGUAAUCUCAUAUCAAUGCCAAUAGCCCAGCUAUGGUCUUACACAAAGUCUCGUACCGAUGCCAUAUCCCAAAAAUGGUCUUACAUGUAAAUAUCAGUAACCCUAAUGUCAUGACAUUUGUAUCUUAUCUAUUCCUAAGGUUCAAUGGGGAUUUCAAGCUUAUCGAAACUUUGUCGAAUACAUACAAGGGUAAAUUAAAAUUCAUACAAUAAUAAAACAUUUAAAACAUAAUUAAAACAAUGCAUUAUUUACAUAUGAACUUACCUCGGUACAAAAAUAGUAUAAAUGGGGCCUAAUCGUCAAACACUUUGUUUUUCCCCCGAUCUAAGUCCGAACCUCGUUUCUCUUGAUCUAUAAUAGAAUAUUUAACUCAUUUAUAUCCAAAUUGUUCAAUUCAGUCCAAAAUUUACAUUUUGGCAAAAUUACAUUUUUGCCCCCUAAACUUUGACAUUUUUACAUUUUGGUCCUUAGGUUCGUAAAAUGAAAUGGAUUCAAUUCCUUCGAUUCCCAAGCCUAGCCGAACCUCUUUCAUGCUUACAAAAGCCCAUAUUUUCCAUUCUUUUACAUUUUUACUACUCAUUUUAUAACUUUUUACAAAUAGGUCCCUUUUAUGUGUUUCAUCAAAAAUCACUUAGAAAAACUUGUUUAUUUAACAUUAAACUUGCAUUAUCUACCAUUAAACAUCAAAAUACACACAUGUAUAACAUGGUUCAAACCCUAUACCUUAAUCAUUUCUCAAAUUAGUGGUAGAAAUAGAUAGAUUGAGUGUCAACGACUUUAAAAAUGUAAAGAGCAUUAAAAACGAGACAAGAACACACUUACAAUCGAGCUUGAAAUUGGCCAAACCCUAGCUAUCUCUUCCUUAUAUUUUUCAGCACAAGGGGGAGAAGAUGGACAAGGUUUUUGGCUUGAUUUUUGCUUUUUAAUUCAUUUAUUUACCAAAUGACCAAAAUGCCCCUAACUUAAAACAUAAAAUUUCUCUUACCUCAUAUCCAUUUUUGUCCGCUAACUUAACAAAUGGUUUAAUUACCAUUUAAGGACCUUCAAUUUAAAGUUUCAUAGCAAUCAGACACCUCUAGCAUAUAGAACUCAAGUUUUGCAUUUUUUUGUAAUUUAGUCCUUUUAACUAAAUUGAGUGCUCAAACGUCAAAAUUUUUGAACAAAAUUUUCACAAAAUCAUUUCAUAAAACUUUAGACCAUAAAAAUAUAACAAAAAUAAGCUUUUUUGCAUCGAAUUUGUGGUCCCGAAACCACUAUUCCAAUUAAGCCCAAAAUUGGGUUAUUACAUCUAUAAUGUCAAACAUAAACUUUAAUUUAAUGUGCACUAUGACACUUAAAUUAUGUUAAUUUUGUGCAAUUGUAUAUAAUAAAUUAUGAUUUUGAUUUAAUUUAAUUUGGGUUUGAGGCUCGAGUUUUUUGGGCUGAGUCAUUAUGGGUUUUGAUUAUUUCACAUAUUAUGACAAUUCAACUGCUGUCUUUAUAGCUAAGAAUGACAAAAGUGGAAAUCGAAGUAAACAUAACGACAUUAAGUAUCUAGACAUAAAGGAACAUGUUAAAAAAAGAAAGUGGUCAUUGAGCACAUUAACACUGAGCAGAUAUUAGUUGAUUCUUUGACUAAAGGCAUGCCACCACCCAAAAUUUAAGGAUCACGUUGUCUCUGUGUGACUUGUUCCCACCUUGUAAAAUUUUAUUAUAAGAACGAUUAUAAAAAAAACUCUGUUAAAUUAUCUCUAAGUCAUUAUAAAUUUUUUAAUUAAAGAUAGGUAAAAUUAAUAGAAAAUAAAAAUAAAACAAAAACGUUGAUAAUAAGUUAAAAAUUAAUCCAAAUCAUUAUAAUUUUUUUAUUUAAAAAAUGAACUACAAUUAAAAUGAAAAAAAAACAUGCGGCGCUAUUUUGUUUUGGGGGCAUGAAUGGGGCAUUGUUUAAGGGCAAGGGAUUUCUAUUCACUGCUCCAAUGCCUAUAUAAACCUCAAUGCCAUGCUUUGUUUUCCCCACUCACAACUAUUCAGAUAAAGAACUUUGUUUCAUCUGCUUCACUUGUUUCAAAAUCUCUGAACAAAGAUGGCCUCUUUCAAUUGCUUUGCUUUAGCAUUCUUGAUGGCUUUGUCGAUCAUUUGCAAACUUUGAUGUUGGGGAAGAAGUUCAUCACCUUCUGCAGCAGCCUCAAACGCAAAGUUUUCCAUCUUUCCCUAAUCUCCCAACCCCAUUCCGACCAUCAUUCCCAUGGCCUGGGGCGCUUCCUCCAGUUCCUACCACAUUGCCAAUAGGACCGCCCCCUCUGCCAAGCAUUCCCUCUGUCCCCGCAAUCCCAACUGCAAUUCCCCCUAUUCCUUUCUCUUUUCAACCAUUUCCAUCUUUCCCUAAUCUCCCAAACCCUGGGGCGCUUCCUCCACUUCCUACCACAUUGCCAAGAGGACUGCCCCCUCUGCCAAGCAUUCCUUCAGUCCCCACAACCCCAACUACAGUUCCCUCUAUUCUUUUCUUUUCUCCACCACCUUCUCGUUCUACUCCUUGAAGUACCCUAUUUUUUUAUCCGCUGCAUACUGGAUCUGGUUUAAUAAGGUUUUUA
Molecule: long non-coding RNA, 99353 nt
Filed under: Gossypium barbadense (sea-island cotton)
Lineage: Eukaryota; Viridiplantae; Streptophyta; Magnoliopsida; Malvales; Malvaceae
Description: long non-coding RNA (GBAR_LNC012260)
Source: RNAcentral